AACUUCUUCUGUCUCUGCCAAUAUAUCCAAAUUAACAAUAAUAAACAUAACAACAACAAAAGGGGACAAAAAAAGUUAUGACAAGAAAACUAUUGUGGUGGUGCUUGAGUCAUAAUGGUUUGAUAAAUUUAUGCCAAAUUAAGAUGUAUAAGACAUAGAUUCAAAGCAGGACCACUCUUUCACUUGCUAAUAGAAAUGGAAAAAAGGCAGAGCAAUACGAGAACAUUCUUUUGCAUAAAACUACAACAAGAAAGUUCCAGUAAAAGGAAUAUGAUAAAAUACCAGAAAAGGGAAUCAAGUACAAGUAACAACAAACGACCAAACAAUCCAACAUCAGAAUUUUUUUCUCCUAAAAGGGGUUUAGGAAUAUUAUUAAAAAAAUAUAUAUUAAGACCGUUUCUCACUGAUUCUAUAUAACUAUUUAAGUUAAUUAUAACGAAAACAAGUAUAUUGUUACCAAAAGUAUAUAUAUUCAAUCAAGUACUAAAGCAGUGAACAACCAUGUUACUUAAUAUAUAUAUAUAUAUAUAUAUAUAUAUAUAUAUAUAUAUAUAUAUAUAUAUAUAUAUAUAUAUAUAUAUAUUUUGAUUGUUGUAAAAGCUGACAAAAUAGUAUUUUCUGAGGCGUGUAGAGUCACUGUCUUUAAAGACUUAUUUGCGGUGUAUUGCGUAAGUCUCACAGGAACUUCUCAGAAUAUUUAUGAGGAUCUCAGAACUAGCAAAGAUCUCAAAAAAAAAUAUAAGAAUAACCCACAAUAAUUUUAGAAAGAAAAAGAAACAAAGGAUGAAAUUUAGAAGAGAAGAGAAUGAGAAAAGAUUGAUUUUUGGUGUGUCUUGGAAUGAGGGAAAUGCUUUCUAUUUAUAGAGUUAGGAGAGAAUAAAGGAAAUAAAAGAAAAUGAAAAACAAUAAAGGCAAAACAAAUUAAUGUUGGAGCAUUAAAAAUAUUUUGAUCGUUGCUAUUAAAUUUUUAAAGGUUGCAAUUAGUAAAAUAUUUUUUUCCGUUGCCAACACCAACGUUCUAAACAAUUUACGGCUUUAACUUUUGCAAUAUCACUAUAAUUAUAACAAUCCCCCACAUAUUGCAAAAGUGAGUUGAAAAAAAAAAUCUUUGACUCAAAUAGUUCAAACAUAGAAAGAAUGAUAAGAAACUUUUAUUCUGGGUCUCAUAGGAUGUAAUGCAUCAAAGCUGGUAUAGCAAGCUAUAUGAACCAGUCUUAGAUUGAGAUACUUAACACACAGUGUAGUUGGUAUAGCAAACUAUAUGAACCAAAACACUUGACAUGUGUUAGAGGUUUAUCAAUCACAAUACACCCCCACAAUCCUUGUUGUUAUCGCUGUGUUGCGCUUACUAGACCAUGCGUGUGCCCGAUAUUGUGCUCUAGAGAUCAUGCCAAGAUCUCAUGCAAGCGGCCCCACUUGACACUCAUAUAGGUGAUUUCAUCAAGUGUAUGCUGUAAAUCAUACACCACUAUUGAGACUUUGGCAAGUGUACCAAAUCGUUUCAAGUAAUAAAACUGGUAAGACCGGAUAUCGUUUCCCAAGAGACUCAUUUCACUAGACAAUCGUAUGAUUUCCGACUAACUUAGACUAAAGAAUGCUUCCAUAAUUUGGGUGUUUGUGCAAUUAAAGUAAACAUGAAACAUAGAUAGUAAAAGUGAUCUUUGGCACACAAACACUCGGAAAUGGUAAGAUUAGAAAUGAUAUGGAAUGGUAUUGUUGGGGGUAUGAUUUCACCUACUUAACUCUUAUGUAUAUAAAAUCACUUCCUCUUCAUUAAUAUGUCAAUGUCAAUCUACUAAGUUACUCAAUCCUCAAUCCCUUGGUAGAAAGAGCCUAGACUUCCUCAUUAAGCUCCAAUCCCUUGGAAAACCUAACAAUUAUUUCUGCAUUAAGAAAUGAGAUUUUGAGACAACCAAAGGUCCUAGUUCUAUCCCUAUAUAUUAUUUCCUUUAGGUGUUUAACCCAAGUCUAGAUUUACCCAACACUUCCCAAUAUUAAGUAAACCCUAGAAUCAUGCCAUGGGUAGCAACUUCACAACAAGCAUUAAGAAAAGGAAUUAAACACUAACAAUCAAUGAAAAAUGCAUAUAUUCAUUCAAAAGAAAGUGAUUCACACAAAAGUUUAGUGGCUACAUCAAUCUCCCAACAACAAUGAAACUAGCUUUCCAUGAAUGGAGAGCUCAAGCUUACAACAAUGGUGGAAAUGGAAGAAAGAAGAGAACCCAAGGAAGAAGAUGAAUUGUUUCCACAGCUUCUAGCUCGCCUCCAAGAGCUCCCAAUGAGAGGAAUCGUGUGUGGUUAGCAAAAGAUUCAGAGCCCCUCGCGUAUUAGGCCUCAAAAGACCUAAUUUUUCCACAUCAGCAUUGCCCCCGCUCAACUGCAGCCUAGCGGCAGCUUUCUAGAGAGCUGGGCGCUCAAUUGCACCCCAACUGCACCCCAACGACAACCUUCCAGAGAGUAGGGCGCUCAGUUGCACCCUAGCUACACCCCAGCCACAACAUUCCAGAGGAGAAUAGGGCUCAGCUGCACCCCAACGGCAGCAUCAGUCUUUGCUCAAUAUUUCCUCUUUAACAUUCAUUCUUGCUUUUGUGGUUCUUCCAUUCGUCGGUUUGGCCAACAAGCUUCAUAUACAUGAUCUAACAACCAAAAAGUGGGGAUUAGUGAUGAAAUUUAAAUCAAUACAACUCAAGAUGUAGCUACUUAAAAACUUAACAAAUUGAGGCAUAAAGAAGGUAUAAAGCUAAGAAAGAGUUGAAAUUUUCUCUCAAUUCACUACUGAAAUCAUAGUAAAAUAUGUCAUUAUCAACCACCCACAAGGGAUAUGAAAAUCAUUAAAACUUUUUUUAAGCUAAAAUUCUUUCACCACAUAGAAUUUUAAUGACAAAGUUUAACCUCUCAAUAAUGCAGUCUCUAGCACUUUCACACAUACACACACACCAUAGGAAGGGACAUAAUUGAUUAAAAAAUCAAUUUAGUGCUAUCAGAACUAACAAGUGACUUGUUUUUACCUAUAUGAACCUUAUUCAUGGGAUCUCCAAUCACAAAGGUUGUGUUACCAUCACUUGUUUGUUUGCAAGUGGCUUAAGUCCUAUUCCCCUCAAUGUUUCUAAUAUCAUUUGUCUUCCCAGGAUUUUUGUCAGAGGAUCUACUAGAUUCCCUUCUGACUUCACAUAAUCAAUGGAAAUAGUUCCACUCUUUAGAACCUGCUUCACCAAAUUUUGUCUAAAUUGUAUAUGUCUAUUAUUUCCAUUGUAAUUCUUGUUUUUAGCUAUAGCUAUUGCCGAUUGGCAAUUACAGUGUAUUGAUACCGAUGGGGUUGGAUUCAUUCCUAAUGGAAUGUUCGCUAAGAAGUUUUUCAACCACUCAGCCUUGUUACCAGCCAUCUCAAGAGCAACAAACUCAGAUUCCAUUAUUGAUCUUGCAAUAAUAGUUUGUCUGGCUGAUCUCCAUGUAAUCGCACCACCCCCAAGUGUGAAUACAUAACCACUAGUGGAUUUUGUCUCGUCUGAAUCAGAGAUCCAGUUAGCAUCAUUGUACCCUUCUAGUACAAUAGGAAAUCCACUAUAUUCAAUGGCAUAAUCCAUUGAACCUCUUAAGUAUCUCAUAAGCCGAGCAAGUACAUCCCAAUGUUCCUGAAUUGGACAUUGAGUGUACCUACUCAGUCUACCUACUGCAUAAGCAAUAUCAGGUCUAGAAAAGCUCAUUAAGUGCAGUAAGCUCCCAAUAAUUUGGGCAUACUGAGGCUGAGAUAACAAUUCUCCUCUAUUUUUCAUUAAAUUAGAAUUAGCAUCAUAAGGGGUACUCACUGGUUUUAAGUCAUAAAACGCAAACUUCUAGAAGUUUCUCAAUGUAUUGUUCUUGAGGUAGUAAUAUACUAUCUCCCUUCCUUAUGAUUCUAAUACCUAAAAUCACACUGGCUUCACCCAUGGCUUUCCUUUCAAAUUUUGAUCCUAGAAACAAUUUAGUUCUAGCGACAAUCUCAUUGCAUGUACCAAAUAUUAACAUGUCAUCCACAUACAAGCAUAUAAUGACACUAUCACCAUUUUUCAGAUUUAUAGCACACACAUUUAUCAGCAUCAUUAGGUGAGAAACCAUCACAGAGCAACACAUUAUCAAGUUUUUCAUGCCAUUGUUUUGCUGGUUGUUUCAACUCAUACAAGGAUUUUAAGAGUUUACAAACUUUAUCCUCUUGACCAGGUACAACACACCCUUCAGGUUGAGUCAUAUAAAUUUCUUCCUCUAAAUCGCUGUUAACGGAUUGGCAAGCAUACCAAAUCGUUCAAGUAAUAAUAAAAUGGUAAGUCCAAGUAUCGUUUCCCAAGAGACUCGAAAGGCCUUAUCGUUCGGGUAAAUUAAAAGAGUAAGACUUGAAAAUAAAAAUUAAUUAAUUUGAUUUGGGAGCAAAAUAUAAACAUGCACAAAAGAUUGAUUCAAUUGACGAGAAGAAAACAAUGGAUGAAUGGAGUUGUUGGGGGUUUACAAUUUCAUCUUAUCCCCUCUCUCCUAUUUACUCCUCUUGAUUAACUAGCUUGAUUAUCUAAUUUUCAUGCAACUUUCUUGGCCUACCCUUAACCCGAUCCCUCGGCGAAAAGAGCCUAUUACUAAUUAGUAGCUUGCUAUCCCUAGNNNNNNNNNNNNNNNNNNNNNNNNNNNNNNNNNNNNNNNNNNNNNNNNNNNNNNNNNNNNNNNNNNNNNNNNNNNNNNNNNNNNNNNNNNNNNNNNNNNNNNNNNNNNNNNNNNNNNNNNNNNNNNNNNNNNNNNNNNNNNNNNNNNNNNNNNNNNNNNNNNNNNNNNNNNNNNNNNNNNNNNNNNNNNNNNNNNNNNNNNNNNNNNNNNNNNNNNNNNNNNNNNNNNNNNNNNNNNNNNNNNNNNNNNNNNNNNNNNNNNNNNNNNNNNNNNNNNNNNNNNNNNNNNNNNNNNNNNNNNNNNNNNNNNNNNNNNNNNNNNNNNNNNNNAUAUGAAAAUCAUAUAAAUUAAUCAAGAGUUUUAAUAGAAGAAAGUAUCAAAAGAUUACAUUGUUUCCCCCAACAACAAUAGGGUUUAGUUCACCAUAGUCAUGGUGAAUCUAGAUUAGAAAUGGAUGAAGAAUGGAAAAACAAACCCUAGAUAAGAAGAAAUGGAGCCUAAGCAUCCAAGAUAUCCUCUCCAGAGAGUGAAAUUAGGUCUGGUCGCCCCCUUAUGUCAAAAGAAUGCAUUUGAGAUCGCAACAGGGCUAUUUAAAGUUGAGGAGCGUCACAGAAAACAGGCCCAAGCCCAGCAGACAACUGCCCGACGCCACACCUAUUCCGCCUGGCGGUUUCCCUCAAGUCGCGCUUCCGCCCGGCGGCAGGGGUCUACCGCCCGGCGGUUUGCCUCUAGUCGCAAAUUUGCCCAGCGUCCAUGCCUGGUGCCAACUCCUCGCACUGGACAGCCCAACGAUGUAAUUUACCGCCGGGCGGUGCGUCGACUCUUCAUUUCUUCAUUUCUUCAUUUUUCUUCCCGUUUCUUGAGUCUAUACCUUCAUCUUCAACUCCAUUCUUCACUUUCCCAAAAAUGCUACAAAACAAUGCAAAACAAGCAUAAUAUUGCUAAAAAUAGCUUUUGACUCUCUACAGACUCGUUUAUUGAGUUUUGCUUGAUUCUAAGCUCAUUCUAAGCCUUGAAGAGUGUAAUUUGGUCUAAAUUGACAUGUGAAAAUAACUGUUUUUCAACCGUUAACAACACCCCCAAACUUAAAUCUUUGCUUGUCCUCAAGCAAACAAAACAAAACAGAAAACAAAACAGAGCUUGGCUUUAUACUAUUUCAUCCAAUGAUUCAACACUCCUAAAGUACAUGACAAACACUACUCAAUUUCAAAUCUUCAGUGAAAUCAAACUACGAUGCAUGCAUGCUUUCAAUCCAGAGAUUGCACAUUAUAUGUUACACAUUAUGAAUGACCAAUCCACUAAGCAAAAAAAUCCACUCAUGAAAAUUAACAAUUCAAACCAAGCAAGUGUUUCACUCAAUCACUCAAGUGUUUAGGGUGACACUCCAACUCUCUAUCAUUCACAAGUCACAUGAAACAAAAUUGCCAUUCAUCUUAAACAAUCAACAUCUUUACAUGCAAAUGCCAUCAAAAGGACUUUUCCAAGGCUUGUAAUGAGGUUGGGUUAACAAGAAAAAUUGGUUUUUCUGGAAAACACAAUCCUUGAGUUAAGAGAGCUAUCAUAAUAUUCAACAUUUAAGCACAACUCUCUUCCUCCCAAUCUCUCUCAUUCCCAACUUUUUCCUUUUUUCUUUUCAUUGAGCUCAUCUUCAUGCUUUUUCUUAUUUUUUUCUUUUUCUCAUGUAUUUUUCUUUUUCAACAUUUGAGCUCAAUGCUUCUUAACAAAUUUUCAAUUUCCCCCAUGCAACCCCAAACUUGAACCUUUUCAUCACAUAUAGUUAAAAGCUCAUCCCAACUCAAGCUAAAGAAUUUCAAGACAAGGGUUCACAUCCUGUUUAAGGCUAAGGUUCAAAAAGGGUAUAAUAUUUUAAGCUCUGCGGGUGAAAAUUUGGCUAGAGAAGGGUUUUCAAAAAUGAUCUUGAUCAUAUGACAUUCACAUGCAAUUCAAUCAAUCAUCAAGAUUAAGGCAAUAUCAUUCAUGUUUUCCUGUGAAUAAUACAUACAACAAUGAAAACUCUGGAGCUCAAUACCUCACACAACAUGCUUUCUCACACAAAAUUCAUACAUACACCCUGCUUAGCAUCAUAAUCACAAUCAUAAUUUACUAUACACCUGUUUCACUGAAUAUCAAUAUGCAACACAACCCAAUUAUCAAUCACAUCAGAUCAUCAUCAAAUAAGCUCAUCAUGCAAAUUAGUCAGUCAAACAUCUUCUGAAAAGUAUUUAGGCCAAGCAUACACACUGAAAAAUAAAAUUCAACCUAUUCUAAGAAUUAAAAAUGUAAAAGUAAAAGAGAGAAAACUAGGUUGCCUCCUAGUAGCGCUUGUUUAACGUCACGAGCCUGACCCAAACCUGUUUAGCACUUGUCAGUAAGUGUAAUUCCUUCCACCACCCAUCAGUAGGUGUGCCUUCCUAGAAUCCUUCAGUCGAUUCAAGAAAAUUUUAGCAUCCCUCAGUAGAUGCUACCCAAAAAUUCCAAAAAUUACAUGUUCCAACGAAAGUAAAAAUGAAAAUGACAAAAAAAAUGAAAAGUGUUCAUAAAAAAAACAAAAAGUGACUUUUAGCAAAUCAACUCUUUUUCUUCACUUUGGGAUCCUCAUCGUCCCACCGGCUCAAUUGUCUUCGGUCUACUCUCUUGACUGCUGUGGAAUAUGGCCUUCUAAUCUCCACCAUUCCUUCAUCUUUUAGCUUCCUGUUGAUAAUCCACUUCCUGUUUUUAAAUCGCACUGAAAAGCGCCUCAGGAAAGGCGUGUCCUCUAAGAGAGUUGAUUCCUCCUUGCAAGCCUUCCCUUUUUCAUGAAUCUGCAAAACAUUACAAUUGUCACAAAAAUCAAUACCUGUGGAGUUUUCUUCCUUUGCAGUUUCUCUCUUGGCCAUUUUAUAUUUGAAUCUCUUUACUGCCCUCCGUGUAGUUUCUUCAGAGCCAUAAACCAGCACUUGGUCAUUAUCCCUUAACUUUAUUCCUCCAUCAUGGAUACGUAUAACCAUCUUAGAAGUCCGCAUGAACGGUCUUCCUAAGAUUAAUGGAAUUCUUCCCUCAUUGGUCAUAUCCACAACUAUAAAGUCAACCAAAAAUUCCUACUCCUUAAUCCGGACAAUUACAUUUUCCACCAUUCCAACUGGCUUCUUCCUAGAUCCAUCCGCCACUGUCAAGAUCGACUUGGUGGGCUUUAAUUCUAGCCCUCCAAUCUUCUUAAAAUCACUAAAGGGCAUCAGAUUAACGCUUGAUUCCGAAUCAAUCAUAGCUUCCCCUAAAUUUACAUCAUUUAUGACGCAAGGAAGAGUCAAAGCCCCUGCAUCCUCCAUUUUUUGCGGAUGGUCCUUCUUUCUGGGCUUAACCAGCUGCUCUUGAUCUUCUUCAUGACCCAGAUCAAUUAACCUCCCAAGGUAGUAUUUGAUCUUCUCAUCAUACUCAGAGGUUUGUGAAAAUGUUCUAGGGUUAAUGGGUGCCUCAUUAAGAAUAUUACGGAAUGAUUCUCUAAUAUUUUCCUGCUCUUUUUCUCUUUCUGUUUUCUUCUCUUCGCAUCUCUUAUGCUUAUUACGAAUCCUCUCCUCCUCUUCAUCCUCACUACUUCCAAUCUCAAUUAUUUCCUCCUCUGGCUUCCUUUUACUUCUGGUUAUAACAACUUUGCACUCCUCUUUUGGGUUAACUUCAAUGUUAGCCCGAAAUUGAUUUUUCUCCGUGGUUUCAACCCUCUUCGACAACUGUCCAAUCUGUGUCUCCAGUGAUCUAAAGUUGGCCUGAUCACUUGCUUGUUGAGACUCAUAAACUUUCAAAAAUUUGUCAAAUCUGUCAGUUAAUCCUCUGACUGUCUUUGUCAAGCUGCUUACUUGCUGCCAUAGGGGGGAAGGUUGUUGCUGCCCGAAGUUACCCACUUGUCCAGAUGAAUUUUUCUGACUCUGCCCAAUACUGGGGUGAUUUUUCCAACCUUGGCUAAAAUUCCCAUGGUUGAAAUUGCCUUGCUUAUUUUGAAAUUGGGCUCUCAUGCAAUUAACAUCCUACUACAUCUCCUCCGUGAAAGCACAUUGACCAUUGAUAUGGUCACCACCACAUAAAUCACAAAGUUGUUGUGUUUGAGAAAUAUUUAUGGUUCCCCUAGGAAGUUCAGAGAGGACCUUCGUCAAUUUAUCUAAUUUCUGGCUGAGAAGAUGAUUCUGAGCAGCUGCAGCAUCUUCAACAGGAAGAUGCAAGAGUCCUCCUUUUUGUAUGCCCCUCUCACUCUGUGCUACUUUAGUUAAGGCCAUCUCUUCAAUCAAGUCAUACGUCUCAUCUUCCGUUUUUCUAUUAAUACUACCUCCAGCUGAGGCAUCUAGCAUCAUCUUGGAAUGAGCACGUAAACCUCCAAGGAAAGCAAGUAAGUAUGACGUCUUAUCGAACUCAUGAACUGGGGUCUUCCUCAAUAAGCCUUUAAAUUUGUCCCAUGCUUGCCCGAGAGUUUCCUCCAUCCCUUGCUUUAAUGAAGAGAUCUCCAACUUCCCUUGAUUAAUUUUUGGAGCGGGAAAGAAUUUAGUUACAAAUUGCUCUGCCACGACUUCCCAAGUCCUGAAAGUUCCUUCAGGGAAAGAAUGCAACCAAUCCUUUGCGUUUCCUCCCAGAGAAAAAGGAAACAAACUGAGUCUAACUCUGUCAUCCGACACUCCAUGAAUCUUCACGGUGUUGCAAAUCUCACCAAAGAUGGUCAAAUGGUUAUAAGGAUUCUCAUUCGACAACCCAUGGAAUUGAUUAUUCUGCACCAAUUGGAUGAGCACCGGACUCAUCACCAUGCUGGUUGCGUUAUCAGUUGGAACUGUUAUAUUGUUGAAGUUUAAGGGGCCCACUGUGUUAGUUGCAUCCCCUAGUGUACGUCUGAGAGGAGGUUGGUAGUCAUCUCCUCAAUAUCUGGUGCAGGAAUCACAAAUGAAGACUGCAAAAAUGCUUCAGGAGAAAGAGAUCUCCCAAGUGAAGUACGUCUCCUUCUCCUCCUGUCCGGUAGUCCUUCUAAGAGAGGUUGCUGGUCUUUUCUGCUUCUAGUAUGUAUUUCUUCCUGCAUACACAAGAAACAAACCCUAAAAGCACUUUUACAGAAAAAUAAAAUAAAACACAAAUAACAAAAUAAAACAAAAAUAAUUACAGCCAAGUCAAAUUCAGUCGAUCCACACUACUAGAAAAAGUUAAACCUCGAGUCCCCGGCGGCGGCGCCAAAAACUUGUUAACGGAUUGGCAAGCGUACCAAAUCGUUCAAGUAAUAAUAAAAUGGUAAGUCCAAGUAUCGUUUCCCAAGAGACUCGAAAGGCCUUAUCGUUCGCGUGAAUUAAAAGAGUAAGACUAGAAAAUAAAAAUUAAUUAAUUUGAUUUGAGAACAAAAUAUAAACAUGCACAAGAGAUUGAUUCAAUUGACAAGAAGAAAACAAUGGAUGAAUGGAGUUGUUGGGGGUUUACAAUUUCAUCUUAUCCGCUCUCUCCUAUUUCCUCCUCUUGAUUAAUUAGCUUGAUUAUCUAAUUGUCAUGCAACUUUCUUGGCCUACCCUUAACCCGAUCCCUCAGUGAAAAGAGCCUAUUACUAAUUACUGGCUUGUUAUCCCUAGCCUCCCCUAACAAUUAAUAAUGCAUUAUAGAAUAGAAGUGACAAACAAUUGAUCGUCCUACCCCUAUCCCUAGGUGGUAUUGCUUAAUCAAGGAAUUACUCACCAGUUCAUGACAGUGUUGUACGUCCCCGUAUCAAUAAAGACAAACAACAGUUAUCGAAUGAGUUAAACAAUAAAAGCAUUAAGCACAGAUGAGAACCCAACAAUUAAUAAUCAACGCAUAUGAAAAUCAUAUAAAUUAAUCAAGAGUUUCAAUAGAAGUGAGUAUCAAAAGAUUACAUUGUUUCCCCCAACAACAAUAGGGUUUAGUUCACCAUAGUCAUGGUGAAUCUAGAUGAGAAAUGGAUGAAGAAUGGAAAAACAAACCCUAGAUAAGAAGAAAUGGAGCCUAAGCAUCCAAGAGAUCCUCUCCAGAGAGUGAAAUUAGGUUUGGUCGCCCCCUUCUGUCAAAAGAAUGCAUUUGAUAUCGCAAUAGGGCUAUUUAAAGUUGAGGAGCGUCAUAGAAAACAGGCCCAAGCCCAACAGACAACCGCCCGACGCCACACUUAUUCCGCCUGGCGGUUUCCCUCAAGCCACGCUACCGCCCGACGGUUUUCCUCUAGUCGCAAAUUUGCCCAGCGUCAACGCCUGGUGCCAACUCCUCGCACUGGACCGCCCAGCGGUGUAAUUUACCAUCGGGCGGUGCAUCGAUUCUUCAUUUCUUCAUUUUUCUACCAUUUUCUUGAGUCUACGACCUUCAUCUUCAGCUUCAUUCUUCACUUUCCCAAAAAUGCUACAAAACAAUGCAAAACAAGCAUAAUAUCGCUAAAAAUAGCUUUUGACUCUCUACAGACUCGUUUAUUGAGUUUUGCUUGACUCUAAGCUCAUUCUAAGCCUUGAAGAGUGUAAUUUGGUCUAAAUUGACAUGUGAAAAUAAUUGUUUUUCAAUCGUUAACAAUCGUCAUUCAAAAAAGUUGUCUUAACAUCCACCUGAUGUAUCACUAGUUUAUGGAUAGCUGCUAGAGCUAACAACACUCGAAUAGAGGAAAUCCUAGUCACAGGAGCAAAAGUAUCAAAGUAAUCUAUGUUGGGUUUUUGAGUAAAACCUUUUGCUACUAAUCUUGCCUUAUAUUUCUCUGUGGAUCCAUCAGGAUGAUACUUUUUCUUAAAGAUCCACUUACAACCUAUGGGUUUUGCUCCUUUAGGAAAAUCUACUAAAGUCCAAGUAUUGUUUUUCUGAAUUGAUUCAAUUUCAGUACUAAUGGCCUUAUCCCACUGUUUUGCAUCAGGAGCACUAGUAGCUUCUACAAAGCUUAUUGGAUAACUAUCACCAAGAUAAGUAUAAAAGUCAUCUCCAAAGGAAGUUUCCUUUCUCUGUCUUUUACUUCUUCUCAAAUCCUCAUUCAUGGUAUCACGAUUAUUAUUAUCAUUAUCAUCAACAGGUUGAGACAUUUCACUAACCUUUAAGGGAAACACAUGUUCAAAAAACUCAACAUUUUUCGUUUCCAUUAUAAAGUUUCUCUCAAGUAUGUUACUUUUAACAACUAGAAACCUAUAGGCAGCACUAUGUUUAGCAUAACCUAAGAACAUGCAAUCAAUGAUUUUAGAGCUUAUUUUCCUUUUCUUAGGAUUGGGUAACAUUACCUUAGUUUAGGCACCCUCACACUCUUAGAUAUUUAAGGUUAGGUUGGUAACCUUUCCACAACUCAUAAGGAGUUUUACCUGUUUUCUUAUGAGGUAUUCUAUUUUGUAAAAAACAUGCAGUAAGCAAGGCUUCUCCCCAAAGGUUAUCAGGUGCACUAGAACUAACAAGCAUAGCAUUCAUCAUUUCCUUAAGGGUUCUAUUUUUCCUCUCAGCUACUCCAUUAAGCUCGGGUGAAUAUGGUGGGGUCACUUCAUGGAUAAUUCAUUCUUUAACACAAAAGUCAUUAAACAAAACAUACUUACCACCUCUAUCUAAUCUAAUCCUCUUAAUUUUCUUAUUCAAUUGAUUUUCUACUUCUGCUUUAUAGGUUAAAAACACAUCAAAGGCAUCAUAUUUGUUUUUGAUUAAGUAAACUUUGGUGUAUCUAGAAAAAUCAUCUAUAAAGGUCACAAAAUAAUUUAUACCUCCUGUAGACAUUGUUUGUUUCAUAUCAGCUAGAUCAGCAUGAACUAACCCUAACAGUUCAGUUUGGCGUUCUACGGAAAAACAUGUCUUCUUUGUUAAUUUAGAUUCUAUACACAUAUCACACUUACUACUCUGUUUAUCAUGUAUAUUAAUCAAUCCUAGUUGUUGUAAUUUCAAAACAUACGAGGAAUUCACAUGACCUAAUCUAGCAUGCCAUAUAUCAUACGAGUCAACAAUAUAAGCAGAAGAACUAGAUUCAUUCAUAAUUUCAGAAAUGUUAAGUACAAAGAGACCUUGAUCACAAUAUCCAUUCCCCAUAAAAACAUUAUUUUUUUUCAUAAUGAUAUUGUCAGACUCAAAUGACACUUUAACCCCCACCUUUCCCAACAGUGCUACAGAGAUUAAAUUAACUUUGAUUUAUGGCACAUGUAGCACAUCACUCAAGGCCAGAGUCUUUCUAGAUGUGAGUUUGAGAAGAACUUUUCCUUUUCCUAGAACAGAAGUUGUGCUGGAAUCACCGAGAUAGACAAGUUCUUCUCCAUCCCCUACAUUAGUGUAAGAGGUAAAGGCACUUUUGUUUGCACAGAUAUGCCUGGUAGCACCAGAGUCUACCACCCACUUGCUCACAUUGGUCAUCAGAUUUGCUUGAGAAACUACCGCAGCAAUAAUGUCAUCUCCUUCAGCUAUAUAUGCCCUAAGAGGAUUAUCGUUUCUUACUUUACGCCAGGUGGGUUUAGAUUCAUUGGGACGGGAUUUAAGAAAAAUAUUUUUCUUUUGUGAUCAGGUUUGUGUGCGUAUCUUUUGGGAGUAGCAGCAACUUCAUACAUGUCUAAAAGUGUGGAAACGCGUUCUUACCAGCGUCGGAAGUUUUGUCCAGAGAAGACCUCAAUUUUUGGCACGUCCAGAAGUGAUUUUGCGAAGACUGUCUGGGUUCCGGAAACAAUAGUUUGGCUCUCCAAAGGCAUGCUGUUGACGUCAGCCAUAAGUCCUUAAGAUUAUUGUAAAAGCUGACAAAAUAGUAUUUCCUGCGCGUGUAGAGUCACCGUUUUUAAGGACUUAUCCACGAUGUAUUGCAUAAGUCUCCCAGGAUACAAUAGGAACUUUUCAAAAUAUUUCUAGGAAUAAAACUUAGAAGAGAAGAGAAUGAAAAAAGAUUGAUUUUUGGUGUGUCUUGGAAUGAGAAAAAUACUCUCUAUUUAUAGAACUAGGAGAGAAUGAAGGAAAAAAAAAAUCAUAAAGACAAAACAAAUUAAUGUUGGAGCAUUAAAAAUAUUUUGAUUAUUGCUAUUAAAUUUUUAAAUGUUGAAAUUAAUAAAAUAUUUUUUUCCGUUGCCAACACCAACGUUCUAAACAAUUUACGGCUUUAACUUUUGCAAUAUCACUAUAAUUAUGAUAUAUAUAUAUAUAUAUAUAUAUAUAUAUAUAUAUAUUCAGAAGAAACAGUAAAUGAAAAAACACUUUUUUCUCAAGUAAUUACGAAAAAGAAUAAUUUUUUUUCUCUCAAGAUAAUAUCACUAAAGCACCCUUUGGAAUAAACAAAACACAGUUCCUCGAAGAAUUGGUUAAAACAAAACAAAAAGAUAAAUAAAGCAAACAAAAAUAUGCAGAGAGAUUCCAUGAACACAGAUUUCAAUUUUUUUUUCUGCAAUCAGUUUUUCUACCAACCAAAUACAACUAACCCCAAUUUCCAGAACAUGAUAACAUGACAAGAAUCAACAUAACACUAUCUUAGUCUCAACCAAACCAAAUCAUGACAACAUAAGAUUUUAAAAGUUUGAACAAUUAGAGUUUUAAAAGGGGAGAUUAUGUGGUAAGGAUGAAGGACAAAUCAUUUUUUUUUUUUUGAUAAAAAUUCCACUCUUUCUGAAAGUCGUUUUUUUACGUGUAAAAUGUAACAUAUGUGAAAAAUAGACAGAAGCUUUGAAAAAUAAAAAUUAUAGUAAACCAGAAAUGUAAAAUCUACACAUGCAUUUUACACAAAUUAACUUUUUAAAACAAUUGAAAAUGAAAACAAAAUUUAAAAAAAAUAUACAAAAAUCUUUAUAAGUUAGGCAUUUGUAUGAGUUGUAUAUUUAUUAUUCUUUCUACACCUUAGAUUAUUCCACCACAUAAGAUAAAAACUUUUAAUGUGAUUGGUUCGCCUAAUAAUGAUAUUUGAGUGAGUGACUGCUAAGUAAAUGGGAGAGAUAAUACAUUUAAUGUGAACUUGACUAUUUAUAUAGUCUUUAAAAUAUAUUAUAAUAUUAAUUUUAAAAAAUAAUUAUUUGGUUGUCAAUUAGUAAAAAUGAAGUUAAAUAAAAUAAUAACAUAUUAAAAGUGAUUUGAGGAGUCAAUAAAUUCUAAAAAUUAUUUUGAUAAAUAAAGUUAACAAAUUGUUUAAAUAUAUAGUUUAUUCUUUCAUGCAUUUGUAUAAUAGGUUAUUACAUGAGGAAAAUCAAUAAUUAGAUCUCUAAAAUAGUUUUAUUUUAUGAUUUAUGUGUGGUGUUCUAAUUUUGUAAUCCAUAUAGUGGAUUAGACUUUAAAAGUCUUUUUGAUUUCAUUUUCUGCAUUUCCUUGUCAUAAUUUGAUAUACCAUGAAAUGGGUUGGACUAGUUCUAUUUUUUUUUUUCUUUAGUCUCUUUAAUUUUCUAACUUAUAAAAUGGAUGAGGAAUAAAAAAUGCAUGCAUUUAAACAAGGCUUUCAUACAUUUUUUGGUCGUCUCUCUAAUUAAAUUUUAGCACCUAAAUUACGUUUCUUCUUGUCUAUUAAAUUGGUAGACUUUAAAAAAAGAAUAAUAAAAAUAUAUUACUGUUUUUGACAACUCAAUUUGAUUUUAUACUAUAUAAAAUUUAAAUUGUUUACUUUUUGUGUUUUCAUAUAGAUUUUGUCACUUUGUCACUUUUCAAAAUAUGAAUACUCUAAAUUCCGAUAAAAUUAUUAAACAAUAAAAGAAAAAAAAAAGGAUAAAUUUAAUGAAAACGGAGAAAAAUAGCUGGGCAACAGUAUAAAUAUUAGAAGUUUUAUAUACAUUGUUUAACUCGUUUAGGUUAAAUUGCAUAGUUUAAUUGAAAAUUAGGCAUUUUUUGUCAUUUAAUUUUAUAUAUUUGGUAGUUGUAUUGAGUUUUCUGUAUUUAAUGUUUUGAAUUUAAGUUGAAACAAACCAUUUUUAUUUAAAAAAAAAAAAACAACUUUUUUGCAUCAGAUAUUGCCAAGUCUAAUGAAAAUUUAUGUGGACAGUAUCAUAUCCCUAACUGCAUAGAAUAUCUUACCAUAUAAGUUAAAAAAAUGUGAUGGCUUUGUUUAACAAUAACAUAAAUACGUGAGAUUGAGUGGCUUAGACAGCGUCAAACAAUUAGCUGGCCUUUUAUUGAGCUCAAAACCUGACUAAGUCUUUCAAUUUUAAUACAAAAAAGAAAAAGAAAUUAAAGAUAAAAAUAAAAUGAGAGAACUUAGGUAGAUAUUUGGUGAGAACUAAAUGAUCUAUGGAGACUCUCUUUACAAUGAAAACGAAAAUGAAAAUAGUUAGAAGAUAGAUAGCGUAAACAUAAAAAGGCAUUGCAGCACUAUAUAUAGCUUAUUUCCUAUCCAUUACCCUAAGCACUUGUUUCUAAUGAAACAAAAAACACUUGUAAAAAUGAAUUCCUUCCUUUUGAUCAUCGUCUUUCUUCAUCUUUGUUGGGUUUCUCUAAGUCUUAGUGCAGAGACAGUGUGCAUUGAGAGUGAGAGAGAGACACUGUUGAAGUUGAAGCAUAAUCUUAUUGAUCCUUCAAAGAGACUUUCUUCUUGGAAUGCUUCUCUCAAUCCCAAUUGUUGUCAUUGGUAUGGAGUUCUCUGCAACAACGUCACAUCCCACGUUGCAGAGCUUCACCUCACCACUCCACUUCCUCUUUAUGAUGAGAUCCUAGGUCGUGUUGUUUAUGAAGAAGCAUACGAAGAGUAUAAUAGAAGGGCAUUCAGUGGAGAGAUAAAUCCUUGUUUGGUUAAUUUGAAGCAUUUGAAUUACUUGGAUUUCAGCGGCAAUCUUUUUCAAACUCCAUUUCCUUCUUUCAUAGCAACAAUGACUUCCUUAACUCACCUCAACCUUUCUAAUGCUGAAUUCAUGGGGAACAUUCCUCCUCAGAUUGGAAAUCUCUCCAAUUUGCUCUAUCUUGAUUUAAGUGAUGCUGCCAACGGAACAAUUCCUUCCCAGAUAGGGAAUCUCUCCAAUUUGUUGUACCUUGACCUCUCUUAUGCAUUCAACGGAAGAAUUCCUCCUCAGAUAGGGAAUCUCUCCAACUUGCUCCACCUCGACCUCCAAGGAAUAUAUUAUGAUGAAGAAUUAUUUUAUGAAAAUGUUGAUUGGCUGUCAAGUCUUUCCAAGCUUUCUUAUCUUCACUUGACCAACAUUCAGUCACUUGUAAGAGGUAUGUCAUUUCCUUCUUUUCUUGGCUCAAUGACCAACUUAAUUCACUUGGACCUCUCUUUUUCUGGAUUUAUGGGCAACAUUCCUUCCCAGAUUGGUAAUCUUUCCAAUUUGGCGUAUCUAGACUUAAGUUAUGCUGCCUAUGGAACUAUUCCCUCUCAAAUUGGAAAUCUUUCUAACUUGCUUUACCUUGACCUACAAGGUCGUUAUUUUGUUGGAAAUGUUUACUGGUUGUCAAGUCUUUCAAAACUUGAAUAUCUUGAUUUGGGAGGUACAAACCUAUCCCAAUCAUUUCAAUUGCUUCACACCUUCCAACUUCUUUCUUCUUUGAAGCACUUAUAUUUGUCAGAAUGUACACUCUCUUGGUAUAAUCAACCAUCCUUUCUUAACUUUUCGUCUCUCAUCACUCUUGAUCUUUCCCAUAUUUCUUAUUCUUCUACAAUUUCUUUUAUUCCAAAGUGGGUAUUUGGACUGAAAAAUCUUAUUUCUCUUUUCUUAUAUGAAAACAACUUUGGAGGUCCAAUUCCGGAUGGUCUUAGAAACCUCACACUUCUUGAAAAUCUUGAUUUGGAUGAAAAUUUAUUAUCAUCUUCUAUACCUCAUUGGCUUUUUGGUGUUCUUUCUCAUCUCAAGUUCUUGGACCUAUCACAUAACAACUUACAAGGAGUUAUUCCUAAUAAUUUAGGAAAUGCUACUUCUCUUAUUACACUUUAUAUGGUACGUAAUCAACUUGAAGGUCCAAUUCCAACAUCAUUAGGAAAAGUGGCUUCUCUGGUUAAACUUGAUCUAUCAUACAAUAAACUUGAAGGUCCAAUUCCAACUUCUUUGGGAAAGGUGACCUCUCUAGUUACACUUGAUUUAUCACACAAUCAACUUUCAGGCAAUCUAAAACUAGAUUAUUAUGGCAGCAACGUUGAUGGUGAACAUCCAAAAUCACAUGGAAAACUUUCAUCAUUGAGAGUUCUUAAGUUGUCUUCAAAUCAUCUUGGUGGAAAUCCAUUUAAAAGUCUUGGAUCACUCUCUAAAUUGGUACACCUUGACAUUGAUGACAAUCAUUUCCAAGGAGUUGUCAAUGAAAGUCAUCUUGAAAAUCUUACAAGCUUGAGAUAUUUUUAUGCAUUAGGAAACAAUUUGACUUUAAAAGUGGCUCGCAAUUGGCAUCCUACUUUCCAACUUAUCCGUUUGGGUAUGAGCUCUUGGCAAUUAGGUCCCAACUUUCCAUCAUGGACUCACUCACAAAAUGAACUUGAAGAUUUAGAGAUGUCUAAUACAAGGAUUCUAGAUUAUAUUCCCCCUUACUUUUGGAAGGCUUUUUAUUCUCUAAAAUAUCUAAAUCUCUCUAAUAAUCAUAUUCAUGGUAAGAUUGAAAAUUCAUUGGCAAAUCCAUUAUCUUUUAUGAUCAUUGAUCUAAGCUCAAAUCACUUGCAUGGAAAAUUACCAUUUUUUUCUAGUGAUGUUAUAUUGUUAGAUCUCUCAGGUAAUUCAUUCUCUUCCAUGUAUGAUUUCUUAUGUUGCAAGCAAAUCAAGACAUUUGACUUGAAUCUUNUCAAUCUUGCUUAUAAUAACUUAUCAGGAAAAAUACCUGAUUGUUGGAAAAAGUGGCCAAAUUUGAUAAAUGUAAAUCUACAAAGCAACCUUUUUGUUGGGAACAUGCCCUUGUCCAUGGGCUCUUUAGCUCGAUUACAGUCUUUGAACAUCCGUAACAACUCAUUAUCAGGAAUAUUUCCUACUGCUUUGAAGAAGAUCAACAAUUUGAUAACCUUGGACAUUGGAGAAAAUAAUCUUUCCGAAACUAUUCCAACAUGGAUUGGAGAAAAGUUGCCAAGAAUUAAAAUUCUUCGCCUUCGAUCAAACAAUUUUUCAGGUCAUAUUCCAAAUGGCAUAUGUGAUAUGAUAUUUCUUCAAGAUUUUGACCUUGCACAAAAUAGUUUGUCUGGAAAUAUUCCAAAUUGUUUAAACAACUUUACUGCCAUGUUCCAAAAAAACAAGAGUACAGAUUUAAUUAUCCAUACCAAUGACACAAGAUCAAAUGCAAUCAGUAUUAUCGUAUGGACAAAAGGAAGGCCUUUAUUGUAUAAUAGUAUUCUUGGCUUGGUGACAAAUGUUGAUCUUUCAAAUAAUAAGUUAUCAGGAGAGAUACCUAGAGAAAUUACUAGAUGGUUUAAUAUAUUUGAAUUUAUCUGGGAAUCAAUUGUCUGGCCAAAUUCCACCAAGUAUUGGCAAUAUGAGAUUAUUAGAAUCUAUUGAUCUAUCAUGGAAUCAAUUAUCAGGAAAAAUCCCUCCAACCAUAUCAAACUUGAGCUUUCUCAACAACCUAGAUUUGUCUCAUAACCAUUUAGAGGGAGAAAUUCCAACAGGCACUCAAAUUCAAAGCUUUGAAGCAUCAGACUUUGUGGGAAAUAAUUUGUGUGGUCCACCCCUACCCAUCAAUUGCACUUCCAAUCACCAAAUUCCAUAUAUUGACCGCUCAAAAACACAAAAUGGUGGGCAUGGAGUGAAUUGGUUCUUCGUGAGCUUCACAGUUGGAUUUAUUGUGGGAUUUUGGAUAGUUAUUGCUCCUUUGUUAGUUUAUAGAUCAUGGAGGUAUGCAUAUUUUUCCUUCCUUGAUAACAUGUUCUAUAAAGUACAAUCAUAUUGGUGAUUGUUGAUUUGUAAUGUAACACUUGUUUUAGUUGAUGGUCAUCUAUCUCUGUAUGAAUGUGUGGUCUACAUUUAUGUUUGUGUUAACACAUGUUUUUGUAUUUUCUUCAUCUUAUAAAAUGCCAAAAAGUUUAUGUUUUUCGUGUUUAUUUACAUUAUUAGUGUUUCGUAUUUCAGUUUAUUUAAAUAAUCUAAUUCUUAUUUUCUUCUCUUUCAUUCCUCAUGCCAUUAAAGGAUAAAUGUAUUUUCUUCUAAUAGUUCUACUAGAAUAAAAUGCAAUACAUAUAUUUUGUCUCUGCUAUUGUUUUUGGGAUGCACAUAUCAUCCACACCUACGUGAAAGUUUUAUUAAUUAUAUAAAGAUUAUUUUAGGAUAUCCUAUUAGGUCACAUUUCUUAUUAAACGAAUUUAGGAAAAGUUGCUUAUCUUUUAUAAAAUUCUAAAAAAAAAUAAAUAGAGAACCUUAUAUUUCUUAAAAGAAAAAGACAUAAAGUUGAUUAAACCAAUUUUUUGAAACUUUGCUAAUUCUUUUUGUCAACAUUGUUGUUAGUUGUGUGGGGCCUCAACUUGCUCUUGUAGUUGCUCUUGUAGGCUGUAUCAAUUAGUACUAUUUAUAUUUCCAGCUAGCUUACCUUGUGAGUAUCUAGAUUAUUUAAUUAUUUAUGAUCCUUUUUUAUAUUAGUUUACCUUAUUAUUUCUUUUGGUGUUUUUUGUAUGUUUGUUAGUUUGCUUUGCGAUUAUCACUUUAUUUGUAUGAGCAGAUGAAGUAUAAACAUUGAAGCAUAUCUAGUGAAGAUAGUGAUGUUGUAGAGUAUUCUUCCUUAUCAUCACUAGUGCAAAAUUAGGUUUUAACGUUACGCAAUAGACGUCAGUUCAGAAAACACCCAACGUAAAUUAUUGACCGGUGGUAUUUUCAUAAAUAAGUGGACAUAUAGACGUCGGUUAGGAGGAGUCCCAUAGACGUCGGGCCCCUACUAACUGACAUCUAUAUGUCUGACAGGUAGGUGAAAAGUCAUUUCUUUCUACCUUAUAGAUGUCAGUUAGAAAGGGCACCGACGUCUAUAAUAUUAUUGACAUCGGUGUCCCUCUAACAUGACGUCUAUAUGUCUGAAAGGUAGGUGAAAAGUCAUUUCCUUUCGCCAUCCAGACGUCUGAUCCCGUCACACCGAUGUCUAUGAUUAUAGACGUCGGCUCCCCCUACAUCUGACGUCUAUAUAUACCACAAAUAUUAAUUUUUAAAUCAAAUGAACGUCACAUUAGUGAGGACCUGACGUAUAUUCUAGAAUAGACGUCGAGAAACCGACGUCUGAUAUCAUGUUAAAUAAGUCACUCGCAGUUACACAUACUUCAUUGUCUUCCUUCGUUUUUCUCUUUGCAGCAUUGCAUUUCCAGGUGCGUUUUCUCUUCGAACCAUUUAAACUUAUGUUUACUUCGAUUAAAUUAAUUUUUGAUGUUUUAUCUUUUGUUUGAACCGAUCAAAAUGAGUUUUAAUUGUGUUUUGGUGUGGUUUUUCUUGUGUCUAUAGGUAGUGUAGUGCACCUCCUCCCUUUGCUAGCUUCCUCAUAAGAAAAGCUUACGUCUUUUGGGUCUCUUAUGGCAUUUCAACUUGAAGCCGAACUUGGGUCCUUGCCUAAUUUCCAUGUCACCGUACUCUUGCGGUUGAAAUGGAACCAGGCAACGACCCAGGUUCGAUUUUUGGUUGAAAUGCCAUAUGAGAUCCAAAAGACAUGAUUUUUUAUUACGAAGAAGCUAGUAAAGGGAGGAGGUGUUACAACGCUACCCAAAGACACAAGCAAAACUGCAUCAAAACACAACGAAUACUCAGUAAACGUCAGUUAAUGACAUAUCCAACGUUAAUUGUGCCCUUAGAUGCCAGUUAGGGCUAUGUAUGACGUCUUUAUAGUGCCCUUAGAUGUCGGUUAGUGACAUGUCUGAUGUCUUUAUAGACGUCGGACAUGACAUUUAACCGAAGUCUUUGUAGACGUCGGAGAUGCAAAUUCUGACGUCCCAUUAACGUCACUCAUAUAGACAUCGGUUCUGGAUGUGACGUUAAAAGCCCAAAAUAACUGACGUCUAAAGCUCUUUCUACACUAGUACGUCUAGUAAUUUUCCUUAAUUGCUUUAGAUAUAUUGUAUUAUUGCGGUUGUUGUUUUUAUAGAUAAUUGUAUUAAUACCAUGUAUUUAUAUGUUGAGACACUCUAUUUUGUUCAUCAAUUUUAUAAUGUCUUAUUUGAUAAGUUGUAAGUUGUUAAAAUUGGGAUAUUAGAAAACCAUAAAAUAUAAAAUUUACACAUUCAUUUUAUACAAAUAAAUUUUUUAAAAAAUUGAUAAUAAAAAUAAAAUUUUAAUAAAAGAAUAUAAAAAUAUCUUUAUAAGUUAGGUAUUUAUAUGAGUUAUAUAUUUAUUAUUCUUUCCUACAACUUAGAUUAUUCCAAAGAUAAAAACUUUAAAUGUGAUGGAUUGGCCUAACAAUGAUAUUUGAGCGAGUCACUGUUAAGUGAAGAUAGAGAUAAUACAUUUAGUGUGAACUAUAAAGAGUGUUUAAAAUAGAUAUUAAGAUUAAGUUUAAAAAAUAAUUAUUGGUUGUCAAUUAGUAAAAAUGAAGUUAAAUAAAAUAAUAACAUUAAAAGUGAUUUAAGGAGUCAGUAAAUUUUAAAAAUUAUUUUGAUAAAUAAAGUUAACAAUUUGUUUAAAUAGAUUAUUGUCGUUUAUUUCUUUCAUACAUUUUAGUAUAAUAUGUUAUUACAUGAGGAAAACCAAUAAUUGGAUCUCUAAAAUAGUUCUAAUUUUGUAAUCCAUAGGACUUUAAAAGUCUUUUUGAUUUCAUUUUCUGCAUUUCCUUGUCACGAUGUCAUAAUUUAAUAAACCAUAAAAUGGGUUGGACUAGUUCUAUUUUUUUCUUUAGUCUCUUUAAUUUUCUAACUUAUAAAAUGGACGAGGAAUAAGAAAUCCAUGUAUUAACAAGCCUUUCAUACAUUUUUUUGUCGUCUCUCAUUUAAUUUUAGCACUUAAAUUACGUUUCUUAUUUAAAAAAAGUUAAAAAAUAUGAUACUGAUUUUGGCAACUCAAUCUGAUUUUAUGCUACAGAAAAUUUAAACUUUGAUUGCCACCAUUGGAGCAACGUGUCUUUUACUUUGCAUCAUUAUUGCUAAAAAUCAAAACUGGCUUCAUUAAAUUCUCUUAGAGUUUGAUUUUCAUUAUUUUCAGUUGAGUGUUUCACAUCCAAAUACAUACAUACAUACAUAUAUAUAUAUAUAUAUAUAUAUAUAUAUGGGGUUUGUUAACACGCGUACGCCUGUUUUUCAGUUGGUACGUUUUAACAAUGUGUACCGGAUUAUAGUAGACAAAAUUACCCUCAUUUAUCAUGAAUUCAAGUUUUAAGGUCAAGGAUAUUUAAAUAAUUUUCAUUCUCAAAACUAAAAAAAAAAAGAAACCCCCAAACCCUUACUCACUUCCCUCAUUCCUCUCAACCCUUCCUCUCUCAUCUCUCUCACUCCAACAUUUUCUCUGUCAUAUCUCUCAUUCCAACAUUUUUUCUGUCAUCCCUACUUUUGCCCCAAUUGAAAAAAAAAAUCAGAAACCCUUUGUCAUCAGAGAUAUUUUCUCUCUCAUCUCAACAUUUUCUCUGUCAUCAUUCCAACAUUUUUUCUCUUAUCUCAACCCAAUUGAAGAUGGUGGUAACAAUUUGAAUUAGAGAUAUUUUUUAAAAAUUGAAAAAGUUUACUCUUUUAUAUUCAUUUUAUAUUUAUUAAUGUGUGUAAAAUGAAUAUAAACUUUGUCAUUUUAUGUUACUCUUCCCAAAUCUCAAAGGUAAAAAAUGAUUUUACUGGUUUUUAUCUUGCACAGUGGUUAAAGUUUAUUCUAAACGCCUGUAGAAGUUGAUUCAGUGAUAAAAAAUGGAGAUAAGGGAAUUAAAGAAAUUGAUAUAGAAGAAUUCCCUAGGAGUACAAUUCUUUCAAUUCUAGGUUGUAAUCUUACAUCAUGUAUCCCAUACCAANNNNNNNNNNNNNNNNNNNNNNNNNNNNNNNNNNNNNNNNNNNNNNNNNNNNNNNNNNNNNNNNNNNNNNNNNNNNNNNNNNNNNNNNNNNNNNNNNNNNNNNNNNNNNNNNNNNNNNNNNNNNNGAAAAUUAUUUAAAUAUCCUUGACCUUAAAACUUGAAUCCAUGAUAAAUGAGGGUACUUUUGUCUACUAUAAUCCGGUACACAUUGUUAAAACGUACCAACUGAAAAACAGGCGUACGCGUGUUAACAAACCCCUAUAUAUAUAUAUAUAUAUAUAUAUAUAUAUAUGAAUUACCAAAAUGAUAUUUUAACAUCAUUUUUUGACACCAUUUUGACAUUGCACAUGUGUCAAAAUGUGAUUGGACGAUUUCAAAUUAAAAAAAUUGAGGUAAGGGUAUAUUUGGAAGAGAAAAACCAAAAUUUAUUUUUUUAAUUUGAAAUCGUUCAAUCACAUUUUGACACGUGUGCAAUGUCAAAAUGGUGUCAAAAAAUGGUGUUAAAAUAUCAUUUUCCUAUUAAUUAUAUUCUCCUCUUGAAGUCAAAUUAUGAUAUAUCAUACGAACACUAAUUUAUUUGCUUUUUUAAUCAAAUGGUAGAAAGGUCUUAAAAAUUUCUUCUUCAUUUACUUAAAUGGUUUCUGUCAACCUUCUCAAAUUUAUCUAUCAUCAAUAAUUGAAUAAUUCACAAUUUACUCGUUUUUAAAGUCUUAAUUUGAAAAAUAAGUCUUAAUUUGAAAAAAAAUCUUAAUUUACAUAUUUUCAUAAGUUGAUUGUUCUUAAUUAUAUGCAUAUGUACCUACAAAAUUUCAAUAUCUUCAUUAUAUCGUAUUUACGAAAUUUGAUUCAAUGGUAUAGUAUAAAAUGAAUUAGGUUAAAUCAUGUAAUUUGUUUCUAUUUUUUUAAGAGAGGUAUCAAAUUGGUCCUUUUCUUGGUUUAAUCAUUUACAACAUCCCUAUUUUUGAGAGUUUUCUCAAUUAGGUCCUCGUUUGGUAAAAAUACUCAAUUAAGUCUCUGAAUGUAAAAUAUUGUAUCAAUUAAGGGUUUGUCGUUAAUUUCGAUGGACGGCGUUAAAAUUCGAUGGACGGCGUUAAAAUUGAAUGUGCGUGACAAGGUGAUGUUACUAAAGUGGCAAUGUAUGGUCAACUAAGUUGCAUUUUUUUAUUUACAAAUUAAAUUUUAUUGAAAUAAAAUUAUUCAAAACCCAACGUUUAAAUAAAAAAAAAUUAACAAAUGAAAACGUUGUGCUUUAAUUGAGUGAAGACUGAUUAGAAGAAAGGGAACCCAGAACACAAAUGGCAUGGUCGCACCCAUCAGCACCACUCGCACAACCAUCAUCAACCACCGCGGGAACCCAAAACAGUCAUCCUCAACCACCACAGGAACCCAGAAUAGGGAGAAACCCUCAACGCAAAAAAAAACAAAACAAUGUAGAAAGGAAGAACCCAAAAAGAAACAUCAAGAGCACAAGAAAUUCCCAUAACUCAAACUCAGAUUCCAAUUUGAAAUCCCUAAAAUCCUAGAACAAACAAAACCCUAAAUCGCAGGAACCAAAACCCCAAAUUCACAAUUUUAGAAACCCUGACCCCAAUGUUGCAAAAUAAGAACUCCAAUUCGCGUUCCAAUCUAUAAAAAAUAAAGCAAAAGCAACCCCUAGAUCGCGAGCCCAAACACGUUCUCCCUUCGCCGAUAAGAUGCUGGAGGGUGAGAUCCUCGCGUCGCGAAACGUCGUGCUGGAGCCCCUUGAAACUCGUCUCUCCUUCCCUGUGAGAAAACCCCAAACAGAACCAAGGAAGGGGAAAUGAGAAAGAAAGGAAUGAACAACACGCCAUUACGAUCUACUCGGAGAAUACGAAGACGUUGUCGAGUCGCACUCUUUCCAUACUGUCAUCGUCACCGCCAUUUGUCCCAGCACGAAACGCAUAAGCCCUCUUCUCUUUGCAAGACAAACCAGAGUAGAGGAGAGAAAGGAAAACAUUACCUUCCUCUUUGUAAGACGAACAGAACACAAUGAAAUAAAAACAUUGCGUUUUAAUUUCAUUCAAGUUUUUUAAAUAUGUAAAUAAAAGAAAGCCAGUUCAGUGUCCAAUGUGUACCACGUCAAUAAAACUUGGUAAUCUCAUUCUGUCAGGUAUAACAUUUUUUAAUGUCGUCCACCCAAAUUAAUGGCAAGCCCUAAAUUGAUCCAAUUUUUCACAUCCAGAGACCUAAUUGAGAUAUUUUACAAUACAAUGACCUAAUUAAGAAAACCCUACAUAAAUAGAGAUGUUCUAAAUGAUUAAAUUUUUUUAUAUAUGUUUCAAUUUGUUUCUUAUUUUAAAAAAUUUGAUACAAUAAAAUCUUUUAUAUUAGUAUUGUACAAACAACAUUAACGAGGUACCAUGUUUCAGUUCAUAGUUUUUUCACUUUUUUUAAUUUUUUUAAAAAAAUAAAAAAAAUUACAUCGUGCAAUAUGGUUGUGAUAGUGUUACAUGUAACUUUCACACUAUAUAUCAUUGUUUUGGUCUCAUUUUACUCUCUGUAUUUUUAUUUUGUCUAAAUUUAAUUCCAAUAUUUUUAAAAUCAAUCAAUUUUGUCCCUCUUUAAAUUAAAAACAAAUUUAAUUUUUAUACAAAUGUUAUACGAAUAUUUUUAUUAAAAUUGAUAUUUUUAUUAAACAUUUUUAACAAGAUUAAGUUUAUUUAUAUUUAUAUUUUAUUUUGAAUUUUAUUAAUUUUUUUUUAAAUUUUAAAUUUGUUUGUUUUAAAUUAAUAUAAAAUUGUUUAAAAUUAUUUUAAAAUUUUACAUUUGUAUUAAUAAAAUUUUUUUCAAAGGGUUUAUUCUCUUGAUGAAACUUUUUUAACUAGAAAAUUUUAAGUUUUUUCUAAACCAUAUGGAAUUGUGUGAGUUUUUUCUCCGUAUAUUUAUUUAUUUUUAUUUUUUAAUAUUAUUGUCCCUUUCAAAAGUUAUUUCUUAGUUUAUAUUAGAUAUAUAUUUUAAAGUUAUUAUUCUUUCCUACAUGUCAUACAACUUAGAUUAUUCCAGCACAUAAGAUAAAAACUUGAAAUGUGAUGGGUUGGCUAACAAUGAUAUUAGAGUGAGUGACUGUUAAGUGAAUGGUUAAGACUUUGUCAAACAAUGAGUUUGGUUUUUAAAGUCAAGACAGAGAUAAUACAUUUAAAAUGAACUUGACUAUUUAUAAUCUUUAAAAUAGAUUAUAAUAUUAAUUUUAAAAAAAUAAUUCUUUGGUUGUCAAUUAGUAAAAAUGAAGUUAAAUAAAAUAAUAGCAUUAAAAGUGAUUUAAAGAGUCAGUAAAUUCUAAAAAUUAUUAUGAUAAAUAAAGUUAACAAUAGUUUUAAUUACAUUAUUUUCGUUUAUUUCUUUCAUACAUUUUCGUAUAAUAGGUUAUUACAUGAAGAAAAUCAAUAAUUCGAUCUCUAAAAUUUUGUUUUUGUGAUUUAUGUGGUGGUGUUCUAAUUUUGUAAUUCAUAUAGUGGAUAGGACUUUAAAAGUCUUUUUAUUUCAUUUUCUGCAUUUCCUUGUCAUAAUUUGAUAAACCAUGAAAUGGACGCGGAAUAAGAAAUCCAUGUAUUUAAACAAGCCUUUCAUUUUUUUGGGCGUCUCUCUAAUUGAAUUUUAGCACCUAAAUUGCGUUGCUUAUUGUGUAUUAAAUUAAUAGAUUUAAAAAAAAAUACAAAAUAUAUGUUACUGUUUUUGACAACUCAAUCUGAUUUUAUACUACAAAAUCUGGAAUUGGACUUUUUUAUGUUUUCAGAUAGAUUUUUUAUUCCAUUCCUAAAAAAACAUUCAAACCAUUUCUUAGAUUGUCAUCUGUCAAAAUACGAAUGUUUUAAAUUCCGGAAAAAAAAAACAUAAAACAAUAGAGAAAAAAAAAACAUAAAUAAAAUGAUUUAAGGAGUUAGUUAAUUGUAAACAUUAUUUUUUGGUUAAAUAAAGAUUAACUAUUUAUUUAAAUAUAUGAUUCUCAUUUAUUUCUUUCAUACAUUCUCAUAUAUUGGAUUAGAUCAUGAAAAUCAAAACUCGCGAAAUAGUUUUGUUUUUAUUUCAUACAUUCUCAAAUCGACAAUCUAUUUAAUUUUAAGCCAAUUCCUUUCACUGCAACAAUCACUUCCUUAUAACUCACCUCAGCCUUUCUAAUGCUGGAUUCAUAGGAAACAUACCUCCUCAAAGUAAAAAAAAAAAUAAUAAUAAUAAUCAUUGGAAAUUAUUUAAAGAAUUAGUUAAUUGUAAACAAAUUGGUUAAAUAAAUUUUAACUAUUUACUUAAAUACAUUAUGCUUAUUUAUUUGUAUCAUACAUUUGAUUAUUUCAUACAAUGGAGUACGUUAGGCAUGUCAAUAGAAAUAGUUAUGUUUUUAUUAUUUUUGUGUAAUGUAGUUUUCUAACCCACAUUAUGGGUUCAAAGAUCGAUUAUUCAAAGUCUUUUGAUUUAUUGAUUUUUCAUCUAUAAAUAUUUUAUAACCCAUAAAACGGGCAUGACUAGAAAGAUAAGCAAUAUAAAGUCUUUGGAGUAGUUUCAUUUUUCUAACCCAUAAAAUGGAUUAGGUGAUAGAAGUACAUGAAAAUUAAUUCACUCAUCUUAUUAUUAAAAAAAGACAACAUAUAUGAUGAUUUUUUACAACUAGUUUAUAGUUUUUUCUUUAAAGAAAAACGUGGGUGACCAUGUUUUCAGAUUUUAAUAAUUUAUAGUGUUUUUUAGACGCUAUUAGAAGUACAGAUUCUUAAAAUCUAAUCUUCUCACUUUUAUAUUUAUUUAUAUUUCGUUUCAACAUUUAUUAAGUAUUAAAAAACCCUUAAAAUAUAUAUUGUGAAUAAAAAGAUGUUCAAAGUUUAACUUAUAUUUAUCAAAUACUAAUAAUUUAAUUAGUUAUAUCAACAAGUUUUUAGAUAUAAGUUAGUUUUUAUGAAUUAAUUAUGAUCGAUAUAUUUCAUAUAAUACAUAAGUCCUUCAAGUCGAAGGAAGUUCUUUAUUGAAAGAAGUGCUUAGAGAUUAUUACUAUGAGCUUUAAAAGAGGUCGUUCACGUUGUAUUUAGGGAGUCUAUUUUCGAUACGCUUUAAGUCUUCAUUCCUUUUUGUACCAAGCGACUCUAAGAGUUCUCUUUGAAAUUGUUCCCUAGACUAAGCAGAAAAUACUAGGAGUUCUCUUUGGAACUUUUUCCUGUGCAAGAAAAUUUCACUCCAAAAACAUGCGUUUAAAUAAAAUAAAGUAAAUACUUCAAUAAUUUAUAAUUUAUUUUUAUAAUAAAAUGGCAUUGGAACUUGACAAAGUUGAACGUAGGUGGUCAGAGUAAGAAGGGAUUGAACCUGUUGGAUAGUCUACUGAUAGGAAUUCUUUUUCGAAUUUUCUGCAUUGUGCGGAGAAUUCUGAAGUCCUUUUUCGGACUUCCCACCGAGCGGCUUGAGGCAGGAGUUAUUUUUCUAAUUUCCUACGUUGAGCGGGGAUUUUUGAAGCCUUUUAUCAGACAUCCCCGAACGGCUUGAGGCAGGAGUUAUUUUUCUAACUUCCUACAUUGAGCGAGGAUUUUUUAAGCCCUUUUUUGGACUUCCCUCGAAUGGCUUAAGGCAGCAGUUCUUUUUCUAACUUCCUACGUUGAGCAGAGAUUUCUGGAGCCCUUUUUCAGACUUCCCCUGAGCGGCUUGAGGUAAGAGUUAUUUUUCUAACAUCCUUCGUUGAACAACAAGUUGUAGAGGAUUGAAUCUUUAUGUGCAAAAUAUUUUCUCACAAAAAGCAUGCGUUAAAGCAAAAAAUUUUAUAAUCUAUUUUUAUAAUGAGAUGACAUUAGAACGUGACAAGGUCGAACGUUGGUCUGAACCUUUGCCUGUGCAAAAUAUUUUUACUCACAAAAAUGAGUUAAAUAAAAUAUUCAACAUUUUAUUUUACAAUGAGAUUGCAUUAGAACCUAAUAAGGUUGAACGUUCCUCUGAACCUUUUCCUGUGCAGGAUAUUUUUACUCAUACAAAUAUGAGUUAAAUACAAAAUAUGAGUUAAAUAAAAUAUUCAACAUUUUAUUUUUACAAUAGGAUGACAUUAAAACCUGAUAAGGUUGAACAUCGGUCUGAACCUUCCUGUGCAUAUGAUAUUUUUACUCAUAAAAAUAUGAGUUAAAUAAAAUAUUCAAUAUUUUAUUUUAUAAUGAGAUUACAUUAAAACCUAAUAAGGUUGAACGUUCGUCUGAAUCUUCUCCUGUGCACAAUAUUUUUAUUCACAAAAAUAUGUUUUAAAUAAAAUAUUCAACAUUUUAUUUUUACAACGAGAUGACACUAGAAUAUGAUAAGGUUGAACGUCGGUUUGAACCUUCCUGCACGUGAUAUUUUUACUCACAAAAAUGAUUUAAAUAAAAUAUUCAAUAUUUUAUUUUUAUAAUGAGGAGUCAUUAGAAUCUCACAAGGCUAAACGUUAGACUCUUGCACAUGAUAUUUUUAGUCACAAAAAUAUGCGUUAAAUAAAAUAUUCAACAUUUUAUUUUUAAAAUGAGAUGACAUUAGAACGUGAUAAGGUUGAACGUUGGUCUAAACCUUCCUGCACAUGAUAUUUUUACUCACAAAAAUAUGAGUUAAGUAAAAUAUUCAAUAUUUUAUUUUAUAAUGAGAUGACAUUAGAACCUGAUAAGGUUAAACAUUCGUUCAAACUUUUUCCUAUACAAGAUAUUUUUACUCACAAAAAUAUGUGUUAAAUAAAAUAUUCAACAUUUUAUUUUUACAAUGAGAUAGCAUUAAAACCUGAUAAGGUUUAACAUAGGUCUGAACCUUCCUGCACAUGAUAUUUUUACUCACAAAAAUAUGAGUUACAUAAAAUAUUCAAUAUUUUAUUUUAUAAUAGGAUGACAUUAGAACCUGAUAAGGGGUUGAAUGUUCGUCUGAACCUUUUCCUGUGCAGGAUAUUUUUACUCACAAAAAGAUGACUUAAAUAAAAUUUUCAACAUUUUAUUUUACAAUGAGAUGACAUUAGAACUUGAUAAAGUUGAACGUUGGUUUGAACCUUCUUACACAAGAUAUUUUUACUCACAAAAAUAUGAGUUAAAUAAAAUAUUUAUUUUAUAAUGAGAUAACACUAUUUGUAUAAACCUUCCUGCACAUGAUAUUUUUAGUUAUAAAAAUAUGAGUUAAAGAAAAUAUUUAUUUUUAUAAAAAAAUAUUCGACAUUUUAUUUUUACAAUGAGAUGGCAUUAAAACCUGACGGUAGACUAAAACUUCCUGUGGAGGAUAUUUUUACUCACAAAAAUAUAUAAGUUAAACAAAAUAAAAUAAAUGCUUCAACAUAUUAUAAUUUAUAAAUUAUAAUAAAAAGUGAAACCUGACAAGGUUGAACAUUAAACUAAACCUUCCUGUGGAAAAUAUUUUUACUCACAAAAAUAUGAGUUAACAAUAUAAAAAUUAUAAUUUAUAAGUUAUAAUAAAAAGUAUUAGAACCUCACAAGGUUGAACCUUAGACUGAACCUUCCUGUGUGGAACAUAUUUUUAUUCACAAAAAUGAGUUAACACUAGUGGAAAAAUGAUUUUCUAUAACGACUUAUAUUAUAACGUACAAAAAUUCUCUGUUAUAAUAGAUAUAUAUUAUAACGUAGUUUUGUAAAUCAGUUAUAAUAUCAAACGCGGUGGCAAACUUGUAAAUAAGUUUAAGACAUAUUAUAACGUAGUUUUGAAAAUCAGUUAUAAUAUGAAAUGCGGUGGCAAACUUGUAAAUAAGUAGAAAAUCUAUUAUUAAUGUAUUAUAACGAAAUUUUAGAAAUCCGUUAUAAUAUCUCUUCCUCUCCGAUUCUCACAUUCCUCAUCUGAGAGAGCACUUUCAUUUCUCAAUUAGAGAGCCUCACUCUCAUUUCUCUCCAUUUCGGCGCGUCGUUCUUCUCCAGAUAUCUCCUCGCCGCACACCGUUCAUCAUCACGGUAAGCCUUCUUCACGGAAUAAUCUCAUUUCUUCUAUCCUUCAUUUUCCACCGAAUCAUUCAUAGAUCUAAACCCUCCGUUGGGGUUUCUUCUCAUUUUCACCAUUUUCCUUCGAUUCCACCGAUUAAAACCUUGUUUUCACCGUUUGAAACCUUUUCCACCGAUUCAACUUUAAUUUACACCGAUCAAUCGGUCUAGAAUAGGUUUCCUUCUUCUUUUAGGGUUUCUAUAAGGUUUAAUCCUCUGUUUCUUAUUCUUUUUCGAGUUUUUGUCAUCCCACUGCGAAAACCCUAACUACCUCUGAGAUUGAGUGAACUGGGAAGGGAAGCAAGAGCGAAUGAGGCAGAAACAGCGAGGAAGUUCUGAUGUCGACAACGAAGUGAAGAAAUGACGACGUGUCGGUUUCUCAGUAAUAGGUGAGUUUCACUUAUUUUUUAGUGCUUGUUGUGUUGAAUUAUUCAUUUCACGGGGGGGGGGGGGGGGGGGUGACGUAUAUGAAUAUUUUGGUCGGGUUUUCAUCUUUAGUUUUUGUGAUAAUGAUUGUUCUCUGAUGCUGUAUAUUCGUCUAUUGAAGUGAUUCUGCUCGUUGCAAAUCUACUGCUGCUGUUUGCCCUCUAAUUAGUUUGUUUGCUCGUGUACGAUACCAGAUGAAUCUGAUUCUAUCGUGUUGGUGGCAGCUUGGAGGAAGAGGCACAUGGAAUUGCCCUCUGAUGCGUCCUGUUGUUUAACUUGGAUGAUGUUGCAGAUGAACUCUCAGAAAGCAGAAGCAGAUGUUGCCCCAUAGCAAACAGUUCAGGUAAAACCUUCACCUUCUUAUUUCUUAAUGUCUUAUACUCACUAGUACAGGCAGGGGAAACGACAGCGAUUGUUUCCGCCCUUUGGCAGCGGUUCCCGAACCGCGGCAUAGUAAGCCGCGGUAAAAAGUCUGGGACUUUAUGCCGCGGUUGUAACCGCGGUAAAAAGUCAGGAAUAGACCGCGGUUCGUACCACAACCGCGGCCUAAACCUUAUUUUUUAAUAAAAAAAAAGUCUAGCCACAACCGUACUUUGAUGUUUUCUCCUAGUGCAGCCACAGUUUGCUUCACCAAGUCUUUCACUAAAACACUGUCAUCCUUGAUAAAAGGCUACCCUAAAAGUGCAAGCUCCCCAGAGCCUUUUAGAGACCCUUCCCUCAACAAUUUUUUCUCUGAUGUUCUCUGGUUUUGAAAGAAGGUCCUCUCUCUGUCUUUCAAGUUCCUUUUCUUCAAUGGAUACAAACUGCACCUGUGGGCUGGCCACCACUUGCAUUGCAAGAUCACCAACCAAUUCCUUGAAUUUCUCACCUCUACCUACAAAAUCAGUUUCGCAGUUCACCUCAAUUAGAACGCCAAUGCGUGAAUCGUGAAUGUAUGAACCAAUUCUGCCUUCUGCUGCUAGCCGGCUUGAUUUCUUGUCGGCAGAGGAAAGACCCUUUUUUCUCAGGUAUUCUUGGGCCUUUUCAAGAUCCCCUCCAGUUUCAACUAGAGCUUUCUUGCAGUCCAUCAUCCCUGCUCCAGUUUAUUUCUUAGUUUCAAUUUAUAUAUAUAUAUAUAUAUAUAUAUAUAUAUAUAUAUAUAUAUAUUAAAAUUAUUAUUCUUUCCUACAUGUCAUACAACUUAGAUUAUUCCAGCACAUAAGAUAAAAACUUGAAAUGUGAUGGGUUGGCUAACAAUGAUAUUAGAGUGAGUGACUGUUAAGUGAAUGGUUAAGACUUUGUCAAACAAUGAGUUUGGUUUUUAAAGUCAAGACAGAGAUAAUACAUUUAAAAUGAACUUGACUAUUUAUACUCUUUAAAAUAGAUUAUAAUAUUAAUUUUAAAAAAUUAAUCUUUGGUUGUCAAUUAGUAAAAAUGAAGUUAAAUAAAAUAAUAACAUUAAAAGUGAUUUAAAGAGUCAGUAAAUUCUAAAAAUUAUUAUGAUAAACAAAGUUAACAAUUUGUUUAAUUACAUUAUUUUCGUUUAUUUCUUUCAUACAUUUUCGUAUAAUAGGCUAUUACAUGAAGAAAAUCAAUAAUUCGAUCUCUAAAAUUUUGUUUUUAUGAUUUAUGUGUGGUGUUCUAAUUUUGUAAUUCAUAUAGUGGAUAGGACUUUAAAAGUCUUUUUAUUUCAUUUUCUGCAUUUCCUUGUCAUAAUAGUUAUGUUUUCAUUAUCUUUCUAGUUUAUGUCCAUUUUCUAACCCAUAAAAUGGGCAUAACAAAAAAAAUAAGUAAUAUAAAGUCUUUAGAGUAGUUUCAUUUUUCUAACCUAUAAAAUGGAUUAGGUGAUAGAAGUACAUGAAAAUUAAUUCACUCAUCUUAUUAUUAAAAAAAGACAACAUAUAUGAUGAUUUUUUACAACUACUUUAUAGUUUUUUCUUUAAAGAAAAACGUGGGUAACCAUGUUCUCAGAUUUUAAUAAUUUAUAGUGUUUUUUAGACGCUAUUAGAAGUACAGAUUCUUAAAAUCUAAUCUUCUCACUUUUAUAUUUAUUUAUAUUUUCUCGUUUCAACAUUUAUUAAGUUUUAAAAAACCCUUAAAAUAUAUUUUGUCAAUAAAAAGUUGUUCAAAGUUAACUUAUAUUUAUCAAAUACUAGUAAUUUAAUUAGUUAUAUCAAAGAGUUUAAGAUGUAAGUUGGGUUUUAUGAAUUAAUUUUUCAAAAUUAAAAAAUAGUGAGAAUGAUAAAAUAAGAAGUGUCAUCUUGAGCAAUUGAUAAAGAAGGGAAACGUGUUGAAGAUGUUGAGUAAUUGAUAUUAUAUUUGACUUCACACUGAAUUAAAAGUAGAUAAUCAAGGAAAUUAUCAAGAAAAAAAUAAUACUAUUUGAUAAGAAAAAAGGUAGAAGAAGAAUGUUAAUAUGUUAUUGUUGUCUGCUGUAGGUAUUAUUAGAAAAUUCAACUGCAGGUAAACCAAAUGCAGAAAGAAAGGACAGACUUUUGAACUGAACUCUUUCUGUUUAACAGCAGGUAGAAUUUAAAGUCUAUCAUGCUUUUUUAUUGGGUCCCUCCCUAAUUAAGUGUUAGCACCUAAAAUCACGUUCCUCCUAGUCAAUUAAGUUGUUAAAUUUAAACAAAAAACAAAUAUGAUAGUGAGUUUGAUUUUAUGAAUUUAGUAUAGAAAAUGAAAAUAGUUAGAAGAUAGAUAGCGUAAACAUAAAAAGGCAUUGCAGCACUAUAUAUAUGUUAUUUCCCAUGCAUAACCCGUAACCACAUAUUUUUAACACUUGUUAAAAUGAAUUCCUUCCUUUUGAUUAUCGUCUUUCUUCAUCUUUGUUGGGUUUUUUUAUGUCUGAGUGCAGAGACAGUGUGCAUUGGAAGUGAGAGAGAGACACUGUUGAAGUUGAAGCAUCAUCUCAUUGAUCCUUCAAAUAGACUUUCUUCUUGGAAUGCUUCUCUCAAUCCCAAUUGUUGCCAUUGGUAUGGAGUUGUCUGCAACAACAUCACAUCUCAUGUUGCAGAGCUUCACCUCAACACUCCACCUCCUCUUUACGAUGAGAUAAUAGAAGCAUACGAAGAGGAUAAUAGAAGGGCAUUCAGUGGAGAGAUAAAUCCUUGUUUGGUUAAUUUGAAGCAUUUGAAUUACUUGGAUUUCAGCUGCAAUAAUUUUAAAGGUAUACCAAUUCCUUCCUUCAUUACAACAAUGACUUCCUUAACUCACCUCAAUCUUUCUCAUGCUGGAUUCAUGGGGAACAUUCCUCCUCAGAUUGGAAAUCUCUCCAAUUUGCUCUAUCUUGAUUUAAGUUAUGCUGCCAACGGAACAAUUCCUUCCCAGAUAGGGAAUCUCACCAACUUGCUCCACCUCCAACUCACAGGAUAUUAUUAUCUAUUUUAUGAAAAUGUUGAUUGGCUGUCAAGUCUUUCCAAGCUUUCUUAUCUUCACUUGAGCCACACUCGGUUACUCGUAGGAGGUAUGCCAAUUCCUUCUUUUCUUGGCUCAAUGACCAACUUAAUUCACUUGGACCUCUCUUUUUCUGGAUUUAUGGGCAACAUUCCUCCCCAGAUUGGUAAUCUUUCCAAUUUGGCGUAUCUAGACUUAACUAAUGCUGCCAAUGGAACUAUUCCCUCUCAAAUUGGAAAUCUCUCCCACUUGCUUCACCUUCGUCUUCCAGGUGAUUAUUUUGUUGGAAAUGAUGAUUGGUUGUCAAGUCUUUCAAAACUUGAAUAUCUUGAUUUGGGAGGUACAAAUCUAUCCCACUAUCGACUUAAGUAAUUUUACCUUAUAUUUUUUUGAAAAUAAAAGAAAAGAGUGAAAGAAGGAUAUGUGUUGAAAAUAUGUUUAAGUUGCUAUUCUUCAGUCCUGAAAAUAUUCUUAGAAUAUUUCACCAUAAAGAAACAAAAUGAGAAAGACUUUUGAGGUAAAUAUUUUGUGUUGACGUAGAAUUUAAAAAACUUUUCACACUUCUUUUUGGGUCUCUCUAAAAUUUUAGCAUCUAAAAUCACGUUACUCCUCGUCUAUUUUCUAACCCAUAUAAUGGGGGCAGAACUUUAAAAUUCAAGCAUAGGUUGAUGAAUUAUUUUAAACUUUAUUCAUUUUUUUUGUGUAAAGAAUUCUAAAUUUAACUUCACAAUCUUAAAAAUAGACAAUGAAGGAAUUUAUCUGAGUUGACUGAAACGUAUUUGAAAAUAAAAUAAAAAGUGUGGAAGAAGAAUGCUAGUCUCUGUAGGUUGUUAUUGUUUACCUCCAAAGACAGAAAAAAAAAAGGAAAAAAUUCAUCUUUGCGUGGACGUAGAAUUUAGAAAAUUCUUUCACACUUCGUUUUAGGUCUCUUAAGUGAUUUUUAGCACCUAAAGUCACGUUGCUGAUUUUGACAUGUAAAUUCAAUUUUAUAAAUUUAGCAUAUAAAAAUUAAAUUGUUGGAUAGAUAGCGUAAUAUAAAAUUUCAGGGGAGAACAAAAAAAACUUGACCCUUUUCUAUAUAUGUUUCUUCUUCUUUUUUUUAAAGGAAAAUAUUACUACAGGUAUGUUCUUCUCAUAUUUGAUUUUGAUUAUCUUACCAACUUAUGAUAAUGAUUAUGCUGAGAUUUAUAAUUUUCAUUAUAUUGGAUAAUUUUGUUCGUGUACAAAAUAUAAAUUAAUCUGGCGUUUCUAUAUUAUGCCUACGAGAUUUUCUUUAUCACAUGUAUAAUAAUUUGAUGCUUUGAAACCUUUUCAAGAAGAUAAACCGGUAUACAUAACAUCAUUUUAAAACACUCUACAUAAUAUAUUUCUAGCAUAAAUAAGAUAAAUAAUCAACGAAACAUGAGAAAAAAACACAAAGUCAUGAAAGAAAUUUAUAUUAUAUAUGAAAAAAUAUAUUAAAUUUAAAUACAUUAUAUCCAACCUCAAUUAAUAAGAUAGUUACACUAGUGCAAAAACGCUGUUUAACGUCACUCAAAAGACGUCGGUUCGAGAGAAGCCCGACGUAUAUGUGCGGACAAUGGCAUUACCGUAAAUAAGUUGGUAACCUAGACGUCGGUUUCGAGGGAAGGCGACGCCUAUGAGAUUGUAGACGUCCGCUCUGCCUUACACCGACGUCUAAUGGCUUGAGGUAGGAGAGAAGACAGUUUAUUGACGUUGGUUUUAAUGGGGGGCCGACGUCUACGGGGCUGCAAUUAAUGUUCAUCACCUGAUUCCAGAUGCUUAGACGUCAUGUAGUCAAAAAGCGACGUCUAUGGCCUGUCUGAAAGAGGGAAAGACAAAAAUUUCUGCAAUUUAGACGUCGAUGUUUAAGGGGAGAGACGUCUAUGUGCCUGUAAUUAAUUAUGUUCACCAAACUCGGACGUCCGGCAGAAGGGCACCAACGUCUAAAUUAUUAUAGACGUCGGCGCCCCUUCACAACUUUCAUCAACAUCCUUGACAAUAAAUGAAACGUCAAUCGGUUCAGCUUCCUAAACUUCAGCUCCCCUUUAAACUGACGUCUACUGGGCAUUCAAAAAGACAAAUUAAAUAUUAUCUUGGACGUCAAAUUAGUUAGAUAACCAACGUCUAGAUGACUAUAGACGUCGGUUUCUAGAGCAACCGAUGUUCCAUUUCAUUUUAAAUAAACCGUAGACUCUUUGCGGCAUUGCGAUUUCUGAUAUCGUCUCCCUCUUCUCCUUUUUCUCUUGCGGCACCUCUUCUUUUUCUCUCUUGCGGCAUUACAUUAUUGUUUCUGAUAACAUCAUCAUCUUCCUCCUCUCUUUUUUCUCUCUUGCGGCAGAGCAUCCUAGGUGCGUGGUUUCUUAUGGUUAUCGUUUAACCUUUGUCGGUCUUUCAUCGAUUAUCUUCUGGUUCAACUGAUUAAAACUUGUUUUGUUUGUGUUGUGUUUUAGUGCAGUUUUGUUUUUUUCUUGGGUAACGUAGUACCACAUUCUUCCUUUGCUAGCUGCCUCCAAGAAAAAGCGGCGUCUUUUGGAUUUAUUGUGACAUUUCGACCCAAAAACGAACCUGGGACGUUGCCUAGUUUUGAAAAUGGAACUAAUCAACAACCAAGGUUCGGUGUUGGGUUGAAAUGCCAUUAGAAAUUCAAAAGACGCAUGCUUUUUUUUUAGGGAAACUAGCAAAAGGAGAGUGUGCUACUAGGCUAUCCAAAGACAGGAACAAAACUGCACUAAAACACAACAACUAUAUUAGACGUCGGUUAAUGCAUUAACCAACGUCUAUAGUGACCUUAGACGAUGGUUAGUGACAUGUUCGAAGUCUAUAUAGUGCUCUUAGACGUCGGUUAAUGCGUAGUCCGACAUCUAUAUACUGCCUUUAGACGUCAGUCAUGGCACUGACGGACGCCACUACAGACAUCUGUUGGGUGUCUGUCCGACGUCCCAUUGACGUCACCGGUAAUGACGUCGGUUGUUUAGUAGAUGUUAAAAGCCCAAAAUAACCGACGUUAAUGAGCGUUUUUCCACUAGUGUUAGAUACUCCUACAUGUGAGUGACACAGAAAUGGAACAAAAUAAUGAAUUAGAUGAAGAUGAAAGUGAUUUUUGAAAAAAAAAAAAAGAAAACUCUCUUUUUCGUUCAUAUUAUAGCGAAAAGAUGCAACAGAUAAAACCAUAAGUAAUUAAAAUUAAGUUAUUUUCAAUCAAAUGUUUGUAAACUAUUAAUUAGUUUAUUUAUCCUUCAUACUUCAACUAUUGUUCAUAAAAACAUCCAAAUAGACACACAAACUAUUAAAUAAAAAGUUUAAAUUUAUUACAAAAUUGACUAGUAAUCCUAUAUGAAUAUUUUUUUUUCUUUGUAAUUAAGAACGUCUUUCAGUGAGAAGGAAGUCAUUAUUUUGAUUUUAUGUAUCUAUUGGUUAAUUGUUUAGCCCAUAAGAUUAGUUUCAACAUGCCAAAAGAGCAAUAGCAAAGUCUUUCAAAUGGUUUAGUUUGUAGACAUUCCAAUUCCAGAUAAUUGGUGUGCUAAUUUCCUAACGCAUAUGGAGAAGGAAUUCCAAUCGCUGUCAAUGGAAUAGCAUUACAUCUGGUGGUGCUGAGCUUCACCUUAGCAUUCAAUUUCCUUCUUCCGAUGAGAGUGUAGGUNNNNNNNNNNNNNNNNNNNNNNNNNNNNNNNNNNNNNNNNNNNNNNNNNNNNNNNNNNNNNNNNNNNNNNNNNNNNNNNNNNNNNNNNNNNNNNNNNNNNNNNNNNNNNNNNNNNNNNNNNNNNNNNNNNNNNNNNNNNNNNNNNNNNNNNNNNNNNNNNNNNNNNNNNNNNNNNNNNNNNNNNNNNNNNNNNNNNNNNNNNNNNNNNNNNNNNNNNNNNNNNNNNNNNNNNNNNNNNNNNNNNNNNNNNNNNNNNNNNNNNNNNNNNNNNNNNNNNNNNNNNNNNNNNNNNNNNNNNNNNNNNNNNNNNNNNNNNNNNNNNNNNNNNNNNNNNNNNNNNNNNNNNNNNNNNNNNNNNNNNNNNNNNNNNNNNNNNNNNNNNNNNNNNNNNNNNNNNNNNNNNNNNNNNNNNNNNNNNNNNNNNNNNNNNNNNNNNNNNNNNNNNNNNNNNNNNNNNNNNNNNNNAUCUGGUGGUGCUGAGCUUCACCUUAGCAUUCAAUUUCCUUCUUCCGAUGAGAGUGUAGGUUAUCCAUUCAACAAAGAUGUUUUCCAAGAAGCAUCAAGAAGCUAAAUUUUCUAACAUGUAAAGUGACCUAUGAAUUAGAGUUCGUGUAAACUAAUCUUUAUCUUAUCAUAUAAUUUGAAAAUGAAUAAUGGAAUAUUUUUUACUUAACACAAGAUUUGGUAUUAGAAAGCUAAAAAAGUGGAAAGUAGAAAGGUAUUAAAAGAAUUAACUGUAAAAAUUAAUUUCAUUAAAUAUAAUUUCAAUCAUAUAUUUUAAAUGUAUGAUCAGAAUUUAUUUCUUUCACAUCUGACACUUGUUCAUGUUUCCGUAUAUUAUUGUGAAAUUGAAAUUGAAAUAUUUUAUCUCUUUACCCAACAAAUAAAUAUAAGAGGUCUUCUCCUUUCAAAUAUAAAAUUGUAUGAAAUGUUUUAGUAAAAAAAAAUUGAACAAUUAGAGUUUUAAAAGGGAAGAUUAUGUGGUAAGGAUGAGGGACAAAUCAUGUUUUUGAAAAAAAAUUCCACUCUUUCGGAAAGUUUUUUUUUUCGUGUGAAAUGUAAAAUAUGUGAAAAAUAAACAGAAGCUUUGAAAAGUAAAAAUCAUAGUAAACCAGAAAUUGUAUAUACACAUGCAUUUUACACAAAUAACUUCUUAAAACAAUUGAUAAUGAAAACAAAAUUUACAAAAAAGAAUAAAAAAAUAUCUUUAUAAGUUAGGGAUUUGUAUGAGUUGUAUAUUUAUUAUUCUUUCUACCGCUUAGAUUAUUGCACCUUUAUUAUCAAGCCAAUUCUUAAAUUUUAAGCAGUCUUUCUUCAUAUGUAUCCUUUCUUUUUAAAAAAGAAACAGCUGGACUCCUUCUUAAUAACUGUCUUAGCAGGAAUCUUUCCCUUCACAUUAACUUGGUUCUUCUUAUUCUCAAAAGAAGUAUUCAAUUUCACCCUCUCCCCUUCUUCUAUUAAUAGCCUUUCUUCUUCUUGAAAACACAUGGUCAAUAAUUCAUUAAUAGACCAUUUAUCUUUAUGUGUGUUGUAAGAGAUUUUGAAGGGGGCAUAAUGGUGAGGCAAAGUGCACAAAAUAUAGUGUACCAGGAAAGAAUUAGACAUGGUAACUUCCAAAGCUUUUAGUUGUGCAACAAUGUCCCUAAUGCGCAUGAUAUGAUCACGCACUCCCUUAAUUCCAGUGAGCUUUAAGGAUGAAAACUGCAUUAUAAGGGUGCUGGCAAAGGAUUUAUUGGAUGUCGGAAACUGCUCAUCAAGAGCCCUUAGUAAAUCUUUGACAUUCUCAUACUGGUCAACUGAACCCCGGAUACCAGCGAAAAUAUUGGUUUUUAUGAACGUAACGGAGAGACGAUUUGACCUCUCCCAUUUUUCAUAAAGAUCAAUGUCAUCUUGAGUGUUGGUCUCAUUAAUACUUGAUGGUUCUGGUUUUCUAAUAGCAUAGUCAAUGUCCAUCCAGCCUAAAUGAAGAAGAACUCUUUCCUUCCAAAUCUUAUAAUUAUCUCCUUUCAACUUGGGAAUACCACACUUGAUAUCAGAAAAAGUCACAGAUUGAGAAACUGCAAAUUCAAAAUUACAUGCUUAUUAUAUAUUUUGAGACUAAAAAUAAAUGUCAUGUUUUACCAAUGUAAACAUGUCUUUACCAAUGAGUUUAUUAACAUAAAACUUGCCUGUGGGCUAAAGUCUUACUCAAUUAAACUCAUUAUCUUAAUGAUAAAACUAUCAAAUUAUAUGUCAUGUUUCACCAAUGCAAAACAUGUCUUUACCAAUGAGUCUAUUAACAUAAAACGUACCUGUGGGCUAAAGUUUUACUCAAUUAGACUCAUUCUCUUAAUGAUGAAAUUAUCAAAUUAUAUUUCAUAUUUCACCAAUGCAAAACAUGUCUUUACCAAUGAGUCUAUUAACAUAAAACUUGCCUGUGGGCUAAAGUUUUACUUAAUUAGACUCAUUUUCUUAAUGAUAAAAUUAUCAAAUUAUAUGUCAUGUUUCACCAAUGCAAAACAUGUCUUUACCAAUGAGUCUAUUAACAUAAAACUUGUCUGUGGGCUAAAGUCUUACUCAAUUAGACUCAUUUUCUUAAUGAUAAAACUAUCAAAUUAUGUUCCUUUUCUUAAUUCCUAUGGGUAAAUUAAGAAAUAUAAUUUAAUAUUUUAUCCUAAUUAAUCAUAUAAAUAUGAAAAAAAAUUGUGGGUAGAUUUUAUCAUAUUAAAUAUAAUUAUUUACAACUAAUGUUUCUCAUGUAGCAAAACUCUAUAUACAAUUUUAAUUGAUUAAAGAUAUUGUGACUACUCUUUAAUCUAUUAACACUAUAUUACUACUAAAACAUUAAUAAUAUAUAAAUAUUUACAUAAAAUUCUUAAUAUGUAAAUAUAUUAAUAAUAAUGCAUAUUUAAUUUGCACAUAUAACAACAAAUAUAUCCAUACAAAUAAUACCCAAAAAAAUAUAUAUAAUUAUUAAUCAAAAAACAUUUAAACAUAUAUAUAUAUAUAUAUAUAUAUCACGUUCAAGGAUUAAUUACCUUUUACCAAGCCUACAAAUUUUCCUAGAGGGAAAGAUGAUGGGAGACACGAUGGUGUGUUUUCUAAAUAGAAGAGUAGGCUUAAGUGAUCAAAACUAAGAGUAACUCAUUCCUUAUACAUAGAGUCUAACCAUCACAAGUUCAAAAUAAUGGAUUGGACUUUACCUUUAAUCAAUAUAAUAACUUCUUCAUAACCUCUCUAUACUGUUAAAAACAGAUAAAAAUAUUGGCUUAAUGGAUUUAUGUUCCUUAAAAAUAGAAAUUUAAAAUGCUAUAAUAUUUAUUUUAUAAUUAAAAUAAUUCUAACAACUUCAUCUUCUAAGAUUUUCCAAAACUUUUUUAAUUUUAAAAUUUUAUAAUUUAUCCAAACAUUAAAAAUAACAAAAGUAUGAAACCCCUUCUCACUAACAGUAUUUUGAUAAAAAGAAAAUAUAUUUGUAUGCAAUAUUAUUAGGUAAUUUAUAUUUGAAUUCUUAAAUAUUUAUGUAUUAGGAGUAAAAAUAUUUAUAAAUUUUAUAUAUUUUUUGUAUUUAUGAGUAAAAAAAACAUUUAUAUGUAAUACAGUAUAUUAUAAUUUUUUUUUCAUAAUUUGAUAAACCAUAAAAUGGGUUGGACUAGUUCUAUUUUUUUUUCUUUUUAUGUAUUUAAAGAAGCUUUCAAACAUUUUUUGGUCGUCUCUCAUUUAAUUUUAGCUCCUAAAUUACGUUUCUUUUUUUUUUUAAAAAAAAAGAUACAAAAUAUGUUACUGAUUUUGACAACUCAAUCUGAUUUUAUAUUAUAGAAAAUUUAAACUUUGAUAUAGGUUCAUCUCUACUUCUGCCAUGUCACCAUCAUCAAUUGGAACAACUUCUCUUUUACUUUGAAUCAUUAUUGCUUAUCUAUCUCCACACUAAAAAUCAAAAUUGGUUUCAUUUCUCUUGGAGUUUGAUUUUCAUUAUUUUCAAUUGAGUGUUUCACAUCCAAAUACACAUAUAUUAAUUAUAUUCUCAUCUUGAAGUCAAAUUAUGAUAUAUCAUACGAACACUUCAACAAAUUUAUUUGCUUUAUAACUUCAUAAAAUAGUUCUAAGCUUAAUAAUUUGAUGGAUGAUUUAAUCUAAACUUUUUUUUUAUCAAAUGUUAGAAAGGUCUUAAAAAUUGCUUCUUCACUUACUUAAAUGCUUUUAGUCAACCUUAUAUCUUUCUCAAAUUUAUCUAUCAUCAAUAACUGAAAUUCACAAUUUACUCAUUUUUAAAGUCUUAAUUUGAAAAAUAAAUCUUUAUAUUUACAUAUUUUCAUAAGUUGAUUAUUCUUAAUUAUAUGCAUAUGUACCUACAAAAUUUCAAUAUCUUCAUUAUAUCAUAUUUACGAAAUUUGAUUCAAUGGUAUAGUAUAAAAUGAUUUAGGUUAAAUCAUAUCAUUUGUUUCAGUUUUUUUGGAGAGAUAUCAAAUUAGUCCUUUUUUUAUACAUCUCAGUUUGUUUCUUAUUUUAGAAAAUUUGAUGCAAUCAAGUCUUUUAAAUUAGUAUUGUACUAACAACGUUAAAGGGAUAUCAUGUGUUAGUUCAUAGAUUUUUUAAUUUUUCAAUUUAUUUUUUCAAUUUUUAAAUUUUCUUUUAAAGGUAAAAAAUUAUUUCAUGUCAAACUAAUGUCGGAUAACAUAACAAUAAUAAUUUCACGUGUAUAUGUAUCAUUGUUUUAGUCACAUGUUAGUCCCAGUAUCUUUAUUUUAUCUAAAUUUAAUUCCAUUUUUUUUUUUAAAAAUCAAUCAAUUUUUCAUUUCUCUUUAAAUUAAAAUCAAAUUUAAUUUUUAUAUAAAUGUUAUAUAAAUAUUUUUAUUAAAUUUGAUAUUUUUAUUAAAUUUUUUUAACAAUAUUAAGUUUAUUUAUAUUUAUUUUAUUUUGAAUUUUAUUUAAAAUUGUUUUUAAAUUUUAAAUUUGUUUGUUUUAAAUUUUUAUAAAACUAUUUUCAAAUUUUACAUUUAUAUUUAUAAAAUUGUUUUCAAAGGACUUGUUCUCUUGAUCAAACUUUUUUUAACAAGAAAUGUUAAGUUUUUUCUAAACCAUAUGGAAUUGUGUCAGUUUUUUCUCUAUAUAUUAUAUAUUUUUAUCUUUUUAAAUUAUUGUCCCUUUCAAAAAUUAUUUCUUAGUUUCAAAUUGAUGUAUAUUUUAAAGUUAUUAUUCUUUCCUACACGUUAUACAGCUUAGAUUAUUCCAACACAUAAGAUAAAAAACUUGAAUGUGAGGGGUUGGCCUAACAAUGAUAUUUGAGUGAGUGACUGUUAAGUGAAUGGUUAAGACUCUGUCAAACAAUGAGUUCGGUUUUUAAAGUCAAGACAGAGAUAAUACAUUUAAUGUGAACUUGACUAUUUAUACUCUUUAAAUUAGAUUAUAAUAUUAAUUUUCUUAUAAAAUAAUUCUUGGUUGUCAGAAAAAGGAAGUUAAAUAAAAUAAUUAAAAGUGAUUUAAGGAGUCAGUAAAUUCAAAAAAUUAUUUUGAUAAAUAAAGUUAACAAUUUGUUUAAAUAGAUUAUUGUCGUUUAUUACAUGAGGAAAAUCAAUAACUCGAUCUCUAAAAUAGUUUUGUUUAUGAUUGAUGUGUGGUGUUCUAAUUUUGUAAUCCAUAUAUGACUUUAAAAGUCUUUUUGAUUUCAUUUUCUGCAUUUCCUUGUCAUAAUUUGAUAAACCAUGAAAUGGGUUGGACUAGUUCUAUUUUUUUUUCUUUUUAUGUUAUUAAUCUCCUUAAUUUUCUAACUUAUAAAAUGGACAAGCCUUCCAUACAUUUUUUGGUCGUCUCUCUAAUUAAAUUUUAGCACCUAAAUUACGUUUCCUCUUCUCUAUUAAAUUGGUAGACUUAAAAAAAAUACAAAAUAUUUUACUGUUUUUGACAACUCAAUUUGAUUUUAUACUACAGAAAAUUUAAAUUAUUUACUAAUAUUGCUGGAUCUGAAACCGGGCUUUUUUGUGUUUUCAGAUAGAUUUUUUAUUCUAGUUAUAAAAAACAUUCAAGUCACUACAUAAAUUUUGUCACUUUGUCACUUUUCAAAAUAUGGAUACUCUAAAUUCCUAUUAAAAUAUUAAACAAUAACAGAAAAAAAAAAAAAAAAAAAAACUUGUUAGAUAUAAAGCGUAAACAUAAAAAGGCAUUACAGCAGUAUAUAUAGGUUAUUUCCUAUGCAUAACCCGUAAGCACUUUUUUUUAUAAUGAAACAAAAAGCACUUGUUAAAAUGAAUUCCUUCCUUCUGAUUAUCGUCUUUGUUCAUCUUUGUUGGGUUUCUCUAAGUGUGAGCGUAGAGACAAUGUGCAUUGGAAGUGAGAGAGAGAUACUAUUGAAGUUGAAGCAUGAUCUCAUUGAUCCUUCAAAUAGACUUUCUUCUUGGAAUGUUUCUCUCAAUCCCAAUUGUUGCCACUGGUAUGGAGUUCUCUGCAACAACAUCACAUCUCAUGUUGCAGAGCUUCACCUCACCACUCCAUAUCCUCUUUACGAUGAGAUCCUAGAUGAUGUUGUUUAUGACGAAGCAUACGAAGAGUACAAUAGAAGGGCAUUCAGUGGAGAGAUAAAUCCUUGUUUGGUUGAUUUGAAGCAUUUGAAUUACUUGGAUUUCAGCGGCAAUCAAUUUUAUGAGAAGUCAUUUCCUUCUUUCAUAGCAACAAUGACUUCCUUAACUCACCUCAACCUUUCUAAUGCUGGAUUCACGGGGAACAUUCCUCCUCAGAUUGGAAAUCUCUCCAAUUUACUGUAUCUUGAUUUAAGUGAUGCUGCCAGUGGAAGAAUUCCUCCUCAGAUAAGAAAUCUCUCCAACUUGCUCCACCUCGACCUCGGAGGAUAUUAUGAUUAUGAAGAUGUUGAUUGGCUGUCAAGUCUUUCCAAGCUUUGUUAUCUUGACUUGGAGAACACUAAUCCACUUGUAGGAGGUAUGUCAUUUCCUUCUUUUCUUGGCUCAAUGACCAACUUAAUUCACUUGGACCUCUCUUAUUCUGGAUUUAUGGGCAACAUUCCUCCCCAGAUUGGUAAUCUUUCCAAUUUGGCUUAUCUAGAUUUAAGUUAUGCUGCUAAUGGAAUUAUUCCCUCUCAAAUUGGGAAUCUCUCCAACUUGCUUUACCUUGAUCUUCAAAGUGGUUAUUCUAUUGAGAACACUUUGUUUGUUAGAAAUGUUGAUUGGUUAUCAAGUCUUUCAAAACUUGGAUAUCUUGAUUUGAGAGGUGCAAACCUAUCCCAAUCAUUUCAAUUGCUUCAUACCCUCCAACUUCUUUCUUCUUUGAAGCACUUACAUUUGUCAGGAUGUACACUCUCUUCGUAUAAUCAACCAUCCUUUGUUAACUUUUCGUCUCUCAUCACUCUUGAUCUUUCCUAUAUUUCUUAUCAUUCUACAAUUUCUUUUAUUCCAAAGUGGGUAUUUGGACUCAAAAAACUUGUUUCUCUUUUCUUAGAUAAUAACUACUUUGAAGGUCCAAUUCCCGAUGGUAUUCGAAACCUCACACUUCUUGAAAAUCUUGAUUUGCGUGGAAAUUCAUUAUCAUCUUCUAUACCUCAUUGGCUUUUUGGUGUUCUUUCUCAUCUCAAGUUCUUGGACCUAUCAAGUAACAACUUACAAGGAGUUAUUCCUGAUGCCUUAGGGAGCUUGACUUCUCUAAUUGCACUUUAUAUGGAAGAAAAUCAACUCAAAGGUCCAAUCCCAACUUCUUUAGGAAAGGUGACCUCUCUAGUUACACUUGAUUUAUCAUACAAUCAACUUUCAGGCAAUCUAACACUAGAUUAUUAUGGCAACAACGUUGGUGGUGAACAUCCAAAAUUACAUGGAAAAAUUUCAUCACUGAGAGUUCUUAGGUUGUCCUCAAAUCAACUUGGUGGAAAUCCAUUUAAAAGUCUUGGAUCACUCUCUAAGUUGUUAUACCUUGACAUUGAUGACAAUAAUUUUCAAGGAGUUGUCAAUGAAAGUCAUCUUGAAAAUCUUAUAUGCUUGAGAUCGUUUCAUGCAUCAGGAAACAAAUUGACUUUAAAAGUAGAUCGUAAUUGGCAUCCUACUUUCCAACUUACCAAUCUUGAUAUGAGCUCUUGGCAAUUAGGUCCUAAUUUUCCAUCAUGGACUCACUCACAAAAUGAACUUCUAUAUUUGAAGAUGUCUAAUACAGGGAUUCUAGAUUAUAUUCCACCUUAUUUCUGGGAGGCUUGUUAUUCUCUUGAAUAUUUAAACUUCUCUAAUAACUAUAUUCAUGGUAAGAUUGAAAAUUCAUUGUCAAAUCCAAUAUUAUUUGAGAUUGUUGAUCUAAGCUCAAAUCACUUGCAUGGAAAGUUACCGAUUUUUUCUAGUCAGGUUGGAUGGCUAGAUCUCUCAGAUAAUUCAUUUUCUUCCAUGAAUGAUUUCUUAUGUCGCAAGAAAAUUAAGAAAUUUAAUUUGUAUUAUCUCAAUCUUGCUUUGAAUAACUUAUCGGGAAAAAUUCCUGAUUGUUGGAUAAAGUGGCCAUAUUUGUUAAAUGUAAAUCUACAGAGCAACCUUUUUGUUGGGAACAUGCCCUUAUCCAUGGGCUCUUUAGUUUGGUUACAGUCUUUGAACAUCCGUAACAACUCAUUAUCAGGAAUAUUUCCUAUUGCUUUGAAGAAGAACAACAAAUUGAUAUCCUUGGACAUUGGAGAAAAUAAUCUUUCGGGAACUAUUCCAACAUGGAUUGGAGAAAAGUUGCCAGAAAUAAAAAUUCUUCGCCUUCGAUCAAACAAUUUUUCAGGUCAUAUUCCAAAUGGCAUAUGUGAUAUGAUAUUUCUUCAGGAUUUUGACCUUGCACAAAAUAGUUUGUCUGGAAAUAUUCCAAAUUGUUUAAACAACUUUAGUGCCAUGUUCAAAAAAAACAAAAGUACAUAUUCAACUAUUGAUACCAAUGAGGUGAUUCCGGAUGUAAUCAGUAUUAUCAUAUGGACAAAAGGAAGGGCUUUAUUGUAUAAGAGUAUUCUUGGCUUGGUGACAAAUGUUGAUCUUUCUAAUAAUAAGUUAUCAGGAGAGAUACCUAGAGAAAUUACAUAUCUAGAUGGUUUGAUAUAUUUGAAUUUAUCUAGGAAUCAAUUGUCUGGCCAAAUUCCACCAAGUAUUGACAAUAUGAGAUCAUUAGAAUCCAUUGAUCUAUCGAGGAAUCAAUUAUCAGGAAAAAUCCCUCCAACCAUAUCAAAUUUGAGCUUUCUCAACAACCUAGAUUUAUCUCAUAACCAUUUAGAGGGGGAAAUUCCAACGGGCACUCAAAUUCAAAGCUUUGAAACAUCAGACUUUGUUGGAAAUAAUUUAUGUGGUCCACCCCUACCCAUCAAUUGUAGUUCCAACCAGGAAAUUCCAUAUGUUGACCGCUCGAAAACAGAAAAUGGUGGGCAUGGAGUGAAUUGGUUCUUAGUGAGCUUCACAAUUGGAUUUAUUGUGGGAUUUUGGAUAGUUAUUGCUCCUUUGUUAAUUUAUAGAUCAUGGAGGUAUGCAUAUUUUUCCUUCCUCGAUAACAUGUUCUAUAAAGUACGAUCAUAUUGGUGAUUGUUGAUUUGUAAUGUAGCACUAUUGUUUUAUUUGACAUUCAUCUAUCUAUCUCUGUAUGAAUGUGUGGUCUACAUUUAUGUUUGUGUUAACAUGUUUUUGUAUUUUCUUCAUCUUAAAAUGCCAAAAAGUUUAUGUUUUUCGUGUUUCUUAAUUGCAGUAUUAGUAUGUCGUGUUUCGGUAUUAUUUUAAUGAUCUAAUUCUUAUUUUAUUCUCUUUCUUUUCUCGUACCAUGGUUAAAUGUAUUUUCUUCUAAUAGUUCUACUAGAAUAAAAUGCAAUAGAUAUAUUUUGUCUCUGCUAUUGUUUUUAGGAUGCACAUAUCAUCAUCAUUAUUUUAGGAUAUCCUAUUAGGUCACAUUUUUUAUUAAACAAAUUUAGGAAAAGUUGCUUAUCUUUUAUAAAAUUCUAAAAAAAAAAUAGAAAACCUUAUAUUUCUUAAAAGAAAAUAGCACAGUCUAAAAUAAAUUUAUAAAUUUGCUAGUUUUUUUUGUCAACAUUGUUGUUAGUUGUGUGGGCCACAACUUAUGCUUGCAGGGCUGUAUCAAUUUUGACACGGCGUUUUCUAUUUGUAGGUUUAUAAGUUUAUAUACUCAUACAAGAAAAUUUCCAUUUUAUCCUUUUUAGUACAAUUUAAAUUAUGUGAUUGAUCGUUCUGAUAGAAAUGAUUUCUUAAUUUGACAAAGGAAAAAAAAAAAUUAUAACAAUGGAUAUCUAUCUAUAUAUACAUAGAUUAAAAAAAUACAUAUAAAUAGAAAAUAUAAUAAAAAUAUAAAUAGUGCCUCUUAUCUUUAACCAAUUAUUUGCUAAAAUUUAAUUAUAGGGGUAAAAGCUGUAACUUGUUUUCAAUAUUCAGCAUCUUGAUUAAAUUAACACUUCGCAACUUCUGAGUCUCUUUGUUGAAUCACAUGUUUUUUUCUAGAAAAUAGGUGAACUAAUUCUUUUCUUUAGAACUAUAUUGGAAAAUUUCUUGAUCCAUAUGACUCAAUUGUUUCCAUAUUUUACUUCUACAUAAAAACUCUGACUAUGUAUAUAUAUAAAAAAAAUACUUUUGAAUUGCGUAAUUCAAAGUAUAAAAAAUAUCAAAUUGUAUAUGGUUCAAAAGUAAUUUAAUAAAGACAAUCUCAUACUUAGGUAGUAUGAUUUGAACUCUUUUAUUUUUUAAUUUUGUAACAUUAGCACAUAUUUGUCUUUUUAAUUAGUUUUAUAUAUUUUUAUUUUAAAGAAAACCAAACAUACAAAGAUAUAGUGGUAAUUUUAUAAAUUUUAAGAACUUAUUAGCCCCAAUUGCACGGGAACCGAAGCUAUAUACCCAUUUGGUAUCGAUUAUUAAAAAGUCGAGGCUAAAAAGUAAGAAAUUUUCAAAAUUUUUUUAAAUUUCACUUUUUUUUAAUUAUUUUAUAUGGGAAAGGAAAUUUGGUUUCGAUUAUCAAAUAAUCGAAAUCAUACACCCUUUUCUGCCUCGGUUACCCACCAAUUAAGGUCAAUAGGUAUAUGAAAUUUUCAAAAUUCCUGCUAUUCUUUUAAUUAUUUUAUCUUAAGGAGAAAACUUUUUUGCUUCGGUUCUCAAAUAAUUGAAGUAACACACAUCCUUUUUCUACUUUGUGAAUUUUUAAAAUUUUCAUUAUUUUUUUAAUUAUUUUAUUUAUAGGUAGAGAUUUGGCAUAAUUUUCUAUUUCAAUUCUCCAACAAUCAAGGUAGAAAGAUGUGUGAAAAUUUUCAAAAUUUUAAAAAUAUUUGAUUUCGGUUUCUUUAAGAAUCAAGGCCAAAUAUUCUAUUUUUCCUUGGUUCUUGUAAGAAUUGAAACUAUACAUCAUGUUCUACUUUAGUUGUUAAAGAAUCGAGAUCAAAAUGUGUCAAAAAAAUUUCAAAAUUUUAACAGUAUUUCACUAAAAAUAAAACAUGUAUUAUAUACAAUCAAAUUCUAUCAAAUGUAAAAUUUGGCGGUAAUAACUUUCUUCGAUGAACUGAAAUUUGUUAGUAAAAAUGCAAUUAGUAAACAUUCAAUUAGUAAAACCACUUCAUCUUCAUUCCCAUCACUUUGUUUUUGUCAAUUUUUGUGUUCUCCUAGGAAUAACUAAUCUUUAAGGUGACGGAUUUUCAUCAAAUGUUUUAGGAGUCUCGAAAUAUAUAGUAUAAACAUUUUUGGAAUGACAAAUAUAUAAACUAUAUUAAAAAAUAUUAAAAUUUAAAAAAAAAAAUAGUUUAGAUUAUAUAUAAAUAUAAAAAAAAAAUAGGGGGAAGAGGGCCAAGGUUCUCUAUGUCACAUCUAAAGUCUGCCUCUGCCUCUCUAUUCAUUAGUAUUGAAUAUAAUAUAUUCAACUAGAAUAUUUGGAUUUUUAACGAUGAAGGAUAAUUUUAUAUCACCAAACCUUCCUGAACUAUCAAACAAUCUAUAACUCUUAAUCAAGAUUUUAUUGAAUAACAUCAGUUGAAUUUAAUUCCACCAUCUUAAGUAAUAUUACCUUAUAUGUUUUGAAAAUAAAAGAAAAGAGUGGAAGAAGAAUAAUCUGUGUAAGUUGCUAUUCUUCAGCCCGAAAAUAUUCUUAGGACCAUAAAGAAAGAAAAUGCAGACAAAAUGAGAAAGACUUUUGAGGUAAAUAUUGUGUUGACGUAGAAUUUAAAAAAGCUUUUCACGCUUCUUUUUAGGUUUCUCUAUUUUUUUUACACCUAAAAUCACGUUGCUUCUCGUCAAUUUUCUAACCCAUAUAAUGGGAGCAUAGCUUUAAAAUUAAAGCAUAUAAGAUAAUGAAUUAUUUUUUUCAAAAUGCAAGAGUGUCCCUCCUCCUAGCACACAAAAAAUCAAAGAGUCUGCAUAGAAAAGUUAUGAGACCAUAAAACAAAUAUUUUACACUUUAUUCAUUUUUUGUGUAAAAAAUUGUAAAUUUAACUUCACAUUCAGUUAAAAAUAGACAAUGAAGGAAUUUAUCUCAGUUGAUUGAAACGUAUUUGAAAAUAAAAUAAAAAGUGUGGAAGAAGAAUGUUAGUCUCUGUAGGUUCUUAUUGUUUAGCUCCAAACAGGCAGAAAAAAAAAAGACAAAAAUUCACACUUCCUCUCUCUUUAGUAAUUUUUAGCAGCUAAAGUGAGUUGCUCCUGGUCAAUUAGGUUGAUACAAAUUACGUUACUGAUUUGGACAUGUAAAUUCAAUUUUAUAAAUUUAGCAUAUAAAAAUUAAACUGUUAGAUAGAUAGCGUAAUACAAACUUUCAGGGGAGAAGCUCAAGGGAGAAGAAAAAAAAAUUCAGCCUGUUCUAUGUUUCUUCUCUUUUUAAAAGAAAAAUAUUACUUUAGGUAUGUUCUUCUCACUGUCGAAUGAGCUUAUGUCUUGCUAGAUAAAAAAAGACUUACUGGCCGAGGUGGAUUUGUGAUUUGAGAGAAUCUUAGAAAAGUUUUCCAAUUUAUUUCAAGCGUUCAAUUCUCUACAAAAAUUCAAAAAAAAAAAAAGCUAAUUACUUCUAUUUUUAUAAUAAGACAUUUACAUCUAAUUUUUAUAAUGAAAUAAACACAAAAUGCAUGGCAGAAAGAUAAAUAAGAUGUUUUAACAAAUAUAAAAAAUAAGUAAUUAUCGCAUUUAUAAUUUCUUCUACAAAACAAGUUAAAUAAUAUAAAAAUGUAAACAGAAGCAUAGAAGAAAUUCUUUACCUAUUUUUUCUUUGGAGUAUUUAAGAAGUGUUUCAAAGGGUGCAUAAGAAAUUCAAAUAUGAAAUUGGGAGUCUUACAUUUAAUGAAAAUGAAGGAAAAAAAUAAUAUAUAAAAUAAUAUUUAUAAACUUUCUUAAUAUAUAAACAGAGGAGGAAAAACUGAAAAGGCAUUAUAACUUAAUAGCCUCCCCCAAGCUUGAGUGUGUAUGCAGAACAUAUUUUAAAGUCAGACGAUUGAAUGAGCAGAAGAUUAAAGUCAGAGGAACAAAACUCUUGUCCAUUAUGUGUUCUUAUUACUUUGAUGCCUCUGUUAAACUGAUUCUUUAUUAACACAAAAUUAUUCAUCAAGUUUCUAGUCUCACCUUUAUUUUUCAUUGGAUAGAUCCACGUAUGUCUUGUAUAGUCAUCCACGAUAGAGAGAAAAAACCUGUGACCAUACUAAAAGGACCUCAAAUGUAUGUCUAUGUGCACAAGAUAAAAAAUAUCAUUACUGCUAGUCUGACAAAGAGGAAAGGAGAGUCUGUGUUGUUUUGCUAAGUGACAUGGAGCGCAAACAUUAGUACUAUUAAAACAUAUAUCAUCAUAACUUUUGGAUAAUUGUUCAAGAAUCUUAUUUGAGGGGUGUCCCAGUCUACAAUGCCUGAGAUCAAGAGAAUCAACAUGUUUAAAAGUAUCAUCGUUAUGCACAAGAAAUAUAGCAUUUUUCAAGCAGCUAGUCAAAUGGUAAAGGUGGCCUUUGAACAGAUAUAAAUUUAAUGUGAAUUCAGGUAUACUUAGUACUGAUGUAUGGUAAUUUGAUCAGUUAAUUGAACAUCAAUGAAGGCUUAUUUUCGAGGGCUUAUUGUCCUUCGGUAAUGCCUGUGAUGCUUUUUCAUAUGCGCACCACAUCUUCAUUUAGCCUUUCUUUGGAUAUUUCUAAGGGCCUUUUGUCCUUCCGUAAUGCUUGCGAUGCCUCUUUAUAUGUUAGGAUUUAAUAUAUGUUAAGAUUUAAUAUCUUGUUAGGAUUUAAUAUAUGUUAAGAUUUAAUAUCUUGUUAGGUUUUAAGAUCUUGUUUGUUAUUAUUUUUGUUUGUUAUUAUUCUUUGUAUAUUGCUGAUAGAUUAGAUAGUUAUAACUAAUUCUUUUAUAAUCAUAAUGUAUAAAUAUUUGUAUCUGCAUUACGCAGAAUUAAAAUAAUACACAGAUCAUUCUUUGUUUCUCUGUUUUUCCUCUCAGCAUGAUUCUCAUUAUUUAAGAUGGUAUCAGAGCUCUUCAAUUGAAGAGUUCUGCUGUGCCUCUGAUCUUCAUUCGAUGCUUUCUCCUUCUUGAUUUCUUUGUGUUUUUUACCAAACCAACUCAUGGCUGUCAUUGAUCAUUACCACACGAUUGAAAAUUGUUACAAAAAGAAUGACUAUCCAUUAGGAUCUUCAGGAUUCUCCUACAACAAAGGGAUAAGAGGAGGUCGAGGUUAUUCAUCAAAUAAAGGAGGCUUUGGCAGAAGAUCAAAUUCAAGUUCAUACAACUCAAAGAUUUGCACUUUUUGCAAUAUCACUGAACACACUCUUAAUGAAUUUUUUAAGAAGCAUGGUUACCCUCCUAGGCAUAAACUGCACAGACCUGUUAUCACUCCUCAACAAUAUCAACAUUUGAUAACCCUCCUGCAACAACAAACACAAUUGAGAUCCUUUACAACUACUUCCCACAUCAAUCAAACUGGUACAACUUUCUCUCAAAAUACUUCUUUUAUAGGUAAUGUGCUACCAAUUUCUCAUGCUACAGACCAUGCCAUGUGGAUUAUAGAUUCAGGAGCCAGUGAUCAUGUAACUUCUUCCUUACAUUUAUAUUCAUCCUAUAAGGCUAUUGAUCCCAUCACAGUAAAACUACCAAAUGGACAACAAACCAUAGCCUCAUAUUCUGGAAUAGUAAAGAUUAAUGAUUCUUUGUCUAUUUCUAAUGUCCUAUAUCUUCCAUAAUUUAAUUUCAAUCUUAUAUCUGCUUCCAAGCUUACCACAACCCAUAAUUGUCAACUAAUAUUUCUUGAAAAUCAAUGUUUUAUACAAGACAGACACACCAAGAGGAUGAUUGGUAUAAUUGAUGCUCAAGAUGGGUUGUAUACACUCAAGACCUCUUUUAGCUCCACCAACACCACAAUUUGAAAUAAGGAAGCCAUUGAUAUUUGGCAUUACAGAUUAGGCCACCCCUCCCAUGAGAGAUUACGUGUAAUGCAACAAUUAUAUCCUGUGAUUAAUUUUGAUCACACUUUUAUUUGUACUCCUUGUCAUAUGGCUAAACAAAGAAAACCUUCUUUUCCUUAUAGUACUUCUCAAGCUUCUUCUAUUUUUUCUUUAUUACAUGUUGAUAUUUGGGGCCCUUGUGCUACUACUUCCAUUCAUGGUCAUAAAUAUUUUUUAACCAUUGUUGAUGAUUUUUCUAGAUAUGUAUGAGUGUUUCCUUUAAUCUCAAAAGCUAAAACUCAAUCACAUUUACAAUCUUUCACUACCUAUGUUGGAAGACAGUUUAAAACUAAGGUCCUAAGCAUUAGAUCUGACAAUGGAACUGAGUUUAUUAUGGCUGAAUUUUAUAAAAAUACUAGAAUUGUUCAUCAAACAACUUGUGUGGCAACCCCCCAGCAAAAUGGCUUAGUUGAGAGGAAACACCAGCACUUAUUAAAUGUUACCCGCUCCCUCCUUUUUCAAGCACACUUACCAAACAUUUUCUGGGCUUAUGCUCUUAUUCAUGCCUCUACCCUCAUAAAUUGCCUUCCCACUCCUCUCCUAAAUAACCAUUCUCCACACCAAAAAGUAUACAGUUCUCCUUUUGAUAUUACCACUCUUAAACUUGAUCCAAGAGCCUUACCCGCUAUUUUCCUUGGCUAUAAACCACACAAAAAAGGCUUCAUCACCUUCAACCUCAAAAUCAGGGCCAUUGAGAUUUCUAGAAAUGUUGUCUUUCAUGAAAGUUGUUUUCCCUACCACAAUGAGUCAUACACCACUCCUAAUUCCCACCUUGUCACCCACCCACCUUUGCUCUAUAUUGACCAAUGUAUGCCUAGUUCUCAUACAGAUACUUCGCAUCCUUCUCCACCCGGUUCACCUCCCACCCUACCUGAUCAAUGUAUGCCCACAUCUCAUACAGAUACUUCGCAUCCUUCUCCACCCAGUUCACCUCCUACACUACCUGCUCCUAAUAUUAGAAGAUCCACCCGACAGAAAUACAGACCUUCAAGACUAUCUGAAUUUGAAAUGUCUUAUGCAUCAACUAUUACCUCUUAUUCUUUAGGUAUCAAACAUCCUCUUGCUUUUGUCAUUUCAUAUAAGAAACUUGCAGCACCUUACUAUAGAUUUAUUAUGCAAAUCUCUACUAACAUUGAGCCUAGAUCUUAUUCUGAGGUAUCCAAGUAUCCUCACUGGGUUAGAGCCAUGGAUGACGAGCUUGCUGCAUUGGCCCAAAAUGACACUUGGAAAAUCACAGAUUUACCUGCUGACAAAACUGUAGUAGGCUGCAAAUGGGUUUUCAAAAUCAAAGACAAGGCUGAUGGAAGCAUUGAAAGAUAUAAAGCUAGAUUGGUAGCCAAGGGUUACACUCAAAUUGAAGGUUAAGACUAUCUAGAUACCUUUUCUCCUGUGGUUAAAAUCACAACGGUUAGACUUGUUAUAGUUCUUGCGGCAGCACAUAAUUGACAUCUUAAGAAACUACAUGUUAAUAAUGUUUUUCUUCAUGGUACAUUAAAUGAAGAAGUUUAUAUGAUACCUCCUCCAAGGCUCAACUUUAUCAAACCAAAUCAAGUAUGCAAGUUACAAAAAUCACUUUAUGAUCUUAAACAAGCAGGUAGACAGUGGUAUGCUCGUUUAUCUGAUUUCCUCUUGUCUAAUGGCUUUCUCCAAUCUCCAUCUGAUCAUUCCUUGUUCACAAAACAUUUUGAUUCCAAUGUCACUAUUUUAGUGAUUUAUGUUGAUGAUAUAGUACUCAUAGGCAAUGAUCUAACAGAUCACUCAUAUUACUCAUCUUCUUGACGCAACAUUUAAGAUUAAAGAUCUUGACAAUCUUAAAUUCUUUCUUGGUCUUGAAGUGGCUAGAAAGAAAGAAGGUAUUUGCAUUUCCCAGAGACAAUAUACUCUGGACAUUCUCAAAGAUGAAGCAUACUUAAACUCUAAGCCCGUUUCCACUCCUUGUGAUUACCGUACAAAGCUCAGCACAAAUUCUGGCCAACCUCUAAAUGAUGCAGCUUCAUCUUCUUAUAGAUGAUUAGUUGGUAGAUUAUUAUAUCUCACCAACAUUAGACCAGAUAUUUCAUUUGCAGUACAACAACUAAGUCAGUUUCUCUCAAAUCCUAGCACAAAUCAUCAACAAGCAGCUUCCAGGAUUCUUAGAUACCUUAAAGGUGCCUCUGGAAAAGGGAUUUUCUUUCCCAGCGAUAACAUUACAGUUGAAAGGCUUUAGCAAUUCUGAUUGGGCAGGCUGCAUUGAUACCAGACGAAGUAUCACUGGUUACUCUAUCUAUCUUAGUUCUUCAAUUAUUUCAUGGAAAUCGAAGAAACAUGCCACUGUAUCCAAAAGUUCCUCAGAAGCUGAAUACAGAGCUCUUGCCACAGCUACUUGUGAAAUUCAAUGGUUAACUUUUCUUCUACAGGAUCUUCACAUAACUUUUCAACAACCAGCAGUCUUGUUUUGUGAUAACACAUCUGCCCUUCAUAUUGCUGCAAAUCCAGUUUUCCAUGAACGCACAAAACACAUUGAAAUAGAUUGUCAUAUUGUAAGGGAAAAGCUUUCUUCUAGCUUACCUAAACUACUGCCAAUUCCUUUUGCAUGUCAGUUAGCUGAUAUUACUCCAAAGGACUUUCUCCAGCAGCUUUCAAAUUUCUGGUUUCCAAGUUGGGAAUGAUUGACAUUCAUUCUCCAGCUUGAGGGGGACUGUUAGGAUUUAAUAUAUGUUAAGAUUUAAUAUCUUGUUAGGAUUUAAUAUAUGUUAAGAUUUAAUAUCUUGUUUGGUUUUAAGAUCUUGUUUGUUAUUAUUUUUGUUUGUUAUUAUUCUUUGUAUACUGCUGAUAGAUUAGAUAGAGUUAUAACUAAUUCCGUUAUAAUCUUGAUGUAUAAAUAUUUGUAUCUGCAUUAUGCAGAAUUAAGAUAAUACACAAAUCAUUCUUUGCUUCUUUUUUUUCCUCUCGGCAUAAUUCUUAUUAUUUAAGACUAUAUGCGAACCACCUCUUCAUUUAGCCAUUCUCUGGAGAGAUCCACCCGCACACAUUUCUUUUUCUCACGAACCUUCGCUCGUCUCCGAUCCAUAUUUCGAGCUCCUCCGCCUCAGAUCUUAAUAUGCCAGCCACGGUUAGUCUCUAGAUCUUCACUUUCCUGUACAUUUCUCCCUUACCUAUCCUCUCUGUUCUAUCUUCACUUUUGCUUGAUUAAAACCUCUUUUUGUUCCAUUCCAUCGAUUCAAUCGUUGAAUCCAUUCGCUCCACCAAUCAAAACGUCCCAAAUCCCCAACUCUAGAAUGUAUACCGAUCAAACCAUUCAAUCUAGGGUUUGCCUCCGUUGUCCGUCAUUCGUUGUUCUUCUUCUUCGAUUAGCUCGAUCUGUGUCAAUUUCCAUGGUUCCUCGUCGAUCCGCCUCGACCUGGAGCUAUCAAGUGGUAUUUAGAGCCUAAGUUAGGCGUGUAUGCACGAAGCUAAGUAUUUUCUUUGCCUUUCCAAGUUGUCUUCGAUUAAUUGUCUUGAUCUGUUUUGGUCUUGUAUUGAAACUUUAGCACAUGGAUUGAAAAAUACAAUUUUUUUUCUUAUUAUCAUCAAUACCCUGUAUGAAAUGUCUAUUGUGCUCAUGUGAAAACAAUAAGUUUCUACAUUAGAUUGCUUUACAUUAUUUUAUGCUUUUUGAUAUUUAUGUUCAAUUUUGGCGUGUUGAGGGCGUUGUAGUGAAAUGGUGUUGGCUGAUGCGUAGUGGUCAAUUGCCACAACAAAAGGUCAUGUUUUGGCUGGUGCGUACUUCAUCUUGGGUAGAGCUGUCAAAACGGGUAACCCGGCUCGACCCGGCCCGGCCCACCACGGAUUGGUCACUUAGUGGGUAAGUGGGUUGGCUCACUGGCCCACUUAAUUACAAUUCUUUUUAAAUAAAAAAAAAUUACAAACUUUCUAUAAUUCAAAUCUAAACAAAUUUCACUCCCAAAUUUCACUUCCAACAUGGAUGUUUAACUAAUUUUGAAAAUAUGGAACUUAAAUAAUUUUCUCAAGCAAAAAAAAAUAUUUUUUAUAAAAUUAAAAUUAAAUUUUAAUAAAAUAAAAUUAGGUAAGCGGGUUGGUGCGCCAACCCGGCCCACCACGGGUUCAACCCGCAUGAGUUGGGUUUAAAUGAGCCGGGUUGAAAUCUGACCCGCAUAAAAAAAAUAUAAUUUUUUCAAACCCAACCCGGGCCGAACCCGUGACAGGCCGGGUUGGCCCGCGGGUUGUGACUCAUUUUGACAGCUCUAAUCUUGGGUAUGCAAGCUUUAGGAGUGAGUAAACGUUAUUUGAUGAGAUGAUUCUAGUAUAUGAUAUUAUAAAGUGCAUUUGUACUUGUCGUGGUGCCUCGUUAACAUAUUAAGGGUGUCUCUAUUGUGAAUCCUUCCUGUCUAUUCUCUUGAAUCCUUCUGGUGGUUAUUUAAGGGUUAAUAGUUUAUGUAUUUAUGGAUUAAAGUUGACUGAAAUUAACUAGAUGCUAUCUUGGGAAUUUUUUUGGAGACUGGUACAAUUUUGAUAUGUGACUGAUUUUUUUUUCCUGUGUUUCUUAGAGAUAAGAAAUAUAAAAGUGGAUAUGUGUACUCUGUUCUACAUGUGUAGUGAUGAUAAAAUCUGGAAUGAUUGGGUUAAAUCGUGUAAAAAGAGUGUUUUUUUUCUACACACUUUGAUGGUUAACUUCUUGUGGCUACUUUGCUUAUACAAAGAAACAAUUUUAUUUGUUGAAGGGUGUUUUAUUUGCUUGUUCAAGGAAACACUUUGAUUUUUAUGGUUAACUUCUUUUCUCGUGGCUACUGUGAUGCAUUGAAACACAAGAAUUGAAACAACCUUUGGAAUGGUUGAGACUGGGAGAGGUGUCUUUGUUUAGCCUAGUGAUAACCAAUUUCACCCAUUAUUUGCAUUGAUGAUGUUACUGCUUUGGAGAUUGUUUUCUUUCAACAGCUGCUAUAUAUAUAUUUUUUAUAUAAAAAAAAUGAAUGUUAUUGUUUCGGUGUAAAUUUUGUGGGACCGAGACACUAACCUGGAUGUCGUGGCUUUCCUGCUUUCGGGCGCUUGGAUUGACCGGGUCGCUCGUUCUUCCUGGGUCUCGACCGCUUGGUCUCCUUAAGGCUGGACCGUUCGGUGGAUUUUGAUCUUUGACCGAAGGGGGGAGGUACCUGCAAUGGCACUCCGAUGCCCAAGUUAGGCGAGUGGUGAAUGAACCUUGGUUCUUGAGUUGACGAUUCUCAGUAUGAGAAUAGAUAAUAGGGUUUCUGAGUGAUUAUAGCGUAAGUAGAGUAUGUGUAAAGCGUACAUGGCUUGUGUCCUUGGCUUUCUAUUUAUAAUUUGUCUCAUGAACCUUGAACUGACAUAAGCCCAAUAAAAUAUAAACAGAAUAAAAUAUAAACAAACUUGUUUGGUUACUCAUAAACAGCCUUAUCAGUAUCUUUAAUCAGAUAUUAUUUUAUUCUUAAUAUUUUUAAUAAGAUAUCUUUGAUUCUGGUGGACUACAAGCCCAAUAAUGAGAGUUGGCCCAAUUAUGGCCCAACAUAGUCAUGAUGUUGUAUAUAACCGAUCAGUUAUUAUUUAUAACCGAUCGUCCCAGAUAUCAUACCGUACAUCAUCCCCCCAAGUCCGAGUUAAGCGUUAGGCUUUAGCCCUGGUUAACUGUAGGACUUAUGAGUUUGAGGGAGGUUGGAUUCGUUGUGCGUAGAGAGCGUUUUCCUAGUUGAUGGUGGUUAAUGGUUAUCCCGCUCAGUUUUACUGCCCAGGGUUGUUGAAUGACUGGAGCGAAAGUCCGUUUGAUGUUUAAUAUUGAGGUGUGCUAGAUGACGGGAAAGACCGAUGCGUUUGGUAUUUAAUAGGUCAGCUUAGAAUUGAAAAGUGGUUAUCAUACGACGUGUGCGUGUUGCCGUCUUGCAUUUUAGUUAUGACUGAUGUUUUCCCGCCUUUGGGGUAGUGACAAAGUCGUCAAAACGGAGCCGUUAGAUCAUUUUUAUCCAACGAUGUAGAUUGUGUGACGGUUGCAUCAGUUUCCUUUCAUUAAUGAGAUAGGUUUUCGCAGACGAACUCAACCGUCAUUUCUGCUUUUGUGUUUUCUCGAGAACUUUUGAACUUCCUCUUCUUCUAGCCGCAAGUUGCGUCCAAGCUUUGCUCUUUUUUCCAGGUAACCAUGGCUUCCUCUUCGCAUUUAGAUUGUUCAUUGUCACAGAGUGAGGAAAGAGGGCAUGAGGGCUCGACUGAUGUAUCUGGGGACGCUCAGACUGAAAAGUUUUCAUCGGUGCUUAACGGGGGAAAAGUUUUUGUUUGCGGUGGGGUUACCGUUGAAGUCCUCGAAAACUCCUGCUCUUCAUCGUGCUUAGAUUAUGGGUGGGCCUCCUGCGACAUAGGUGAUUAUUCAAGUCUUUUUGUUAGUAGACCUGUUCUGUUAGAUUGGGCGAAUAAUAGUUGUGUUCUUAGAGCCUUAAGUUACAACUCUGCUAUUAAGUUGAUUGCCUGUAGAGGGGAUGAAAGGGUUUUCCAUGGCAAAGAUACUGUUGGCGAGGAUUUUUUCUAUUUUUAUUCAUGCUUGUUUUUUGAUAUGUACAUUAGGUUACCUUUUACUGGGUUUCAGAUGGAUGUUUUGUGGGUCCUGAAUGUAGCUCCCUCUCAGUUGCACCAGAACAAUUGGGGUUACAUUCAGGUGUUCGCUGUCUUGUAUCAGACCUUGGGUAUUUAGCCAACAGUCAAAUUGUUCCUUUAUUUUUUUAGGACGCGCCCCAACGCCAAGAGGGAUUGGGUGUCUUUCAGUUUCGAGCCUAAGAAUGCUUACAAUUAUAUUAUAGCAUCACUAUACAAGUGCCAGUUUCUGUGGACUUUAUUUAUGCUAAAACAUAAAGUGUUGUAUGAUUCAUGUCGUGAAAUCUCAGUAAGUGGGAAAGUGCUUUUGUUUCUGUCAAGCUUUAAUAAUGAUAACUUGUGUAAUCAUGUUUCUUAUUAUAUAUGAUACUUUUUGGACACCUAAAACAGGUCGGAUGCUAGGUGGAAAAUUAUCUAGGUCUCCUGGUGGGCUUCCUCCACAAUCACCUAUUGCUCAAUGGGACAACAUCAUCAAAUUUUUGGAUUCACUCAUGAGCAGAAUGCGUGUAAAUCAUGUAUGCUAUUUAGUCAAUAAAUAGUUUAACUAGUUCUUCAAAAUACUGGUUUCAUUUUAGAAAUGUCUAUAACAUGUUUUAAUAAAUAGUUUUACUUAGUUUCUAAUUGUAGAUGUUACUAUUGCAAAUGAAUAUUAUUGAACUUAAAUAUUCUCAUUUAAUUUUACUUUAUGAGUUUUGAAUGUUAGUGUUGUAACUUAUAAGUUUUGGAAUUUAAAAGGGUUUUUUAUUCUAUAAUGUUGUUUUCAAUUGAUAAUUUUUUAAUAUAAUGCGGUAACUUUGAAAAAAUAUUUUUUAUUUUACUAGUUCAAUCACAGUUAGCUCAUUUAUUAUUGAACCGGUGCACUUACCUGUUUAAUGACCAGUUUGGUUUCCAAAAUAUUGACAAUCUUGUUCCUAUUGUUCCUAUUGUUGUUACUGCAUCAUCCUUAGUUCUGGAGGUUUUCUUGUUCUCUUUUUGUAUAUUACUUUUCCAAGUUUAUAAAGGCUUUACUUGUCCAAAAAUUUAAUCAUGUUUCAAUAAAAAUUGCAUGAAAUGGGGAUGUACAGUGAGCUUGCUAUUACUACGUGAUUUUAUUUUUAAGGUUUAAUCAUAUUUAUACUUUAUGUCUUUGUUUCGUGUUUUAUCCUUUGUUCUAAUCCGCUUGGAUCUUUGUGGGUUCUUAUGCAUGUGUGAGCAGCCAAUGAUAUAUGGUAGGGGUCCAAUGCCAACAGGAAUGCAAAUGGUUCCAAUGGUGUUACCAGACGGUCGAAUUGGCUAUGUCGGCUAUGUCUUGUAAGUUUCUGCGAAUUCAUUUUUACAUAAAUUUUAUCAUAUGAAAAUACUAAUAAGAAUGCUUUUUAAAUUUAAAUCAUACUAUAAAUUAAUAUAGUAUAUUAUUUAGUAUUGUCAAUAUAAUUUAAAAUUGCAUUGGCAAUUAUGCAUAAUAGUAAUUUAACACAGUAAUAGAAAAAAUUUGUAACCCAAUAUGUUUUUUAAAUUAUUGGCAUUUGUAUAAAAAUUAUAUAUGUAUCAUCAUCAUUACUAUAAAAUGUUCUAUACAUAAUUUUACUAUCAAUUUUAUUUCUAUUUCGUGUGUAAUUUUUAAUCAUUGUUGUCCAAGUUUUUUAAUUUGAAUCAUAAGUUUAUAUUCUAAGCUAUGGAGUAAUGUUUAUUUAGUUUUAUUACACUGAAUUGUAAAAAUUGGAAAAAAUAAUUGAUUUUGAUAAUGGUGAUAUGGUGCAGACAACAACCUAGUGUACAAGCGCCACGCAGCCGACCUCGCAGAAGUGAUUGGAGUAAUGGUCCAAGUGGGCAGCCAGGACGAGGAGGUGAUAGUGGCAAUGAUGAAGGCAAUCGUAGUAGAAGGCAUUGUCUUUGAGUUGUUUUCUUAUUUAGAAGUAUAAUUUAAAUGUUUUUCCUCUGUAUGUGUUGUAUUGUUGUGGCAGCAAGUAUCUUAUGUAAAAGACUACGAACAUAUUAUGUAGUAUCAUUUGAUAUUUCCUUUUCGAUUGUCCUUCUCCAGUACAAAUAUUAGUGGUUAGUUUGACUUCAUGUCAUGAAAAAUUUCAUAAUCUAAACUAGUGGAGUGAAACUUCUUUGUCCUCCGAUAAUUACCGACGGCCUUUGUCCUUCGGUAAUUACCGAAGGUUUUUGCCCUUUGGUAAUUACCGAAGGGUAAAGGCCGUCGGUAAUGGUUAGCGACAAAUGAUUUACUGACAGCUUUUUGACCAUCGGUAAGUCGUCGGUAAUAGGUCAUUACCGACAACUUCUGGAUGUUUCCGAGAGAUUCUGGCCUUUGGUAACGCCCUUAUUCAGAAGAGUCUUGAUAUUUUGACACCAAAAUUUUGACACUUUUUUUACACUGCCAAGUGUCACAAUUUGAUUGGUUUGUUUUUAAAUGUUGUUUUGAAUUAAAAUUUGACGUCAAGUUUAAGGGAGGUUUGAGAAAUGUGUGCUUCCAAAAAUGCCCUUGUUCUGUUCCAUUUGAAAUGAACCUUCUCUCUCCUGUUUCAGAAGUAUGGGUUUCGUUCUCCCGUUCGCUCUCGCUCUUCAUUUUGGUUGACCCUCUCACUCUCGCUGUCGGUGUGGGUGUCGCUCUCGUUAUCGAUGUUUGUUGCACGUGUUCCUUUAAAGCAACGUCGUUGACUUUCUUGAGUUUAUUGUGCGGAAUGACAAGUUUCGAUAAGCAUGGUUCUUCAAGUAAAAAGGUUCUUCCUCCAUUUAGUUGUUGUUUUAUAUUUUUAUGUUUUUUUUUAGGGUAUUUAUGUUUUGGUUAUUUUGUUUGUGGUUGAUGCAGUUGACUGUUCGUCGCUCAUUUUGAACAAAGUAUAUUUCUACUUUGAAGGAAUUCUUGACAAAGGAGCACCGGUCACGAAGACGUAUGUGAGGAUGGGGUCACGAAGGCAUUACAAGAGCAGAUCGCUUAGGACUCCUUAUACUGGAUUGCUAAGAAUAAAAAAUGAGUGAUAUUUGUAUACGUUUCUUCAGAGAAUGUAAAAUAGAAUUAGUAUUAUGAACAAAUGUUUUGUAAUUUGGAUUGUAUCAUUUUCAAUGUUAUAAAAGAUGCAUUUGAUGUAGUAUUACUGUUAAAUGAAUUGCCUUUGUUAUUACUGUUAAAUGAAUUACCUCUGUUAUUGUGAUUGGCAAAUUGAGGUUUUGUUUGAAUUGUUAAGGAAUAAAGUUGGCAAUUUGAUGUACUAUUGAUGUAUUUAAUGGAGGAAUGAAACAAUGCAGUUGGAAUUUUUGGUAUUUUUUUCAAAUACGUAUUUCUUUUGGUCUGAUUUUGUUGUUAAGGAGUCAUUUUAGUGUGGUUGUUCAUGUUUGGGUACCCCAAGUUGGACAUAGGAAACAAUAACGUUGAGUAGAGGAACUUAGUUGAACUCCUGAAAGUUCUGUAGUUAAAAAUGCACUGGUAAACGAUUACGUGAACAUAUUAUGUGAUUUGUACAGAAAGUUGUACUGCUGGAGCCAGUUCUGGUAACCUAGGGGACCAUAGUCUAAAUUUUUGUAGUUUUUUCAUAAAUGCAAUUAUUUUUGUGUGAUUUUGUUGUUUAAGUGUGAUUUUAUAAUGUGGGAAAUCAAGUUUGGGCACCCCAUGUUCGAGAUAAGAAUCAAAUUUUUUUCAUUUGAACAAGUUAGUUGAAGUUUUGCAGCCAGUUCUGGUAACCUAGGGGUCCAUAGUCUAAAUUUUUGUAUUUUUUGCAUAAACGCAAUGGUUUUUGUGUGAUUUUAAGUGUGAUUUUAGUGUGGAAAAUCAAGUUUGGGCUCCCCAUGUUCGAGAUAAGACACAUUUUUUUUCAUUUGAACAAGUUAAUUGAGGUUUUGCAAGGUCUAGAGCAAAAAACAAAGUUGUAAUCGUUUACAAGACCUUGGUAAACGAUUACACGAACAAAAUCCUGGAUUUGUACAGAAAGUUGUACUACAGGAGCUAGUUCUAGUUACCUAGGGGACCAUAAUAUAAAUUUUGUAUUUUUUGCAUAAACGCAAUGGUUUUUGUGUGAUUUUGUUGUUUAAGUGUGAUUUUAGUGUGGGAAAUCAAGUUUGGGCACCCCAUGUUUGAGAUAAGAAACAAUUUUUUUCAUUUGAACAAGCUACUUGGAGUUUUGCAAGGUCUAGAGCGAAAAACAAAGCUGUAAACGUUUACAAGACCUUGGUAAACGAUUACACGAACAAAAUCCUGGAUUUGUACAGAAAGUUGUACUACAAGAGCCAGUUCUGGUAACCUAGGAGACCAUAGUCUAAAUUUUUGUAUUUUUUGCAUAAAUGCAAUGGUUUUUGUGUGAUUUUGUUGUUUAACUGUGAUUUUAGUGUGGAAAAUCAAGUUUGGACACCCCAUGUUCGAGAUAAGAAACCAUUUUUUUCAUUUGAACAAGUUAGUUGAAGUUUUACAAGGUUUAGAGCAAAAAACAAAGUUGUAAUCGUUUACAAGACCUUGGUAAACGAUUACACGAACAAAAUCCUGGAUUUGUACAGAAAGUUGUACUGCAGGAGCCAGUUCUGGUAACCUAGGGGACCAUGGUCUAAAUUUUUGUAUUUUUUGCAUAAACGCAAUAGUUUUUGUGUGAUUUUGUUGUUUAAGUGUGAUUUUAGUGUGGGAAAUCAAGUUUGGGCACCCCAUGUUCGAGAUAAGAAAUAUUUUUUUCAUUUGAACAAGUUAGUUAAAGUCCUUCAAGGUCUGGAACAAGUUAGUCUAAAUUUUUUCAUUUGAAUAAGUUAGUUUGGUCUAGACUCAGACCUUACAAAUUUUUGGACAUUUAUACUAUGGUUGAAACUUAUUUUUAGUGUUUCAGUGUGAGCAGAGGCUAGGAAGUCAUGUUUGGGCAAUCCAUGAAAGUUAACAUUAUAUUGCAAUAAGAAUCUGUACAUAAAUAUCAUUGUUUCUUACAAAGACAAAAAUCCAUCUUUGCCUACAUACAAAGAAAAACUCUACAAAUAAAAUCAAUCCUAUAACAAUCCAAAUUUCUGUCGUGCUUCCAUUCUUCUAAUGUUGUUGUUGUCAAGGAUCCAGUCGCAUACAUAUUUCUUUACUUGAUCAAUGUCAAAAGGCACAACCUUCAAAACCUUUACUCGGUCAUGGAGUGCGGGAAAGAUAGUGUGGGAAGACGAAAAGCUCCAACCUUCGAAAAGCACCAACCUUCGAAAAGUUCCAACCUUUGAAAAGUCUCAACCUUUGAAAAGCCCCAACCUUACAAAAUCAUCAACCUUCGACGAGCAACAAUGGUGAAUGCCAAAGAGACAAACAAAAAAAGGAAGAUGAGAGCGGAACAUGAGAAAGAGUUCAAGGAAAACCUUGAAAAACAAUGCGAGAGACCCGCAACAAUGCUCAGGCAAAUGAGAGAGACAAAGAACUCAGAGAACACGAGAGGGAUAAUGGUAAUGAGAGAACGAGAGAGAGUGAUACGAGAAACGCGAGAGAGACUGGCAAUGAGAGAGAUUGAUACGAGAGUGAAGAGCAAAUGGGUGCGAAUGAAAGAAACCGCGAAACGAAAUUUCAUUUUUUUCCACCUUCCAAAUAUGCCCCUGCCUAAUUAUUAAAACCUCAUGUCUUUCUUUUCAAAUUCCGCCAAUUGAGAAACGACAUGUGGCAAUGUCAAAAGAGUGUCAAAAGUUUGGUGUCAAAGAAGUGUUUUCGUAUUGGAAAAACUAAUAUGUAUAGGUUUGAUCUCAUAAUGACUCAUGGACAAUAAUAUUGAGUCCGUAACACAGUAUAAAGGAUUCAAGAUUUUAUACCUUCUUUACCUUUUUCAAUUUGGUGAGUUGAGUGCUCACUGAAUGUGCUGUUGACAACUUUUUUAGGAUGUACAUUUCUUUUUGAUUGAGUUAUGCCAACAAUUUGUUGUAUUUGCUUCGUAGUCAAGUUUUUAUGGAUUUGUUCACAAGUGGAUUGCCCUUCAGUGACCGGUUCAGUUUUGUUCUUCAGAGCGUUUAAUGAGUAAUUUUAUCUUUGCUUCGUCCAAUGAGGGAACCCAUGCUUUGAAUAGCAUUCGUCUUCAGUGUGGUUCAUCUUUAUACAAUAUGAACAUUGCUUGCCAUAGUUCUUUCUUCUUCCUCUUCCAUAACUCUUCCACUCUGUGGUAUUUCCACUUCUGUAAUUCUUCUGAGUUUGAAUGACGUUGUUCACCAUCACUUUCUCUGUACCAUUACUAUCAUUUAGUUGUCUUUUUUGUUGGAGAACCAAAGGAAAAACACGAUUAAUACUUGGUAAUGGCUCCAUAAGCAAGAAUUGAGUUUUAACAGUGUUGUAGAUUCACCUAAGGCUUUUUAGGAAACACAUUAUGCGCUCAGAAUCUUUUUAGUCUGUAAUAAUCUUACUGAUAUUGUAGCUACAUCUCACGUGACAAACACAAGCUGGAAUAGUACUAAGAAAAUUCAGCUCUUCUCAUAAAAUCUCGGAGUUUGUGUAGUAUUUUGCAACCGUUCGUUCUCCCCGUUUUAUGGAAUUAAUUUCUUGGAGGAGAUGAGAAGUUAAUGUAUGUUAUUAUGCGUUUUUAGCGUAUGAUCCCUCUCCAACGUCAUAUUGGGUGAUGUCAAUAAGGCAUCGACUCCUUCAAAGGACAUCGGAUGUUCCCCAUCAGACGUCAUAUGAGACGUCAGAUUUAAGCACGUCAAACGUCAUAUGAGAUGUUGUGUAUAAGCCAUCUAACGUCUAUCAACGCUGAGCGCCACUGGCUCGUGCUGAGUGAGAAAAAUUCUAGAGUGCCACUAGAAACCUUUUGACGUCUGUCAGUGCACUGACAUACGUCAAUAGACAUCGGACAUAACCAUAACUAACGUUUACUGGGUGUUUUUUUUUAAAUUAAUUUAUUUUUGCAAUAAAACCACACCUAAAAAAUAUAUGAUUAUCACAGAACAUCAUAAUAUAAUAUAUUUUAUGCGUUUGAAGUUAAAAAGAUAAUAAACAAUCUAAAAAACAAUCCAAAACUUAAACAAUCAAAACUUAAACUUAAACUAAAGCUAAUUAAUGUUCAACAACAAUAAAAGUCUUCCUAAAGGCAUGGGCAUGGGUCUUAAGUCCAUCUCGAAGAAGAUAAGUUGCCCACUCUUGUUUUAUCUUUUUAAUUGUGUCCUCUAGUAUAAGAGAUGUAUUCUUGAAUCACUGUAAAAUGAAGUUGAUUUCAUAAUGUUUGCAUAUGUUCAAAGAUGAAUUUCAUUUGUAAUGUAUUGAAGGUAAGCAUCAUUACCUCAAUGCAGUCAUCUGUAAUAUCAGGUCGAAUGAUGGUUUUAAUCCAAGACAUGACAUAGUAGCCACAUUACCAUGAAUUUAGCUGUUUGUUACACUAAAAUGACAAACUAAAAAGUCAAUUAUUUGGAUCAUUCAAUAACAUAGAAAAUGAAUAAGAACUAUAAAUGACUUAUAACUUUUGGAUACAAGAUUUGAAUUAGCUUACCUCGGGGUUUACCCAUAACUUUAUUUACAUUAAAAACACAAGGUAAUAUUAAUAUAACUAUAUUCUUCAUAAAAAUUGAAGGUCAACAUGAAUUUGAAACAUAAAAAGAGAAACACUUACCCUUGAAGCAAUGUUUUCAAGUCAUUUUUCAUCCUCCUGUGCAGCGAACAAAACCAUAGAAUUUUGCAUUGUCUAGGAAUGACAACCAUCAGCUGCCAAUGAGACCUAUCAUGAAUCAUAAAUAAUUAGUAAACUAAUUAAGUAAGUUUUAAUGAAAUUUUACAUUUUGCAGCACAUACCCAUCAAUGUAUGGCAUAAGGUAUACGUCUCUAUUUAAUCGAUUACAUCUGGUAAUUGAUUACAACAAGGUUGUAAUCGAUUGCCAGGGUCAUUUUUGUGUAAACACUCUAGUAAUCGCUUACAAGGGAGUUUUUGUCCACUGAACCUGCUAGUAAUUGAUUACAACAAGGGUGUAAUCAAUUACCAAAGUCAUUUUUUCCUACAAAGGUGAAGUCGUGUAGGAGGGCACGACUUUAGCACGUUGUAAUUGAUUACAGAGCUUGGUAAUCGAUUACAACGCCAUGAAGUUGUUUUUGGGGUGCACGACUUCAAGACUGUUCAAAUGAACAGUGUGAAGUCGUGCAGGGGGCACGACUUCUUCCUUAGAAGUCGUCUAGGCCCCCCACGACUUCCCUUUGACCACAAAUUUGCUCAUUUACUAAUAUGGGAGGCAAAUUUGCCUAGUUUCGUACAAAAAUCCAUGUUUAUCUGAUGAUAGUUGGGCUAGUUUUACUCAACUUUUGGAGCAGUAUUAGGCACCUACCUACAUGUUAACUAGCACUUUGGGCAGAAUGUGAUGUAAGUCAUGUAGCAUAAGUUUUAGAACUAGACAUACUCCUUGUGCGAGUUAUUCAUAUGCAUAACUCUAAUGUUUUAUUGCAACUAUAUUUGUGUAUUCUAUUUGCUCGUUUGUGCCGUGGCAUAGUUAAAUAGAAGUCAAUUGCUUAGGUAACUGCGAUCAGAAUAUAGGAUUUAAGAAAUAUGGUUUGACCAAUGUUAACUAUUUAAUGUGAUUUUUGGUUUUGAUAGUUAUGGUUAUUAUAUUUGAACGAAAAUUUUUGACCACCCUUUUAAACUCUUAUUAUAGGAGAAAAAUCAUAGGAGUCCUUAUUUUGGGUGCAUCUGAAGUUUUUUUUUUUUUUUUGGAUUGUGAUCUUAAAAUGAUCCUAACUUUCACUCAGGUUAUUAGUUUUUGCAUUACUAUAUAUAGAUUUGGGGUAGAAAAAUAUUUUGAUACAGUGGUAGCUCGCAUAGCCAGCUAAUCCUUCUAGAUUUUCCAGAAAACAUUGUUUUCAUAUUUUUCAAAAAUUUAUUUUGUUUUGUUUUUUCAAACUUUGCACAAAUAUUUAAAAUAGUUAGACUUUGAAUUUUGAGCUGAAAUUUUGUGUGAAGGGUUUUCAUGAUUUUUUGGUCUUUCCAACAAAUUUUAAAGUCAUUUAAAGUUCGUUUGAGCAUACUAUCAGUUUUACUUACACCUAUGUUUUGAUGUGUAUGGUGUAUGAAGAACAAACAACCAAAUGAAAACAUGAAAAACCUAAAAUGAAAUUAACCUUGAAGGUGAGUUUGGUGCUGAAAUGAAACGAAAUGAGCAUCACAAAGCGCCUAUCUAAAGAGCACCUGUGCACAAAAUUAAUCGAUCAAAACGAAAGAAAAUCAUACCUAAGAACUUAAUCAGCCUAAAAUUAAAGAAAAAAAAUGGAAGAAAUGUUAAGGAUGAGGUCGCGAAAAUGGAAGACGAGAGAGCGACGCGGCAUAGCAAAGAAAAUGAUGUUUCUGUCUGAAAUGUACAAGAGGCUUUGUUCACGAAAUUUAACCUUAGAAACAUAUUAUUACCUCGAUUAUUUUAUUAACCAAGACAAUAAGGGUUCUAUGGCCUCAGUUUUAUUAAGAAUCGCUACCUAAAGCCUCUAAAAAAAUAUUUUCAGUUAUUUUAUGCUUCGAUUCGCGGCAUAACCGAAGUAUAAGUACUAUAUGGCCUUAAUUCUCUAAACAACUGAGGUUAUAGACUCCUUUAAGCUUCGGUUCUUUCUAAACCGAGACAUAUGUAUUUGCGAUAAUUGCAAAAAUGUCACUGCACCAUUUUAUGUUUCGGUUGCAACAAAACCAAUGUCAAAUGCGUAAGUUAAUAUUCAUAUUUUUUUACUAGUGAGAAAACGAAACAGUAAAGACAUGGUGGCAAUUUUAAAAAUUUUGUGAAUUUAUAAAUCUCGAUUGCACUACAUACAAAAUCAUAUACUUCUUUUGACUUGAUUAUUAUAGAAACGACUUCGAAAGGUGUGUGAAACUUUAAAAAACUUUCAAAAUUCUUAUUAUUUAUUUUUAAUUAUUUUAUCUAAAAGAAGAGAUUUGGCUUCGAUUCUCAAAUAAUCAAAGCCAUAUAUUCUUUUCUACUUCAGUUUCAGUUAAGAUGCACAAAGAUUUUCAAAAUUUCUGCUAUUUAUUUAAUUAUUUUAUAUGAAAGAGGAGAUUUGACUUCGAUUCUCAAAUAACCAAAGACAUUUCUUUUGCUUUGGUUUAUGAGCAAUUGAAGUUGAAAGGUAUGUAAAAAUUUCAAAAUUUUAAGGGUAUUUGACUUCGGUUCUUCUACAAACUAAGGUCAAAUACCCUGUUCUAUCUCGGUUCUUAUACGAAAUAAAGUCAUACAUAAUUUUUUCCUUCGGUUAUUAAAUAACUGAGGUCAAAAGGUGUGCACAUUUUCAAAAAAUUUCAAAAUUUUGAAGGUAUUUCUCAUACAGAAUCCCUUAUUUAUUUAUGUCAAACAUUUUUGUGUCUACUUCAUGAAAACUUUAAGUUUCAACAUUUUAUUUUGAUUGAAAUAUUAUGUAGAAAAUUGGAAGAUUGAAGAAUAUUGUAAAAUGUUUUUUAGGACUUUUUCGUUUGGUAAGAAAUUCUCUCACCUAACUCGCUCAACGAGACAUCAACUCAUUCGCCUAGCACUCAAUGGGUAAAGAAAGUCUUAUGUGAGACGAAAGCAACCUCUAGUCCAAGUUAGGCUAGUCUAACAAGAACUUUCUUUUUAAUAAAUAUUUGAAAGUCAAUCUUUACACAAAAAGAAAGUUUUUGGAGAGGGAACUUAAUCCGAGAUCAAAUGACAUGUAGAGAUGGAAAUGGGAGCUUAAAAUCACUUCGUCUUCAUUCUUACCACUUUCUUUUUUGUAUUUUUUUGUACUCCUCUUAUGUAGGAGUGACUAACUUGUUACAUUGACGAUUUUUCAACAAAUGUUUAAAAAUGUCAAAAUCUAUAAUGUAUAUGAAAUAUAUUAAAAAAUAUUAAAAUUUUAAAAAAAAAUUGAAAUCAUAUAUAAAUUUAUAUAAAUAUAAAAACAAAUUAUGGAGAGGGGUCAAGGUCCCUCUGUCACAUCUAAGGUCUGUCUCUAAAUUUUCAUUUAUUAGGGUUGGAUAUAAUAUAUUUAACUAUAAUACUUGGACUUUUAAUGAUAAUUCUAUAGCACAAAACCUUCUUGAAUUAUCAAACAAUCUAGAACCCUUAAUCGAGAUUGUAGUGAAUAACAUCAGUUGAAUUUAAUCACACUAUCGUCUUAAGUAAUUUUACCUUAUAUUUUUUGAAAAUAAAAGAAAAGAGUGAAAGAAGAAUGUUAAUCUGUGUAAGUUGCUAUUCGUCUCUCCUGAAAAUACUCUUAGAAUAUUUCACCAUAAAGAAAGAAAAUGCAGACAAAAUGACAAAGACUUUUGAGGUAAAUAUUGUGUUGACGUAGAAUUUAAAAAAGCUUUUCACACUUUUUUUAGCACCUAAAAUCACGUCAUGUUGCUCCUCGUCAAUUUUCUAACCCAUAUAAGGGGGGCAGAACUUUAAAAUUCAAGCAUACGAUGAUGAAUUAUUUUACACUUUAUUCAUUUUUUUGUGUAAAGACAAUGAAGGAAUUUAUCUCAGUUGAUCGAAACGUAUUUGAAAAUAAAAUAAAAAGUGUGGAAGAAGAAUGUUAGUCUCUGUAGGUUGUUAUUGUUUAGCUCCAAAGGCAGAAAAAAAAAAGGCAAAAAUUCAUUUUAAGAAAUUCUUUCACACUUGUUUUUAGGUCUCUCUUAAGUAAUUUUUAGCACCUAAAGUGACGUUGCUCCUGCUCAAUUAGGUUGAUACAAAUUACGUUACUAUUUUGACAUGCAAAUUCAAUUUUAUAAAUUUAGUGUUCGGGUACGAGGUCGAGUCACCUAACUCCUACACAAUUUUCUCUUGAAAUCGAUUGAUUUUCUGUGUCCGCCUCCUCCUCCUUGUCUUAGUCUUCUCACGCCGGUUGUCCUCUUCUCGCUUUGUCUUUUCCUUUGUUUGAAUCAUGUACGAGAGAGUAUCUGCUAAAGGUUCUCCGAUGCCAGAGACAAUUUCGAUAAUCUGAGAAGUGUAUAAAAUGUGCAAUUAAUUAACCCACCUACCUUUUACCUUACUUGUAUUUAUAGUAUUGGUUAUAGGCCUUGGAUUAGAGAAACCUUAAGUAAGGUCCAAUUACAAUCCAAUAACCUUUAAUCCCGUCUUACCUUAAUUACGUCUGUAAAGCAGUUCAUCAUGGCCCCACAGUCUUGUCGUUGCUUAACAAUCGUCCCUCUGGAACGUCCAGUUCACCCCCAGUAUAUUUAGCAUAUAAAAAUCAAAUGGUUAGAUAGAUAGUGUAAUAUAAAAUUUCAGGGAGAAGCUCAAGGGAGAAGAAAAAAAAAACUUGAGCCUUUUCUAUGUUUCUUCUUUUUUAGAAGGAAAAUAUUACUACAGAUAUGUUCUUCUCAUAUUUCAUUUUGAUUAUCUUAUCAACUUAUGAUAAUGAUUAUGCUGAGAUUUAUUCUUUUCAUUAUAUUGGAUAAUUUUAUUCGUAUACAAAAUAUAAAUUAAUCUGGCGUUUCUAUAUUAUGCCUACGAGAUUUUCUUUAUCACAUGUAUAAUAAAUAGUUUUAUUGUGCAAUGUGUGAAGUGUGUGUUAGAAACUGAAUUUUCUGCAAAUUGUUUUAUUUUGAAAUAAUAAAUAGAAGUUUGAUUUUUAAAAUCAAUUGGGUUUGGAUAAAAUAUAUGUAUAUAGAAGCUUGAAUUGAGUUAAUGAUGAAGAACUUCUGUUAUUAACUUAACACGAGAUUUAGUAUUAGAAAGCUAUAGAAAGCUAAAAACGUGGAAAGUAGAAAGGUAUUAAAAGAAUUAACUUAAAAAUUAAUUUGAUUAAAUAUAAUUUCAAUCAUAUAUUUUAAAUGUAUGAUCAGAAUUUAUUUCUUUCAUCUGACACUUGUUUCGUAUAUUGUGAAAUUGAAAUAUUUUAUCUCUUUACCCAACAAAUAAAAAUAAGGGGUUUUCUCCUUUCAUAUACAAAAUUGUAUGAAAUAUUUUAGUAAAAAAAAGUUUGAACAAUUAGAGUUUUAAAAGGGAAGAUUAUGUGGUAAGGAUGAGGAACAAAUCAUUUUCGUUUGAAAAAAAAUUCCACUCUUUCUGAAAUUCUAAAAAUGAUUUUGAUAAAAAAAGUUAACAAUUUGUUUAAAUAGAUUAUUAUCGUUUAUUUCUUUCAUACAUUUUCGUAAAAUAGGUUAUUACAUGAGGAAAAUUAAUAAUUGGAUCUCUAAAAUAGUUUUGUUUAUAUGAUCUCUAAAAUUGGAUCUCUAAAAUAGUUUUGUUUAUAUGAUUUAUGUGUGGUGUUCUAAUAUUGUAAUCUAAAAGUCUUUUUGAUUUCAUUUUCUGCAUUUCCUUGUCACGAUGUCAUAAUUUGAUAAACUAUAAAAUGGGUUGGACUAGUUCUAUUUAUUUUUUUCUUUUUAUGUAUUUAAACAAGCCUUUCAUACAUUUUUUUUUAUCGUCUCUCAUUUAAUUUUAGCACCUAAAUUACGUUUCUUAUUUAAAAAAAGGGUUAAAUAUGUUUUUAGUCCCUAUACUUGGGACGAUUUUGGUUUUAGUCCCUCUUUCAAACUAAGGGUACAAUUUAAUCCUUCAACUUUAGAAAACUCUGGUUUUAGUCCUUUUUACCAAAUUUUUUUAACUUUAUUUACUGUUUCAAAAGCGUUUAUAUCAGUUAACAUUGAAGCAAAAAUGUGUCAAGCAGUGUAAACAAUCUAAAUGCUAUAAUGAAACGUGCUUGAAACAGCAAAUAAAGUUAAAAAAAUUUGGUAAAAAGAACUAAAACUAGAGUUUUCUAGAGUUGAAGGACUAAAUUGUACCUUAGUUUGAAAGAGGGACUAAAACCAAAAUCGCCCCAAAGUACAGGGACUAAAGCAUAUUUAACCCUUAAAAAAAAGAUACAAAAUAAGUUACUGAUUUUGACAACUCAAUCUGAUUUUAUAUUAUAGAAAAAUUAAACUUUGAUAUAGAUUAGGUUCAUCUCUACUUCUGCCAUGUCACCAUCAUUAAUUGGAGCAACUUCUCUUUUACUUUGCAUCAUUAUUGCUAAAAAUCAAAACUGGCUUCAUUAAAUUCUCUUUAGAGUUUGAUUUUCAUUAUUUUCAAUUGAGUGUUUCACAUCCAAAUAUAUAUAUAUAUAUAUAUAUAUAUAUAUAUAUAUAUAUAUAUAUAUAUAUAUAUAUAUAUAUAUAUAUAUAUAUAUUCUCCUCUUGAAGUGAAUUUAUGAUAUAUCAUACAAACACUAGUUAUUCAACAAAUUUAUUUGCUUUAUAACUUCAUAAAAUAGUUCUAAGCUUAAUAAUUUGAUGGAUGAUUUAAUCUAAACUUUUUUUUUUUAUCAAAUGGUAGAAAGGUCUUAAACAUUUCUUCUUCAUUUACUUAAACGCUUUCAGUCAACCUUAUAUCGUUCUCAAAUUUAUCUAUCGUCAAUAAUUGAAAUUCACAAUUUACUCAUUUUUAAAGUCUUAAUUUGAAAAAUAAAUCUUUAUAUUUACAUAUUUUCAUAAGUUGAUUAUUCUUAAUUAUAUGCAUAUGUACGUACAAAAUUUCAAUAUUUUUCAUUACAUCAUAUUUACGAAAUUUGAUUUAAUGGUAUAGUAUAAAAUGUAUUAGGUUAAAUUAUGUAAUAUGUUUUUAUUUUUUUAGGGAGGUAUCAAAAUUAGUCUUUUUUUUUUUUAUCUAUACCUUUCAAUUUGUUCCUUAUUUUAUAAGAUUUGAUGUAAUCAAAUUUUUUAUAUUAGUAUGGUACUAACAACACUAAAGAGAUAUGAUGUGUCAUUUCAUAAGUUUUCCAAUUUCUUAACUCUUUUUUUUCAAUUUUUUAAUUUUUUUCAAAAUAAAAAAAAAUUAUCACAUGUCAAACUAAUGUUGUGCAACAUGACACUAAUAAUGUUGUGUGUAUAUGUAUCAUUAUUUUAGUCAUAUGUUAAUCCUUGUAUUUUUAUUUUGUCUAAAUUUAGUUUCAAUUUUUUUAAAAUCAAUCAAUUUCGUUCCUCUUUAAAUUAAAAUAAAAUUUAAUUUUUAUAUAAAUGUUAUACAAAUAUUUUUAUUAAAAUUAAUAUUUUUAUUAUAUAUUUUUAACAAAAUUAAUUUUAUUUAUAUUUAGAUUUUACUUUGAAUUUUAUUUAAACUUGUUUUCAGAUUUUAAAUUUGUUUGUUUUAAAUUAUUGUAAAAUUGUUUAAAAUUAUUUUAAAAUUUUACAUUCGUACUAAUAAAAUUGUUUUCAAAGGGCUUAUUCUCUUGAUCAAACUUGUUUAACUAGAAAUCUUAAGUUUUUUUCAAAACCAUAUGGGAAUGGUGAGUUUUUUCUCCGUAUAUUAAUUUAUUUUUAUUUUUUAAAAUUAUUGUCCCUUUCAAAAAUUAUGACCCUUUAUACUUGAGUCGGCCUAACAAUGAUAAAAAAACUUGAAAUGUGAUGGGUGCGCCUAACAAUGAUGAUAUUUGAGUGAGUGACUGUUAAGUGAAUGGUUAAGACUCUGUCAAACAAUAAGUUCGGUUUUUAAAGUCAAGACAGAAAUAAUACAUUUAAUGUGAAUUGACUAUUUAUACUCUAUAAAAUAGAUUAUAAUAUUAAUUUUAACUUAUAAAAUGGACGGGGAAAAAGAAAUCCAUGCAUUUAAACAAGCCCUCUCUAAUUAAAUUUUAGCACCUAAAUUACGUAUCUUCUUUUCUAUUAAAUUGGUAGACUUUAAAAAAAUAAAAAUAUGUUACUGUUUUUGACAACUCAAUUUGAUUUUAUACCAUAGAAAAUUUAAAUUGUUUACUAAUAUUGCUGGAUCUGGAACCUUCUUGUGUUUUCAGAUAUAUUUUGUCAGUAAAAAUUAUUCAGAGUUUAACUUAUAUUUAUCAAAUACUAAUAAUUUAAUUAGUUAUAUGAACAAGUUUCAGAUAUAAGUUAGGUUUUAUGAAUUAAUUUUUCAAAAUUUAAAAAUAGUUGAUAAAGAGGGAAAACGUGUUGAAGAUGUUGAGUAAUUGAUAUUAAUUUUGACUUCACACUCAAUUAAAAGUAAUAAUCAAGGAAAUUAUCUCAGUCAAUUCAAACAUAUUUCAAAAGAAAAAAGGUAGAAGAAGAAUGAAAAUGAAAAUGAAAAUAGUUAGAUAGAUAGCAUAAACAUAAAAAGGCAUUGCAGCACUAUAUAUAUGUUAUUUCCCGUGCAUAACCCGUAACCACUUAUUUUUAACACUUGUUAAAAUGAAUUCCUUCCUUUUGAUAAUCGUGUUUGUUCAUCUUUGUUGGGUUUCUCUAAGUCUGAGCGCAGAGACAGUGUGCAUUGGAAGUGAGAGAGAGACACUGUUAAAGUUGAAGCAUCAUAUCAUUGAUCCUUCAAAUAGACUUUCUUCUUGGAAUGCUUCUCUUAAUCCAAAUUGUUGCCACUGGUAUGGAGUUCUCUGCAACAAUGUCACAUCCUACGUUGUAGAGCUUCACCUCAACACUCCACUUCCUUCUUUCCCUUUCGAUGAGAGCCUAAUAUAUGAAACUUACGAAGAAGUUCACAGAGAAACAUUCAAUGAGUAUAGUAGAAGGGCAUUCAGUGGAGAGAUAAAUCCUUGUUUGGUUGAUUUGAAGCAUUUGAAUUACUUGGAUCUCAGCGGCAAUCUUUUUCAAACUCCAUUUCCUUCUUUCAUUGCAAAAAUGACUUCCUUAACUCACCUCAACCUUUCUGAUGCUGGAUUCAUGGGGAACAUUCCUCCUCAGAUUGGAAAUCUCUCCAAUUUGCUCUAUCUUGAUUUAAGUGUUGUUGCCAAUGGAACAAUUCCUUCCCAGAUAGGGAAUCUCUCCAACUUGCUCCACCUCGACCUCGGAGGAUCUUAUUAUUAUGAAAUUGUUGAUUGGUUGUCAAGUCUUUCCAACCUUCGUUAUCUUCACUUGAGCCACACUCAUCCACUUGUAGGAGGUAUGCCAAUUCCUUCUUUUUUUGGCUCAAUGACCACUUUAAUUCACUUGGACCUCUCUUAUUCUGGAUUUAUGGGCAACAUUCCUCCCCAGAUUGGUAAUCUUUCCAAUUUGGCUUAUCUAGAUUUAAGUUAUGCUGCUAAUGGAAUUAUUCCCUCUCAAAUUGGGAAUCUCUCCAACUUGCUUUACCUUGAUCUUCAAAGUGGUUAUUCUAUUGAGAACACUUUGUUUGUUAGAAAUGUUGAUUGGUUAUCAAGUCUUUCAAAACUUGGAUAUCUUGAUUUGAGAGGUGCAAACCUAUCCCAAUCAUUUCAAUUGCUUCAUACCCUCCAACUUCUUUCUUCUUUGAAGCACUUACAUUUGUCAGGAUGUACACUCUCUUCGUAUAAUCAACCAUCCUUUGUUAACUUUUCGUCUCUCAUCACUCUUGAUCUUUCCUAUAUUUCUUAUCAUUCUACAAUUUCUUUUAUUCCAAAGUGGGUAUUUGGACUCAAAAAACUUGUUUCUCUUUUCUUAGAUAAUAACUACUUUGAAGGUCCAAUUCCCGAUGGUAUUCGAAACCUCACACUUCUUGAAAAUCUUGAUUUGCGUGGAAAUUCAUUAUCAUCUUCUAUACCUCAUUGGCUUUUUGGUGUUCUUUCUCAUCUCAAGUUCUUGGACCUAUCAAGUAACAACUUACAAGGAGUUAUUCCUGAUGCCUUAGGGAGCUUGACUUCUCUAAUUGCACUUUAUAUGGAAGAAAAUCAACUCAAAGGUCCAAUCCCAACUUCUUUAGGAAAGGUGACCUCUCUAGUUACACUUGAUUUAUCAUACAAUCAACUUUCAGGCAAUCUAACACUAGAUUAUUAUGGCAACAACGUUGGUGGUGAACAUCCAAAAUUACAUGGAAAAAUUUCAUCACUGAGAGUUCUUAGGUUGUCCUCAAAUCAACUUGGUGGAAAUCCAUUUAAAAGUCUUGGAUCACUCUCUAAGUUGUUAUACCUUGACAUUGAUGACAAUAAUUUUCAAGGAGUUGUCAAUGAAAGUCAUCUUGAAAAUCUUAUAUGCUUGAGAUCGUUUCAUGCAUCAGGAAACAAAUUGACUUUAAAAGUAGAUCGUAAUUGGCAUCCUACUUUCCAACUUACCAAUCUUGAUAUGAGCUCUUGGCAAUUAGGUCCUAAUUUUCCAUCAUGGACUCACUCACAAAAUGAACUUCUAUAUUUGAAGAUGUCUAAUACAGGGAUUCUAGAUUAUAUUCCACCUUAUUUCUGGGAGGCUUGUUAUUCUCUUGAAUAUUUAAACUUCUCUAAUAACUAUAUUCAUGGUAAGAUUGAAAAUUCAUUGUCAAAUCCAAUAUUAUUUGAGAUUGUUGAUCUAAGCUCAAAUCACUUGCAUGGAAAGUUACCGAUUUUUUCUAGUCAGGUUGGAUGGCUAGAUCUCUCAGAUAAUUCAUUUUCUUCCAUGAAUGAUUUCUUAUGUCGCAAGAAAAUUAAGAAAUUUAAUUUGUAUUAUCUCAAUCUUGCUUUGAAUAACUUAUCGGGAAAAAUUCCUGAUUGUUGGAUAAAGUGGCCAUAUUUGUUAAAUGUAAAUCUACAGAGCAACCUUUUUGUUGGGAACAUGCCCUUAUCCAUGGGCUCUUUAGUUUGGUUACAGUCUUUGAACAUCCGUAACAACUCAUUAUCAGGAAUAUUUCCUAUUGCUUUGAAGAAGAACAACAAAUUGAUAUCCUUGGACAUUGGAGAAAAUAAUCUUUCGGGAACUAUUCCAACAUGGAUUGGAGAAAAGUUGCCAGAAAUAAAAAUUCUUCGCCUUCGAUCAAACAAUUUUUCAGGUCAUAUUCCAAAUGGCAUAUGUGAUAUGAUAUUUCUUCAGGAUUUUGACCUUGCACAAAAUAGUUUCUCUGGAAAUAUUCCAAAAUGUUUAAACAACUUUAGUGCCAUGUUCCAAAAAAACAAAAGUACAGAUUUAACUAUCAAUACCAAUGACGAGAGAGUGGACGGGAGACUGGAGGAAAUCAGCAUUAUCCUAUGGACAAAAGGAAGGCCUUUAUUGUAUAAUAGUAUUCUUGGCUUGGUGACAAAUGUUGAUCUUUCUAACAAUAACUUAUCAGGAGAGAUACCUAGAGAAAUUACAUAUCUAGAUGGUUUGAUAUAUUUGAAUUUAUCUGGGAAUCAAUUGUCUGGCCAAAUUCCACCAAGUAUUGGCAAUAUGAGAUUAUUAGAAUCUAUUGAUCUAUCAUGGAAUCAAUUAUCAGGAAAAAUCCCUCCAACCGUAUCAAACUUGAGCUUUCUGAACAACCUAGAUUUGUCUCAUAACCAUUUAGAGGGAAAAAUUCCAACGGGCACUCAAAUUCAAAGCUUUGAAGCAUCAGACUUCGUUGGAAAUAAUUUGUGUGGUCCACCCCUAUCCAUCAAUUGCACUUCCAACCAGCAAAUUCCAUAUGUUGACCGCUCGAAAAGAGAAAAUGGUGGGCAUGGAGUGAAUUGGUUCUUCGUGAGCUUCACAGUUGGAUUUAUUGUGGGAUUUUGGAUAAUCAUUGCUCCUUUGUUAAUAUAUAGAUCAUGGAGAUAUGCAUAUUUUUGCUUCCUUGAUAACAUGUGGUAUAAAGUACAAUCAUAUUGGUGAUUGUUGAUUGUAAUGUAGGACUAUUGUUUUACUUGACGUUCAUCUAUCUCUUUGUAUGAAUAUGUGGUCUACAUUUAUGUUUGUGUUAACACAUGUUUUAGUAUUUUCUUCAUCUUAAAAUACCAACAAGAUUAUGUUUUUCGUGAUUCUUAUUUACAUUACUAGUGUUUCGUGUUUCAGUGUUAUUUUGAUAAUCUAAUUGAUCUUGUCCUCUUCUCUCUCUUUCCUCGUACCAUUAAAGGUUAAAUGUAUUUUCUUCUAAUAGUUUGACUAGAAUAAAAUGCAAUACAUACACUUUGUGUCUGCUGUUGUUUUUGGGAUGCACAUAUCAACACUCACAUGAAAGUUUUAUUAAACAUUGUUGUUAGUUGUGUGGGCCUCAACUUGCUCUUGUAGGCUGUAUCAAUUCUCAAAUAGAGGUGCGCUUGGUGUUUGGCUGUCAACGAAAUUGACUCAUCGUGCUACGGCGCCAAGGGUGGAGUUCCAGUGGUUUUUAAUGGCGUUGUCUGUGCGGCCAGGGAGGAAGCGCGAGAUGGUGGCCCACUUGUUCCCGUGAAUAGUGUGCGCCUUGAUGUCCUCCGUCGAAGUGAAGGGGCGGUGCUGCACCUCUAGGCUCAGCUCGUUGCACCUCAGGGGAGGAAGGGGGUUAGGAAUGAAAAAUGUAGUAGUCUUCUAUAGGAGAAUAGGUUUAUAGAAGAAGAAAUAGGUUUUUGUUGGUAAAUUGGGGGAAAAAAAGAAGUUAAAUGUAAAAGCAAAAUUGUGUCUGGAAAAUAAUAGCAGAAGGGUUUUAUUUAUUUAUUUGUUGUCUUGGCUUGGUCAUAGUUGUAGAGGGUUGAUAAUAAUGUUAGGAGCCUAUGGAAAAAGCUAGCAAUGUAGCAGCAGUGCUAAAGGUUUCAGUGAUAUCAGUUACUUUUGUUCUUUUCUGAUGGGCUUCGAAAGUCGCGAGGCAAAGACAAAAUCGGUGGAUGCGUCAAAUGGAGAGAGAAGUGAGCCUUCUCACCAAUAUCCAGAAUCCCCUUUCUCAUCAUUGCCACAAACUCUUAGUAAUUUGAUUUGGUUCUUUUGUUUAAUAUUUUUUUUCUCCAUGAUAUUUGGUUUUGCAGAGGAAGAUGAAAGCGUGAUUUAGGGUUUACAAUUUUGUGGUUUUUUCCUACAUGAUAUUAUGGUGAUUAUUACGGAAGAGAUGUCACGUUCAUUGAUGGUGGUACGUUGAUUGUUGGUGGUUUGCGUUUUGUGUCGGGAGUUUGUGUGAUUUGACUUCUUCUAAAAGUUUUCACCGUCUUGGUUUACAAAUAGAUGUUGAUCAUGGCUAGUGAUGGCGGAUGAGAUUAAUGGAGGAUAAGAUGUUCUGUGGGUGACGAGGAACCUUGCUUCCAUAAUCUUUCUAUUUUUUUUUUUACUUUUUCUAAAUUUUAUGUCAUAAUUUAAUUAUUUCCACAUAAUAAAAUAUCCACCUCAACAUAUUCACUUAAUGGACAGGGCUUAAUUAGCUCAAUUUUUUAAAAAUUGGGUGUUGCUCCCUCCACCCUUCCAGGUGCUUCUGCAUCUCCCUGUUAUUUUCAUUUAUUUCAAAAAUAUUCUAUACCUUUCCAUUAUUUUCUUUUAUUUCAAAAAUACAUUACACUUCCCCUAUUCUCAACAAUUCUUCUUUUUCUCUCUGUAUUAAUGGAGCAUUUACAUAACUCAUUAAUGAAACAUUUACCUGGCUUAGAUUUGAAUUUGUGAUAUUUUUCCUUAAAUAAGUUUGAUUCAAUGUUAUUUUCGUUGUUCAAUAUAUUUUUUUUCUUCAAAUUACUUAAUAAAUGGUUAAAUGGUAAAAUUUUGUUCUAAAUUUCUAGAAAAAUGUUUAUAUAUAUAUAUAUAUAUAUAUAUAUAUAUAUAUAUAUAUAUAUAUAUGUGUGUGUGUGUGUGUGUGUUUUUUACAUUUAAUAUAUAUAAUUUUUAACAUUAUAUUAUGUUUUAACUUAUCGACAUGUUUGACUUAAAUAACUUGAAUAAAGUAUUUAAUUUAUUAGAUAAAUAAUAUGAGACAAUCCGAGAAUUUUAACCUAAGAUUAUAUACCCUUAUAUAAGUACAAAGAGUUUUAUAUAGUAAAUUUAAGUUUAAAUAAUUUAAACACGGUUAAAUAUCUUUGACAAAAAUAAUUCUUAGUUAAAUUUUCUUAUAUCAGACAUAUCAAUAAUAAUAAUAAUAAUAAUAAUAAUAAUAAUAAUAAUAAUAAUAAAAUAAAUCCACUUUAUAUAUAUAUAUAUAUAUAUAUAUAUAUAUAUAUAUAUAUAAUUAAAAUAAUAUAACAUUUGUAAAACCUCAGAAAAUAGUAUUUUUAGAAGUAGUAGUCUAAAAAUAGUGAGACUUGAUUAUUUUAAUAUUAACCGGUUUUAUUAUAAAUAGUUUUGUUAUAAACGAGUUCUGUUAUUUUAAAACGUAUCAUCUCACUAGAAACCACUUUUCUAGAGUUCUCUACCUUCUAUCUAAGAGUUCUAACUCCUGAGUCAUCUAUUUGACGAUGAGGAGGUACCUAAUCGACCACAACAACGAGGUCUAUGUUUCUACCCGUCAGUUUCUUGAAUAAAGCAAAUAAGUUUCUACUCGUUUUUCUGUCCUCUUUACUUCGGUCAAUGAUCAUGCACAAAAAUGUUAUGCAUGUAUCAUUUAGUUCUCUUUUCUUGCUCUUGGUGAAUUUAGAGUUCUAAGAACUCUGUCCAUUUCAAUUUUGGUGCCUUAUAGGUCCGCUUAGGAAUUUCUUGUGUUUCAAGCGACCAGCAAGACGCUUUUAUGGGUUGAGAUGUUAUUUUGAGGUAAGGGAAGCUAGACCAUAUUUAGUUGUGUUGGUAUUAUAAAUUUAGUAUUUCUAUGAGUUAUAGAUGAUUUUGAGAAAUAUGUAUGUUAAUUUGUGAUCUUGAUAGUAGAUUAGGUGUAUAAUGUGUAUGUUAAUUUGUGAUCUUGAUAGUAUGAUGUGUGUAUGAUUGGAAUGGUGUGAAACUGAUGUUCUAUGCUGUUAAGAUUGUGUGUGGUAAUUUUGGUUUGAUGUUUCAAAAUUAAACACAAGUGGUUGGGGUGAGAGUUAGUCAAAUUUUUCAGUUUUAAGGCUAAAAAGGGGGGGUUUUCAUAUGUGAGUUUGAGAAUUUGGGGCUAAUGUGAGAAAACUAUUUUUGAGGUGUUGUCAUGAGGUAAAUUAAGACUUGUUGGAGGUAUAAGAUGAUUGAAAUCUGAUCUGUAAUGAAAAGGUAGUGUAUAGUUGAAGUUUAGAAUGUUUUUAGUGUAAAAAUGGGGUGGGACUUGGAUAGAGGUUCAAACCAGUGAAAAUCUGUCAUGAAGGUGAAAGUUGCAUCUUAGGUUGGUUUUCAGUCCGUUUUGAGGGUUGAGUUGUUGAGUUGGUUUGGUACAUCUAAUUCAUAUUCAAAUGACCAAUGCAAUACUCUAACUAGUGUAGAAAGGGGAAACGACAAUGGUUAUUUUCGCCUAUAGGCAGCGGUUCCUGAACCGAGGCAUAUAAAAGCGAGGCAAAAAGUCUACCUUUUACGCCUCGGUUCUGAACCGAGGCAUAAAAGGGUAGCAUUUUGCCUCGGUUCAAAGGUAACCGAAGCCGUAAAAUUUUUGUUUCUUUUUUAUUUUUCUUCGACCGAUUUUAGACCUUGGUUCCUUCUGAACCGAGGCAGUAUCACAGACUCUACUACCUCGGUUGGGACCUGAACUGAGGCAGUAUAGUAUUUUUUAUUUUUAUUUUAUUUUUCUCGUAUAUUUUCAAACCACUUUUGUAAUCCACAUAUGUCAUUCCAAAUCGAACAGUAUAACCCAUGGACCAUUCAAAAUUGUCAAAUAAAGACCAAGCAUAAUAUCCCUUUACAUUUGCACCUUCCCUGUUGUCGCAACCGGAAUCGCGACGGGACGACGAUCCAAAAAGAAAAACGAGAUUAUGAAAAAGAUUUUUGGAGUCGCCAUCAUAGUUUAUUCUGAAAAACUACAGAAAAACCAUAAAAUGAUAAGGCACGGUCCACGAAAACCAAAGAUUAGGUUCGGGAAUCGGUUACGUUUAGAGAAGGUAUUAGCACCCUACAACGUCUGCCCGGAGGCAGUACCUUUAAUUAAAAACACAAAAUUAAUGUGAUUUUUCAAAAUGUUUCAUUAUCCCUGAAAAUAAAAUUCUAAAUAAACAAAAAUAUUUUUUUUAUUUUUUGUGCCCGACAAGGAUUGACCUUGCUCCUACGUAUUCUCAAAAUGAGAAAUCAGGGUUACGUAGUUCUAGCAUAAAGAUUGAUUGUUGUUUGGAAAAAGGAUGUUUUGUAUUUUUCGUAUUUUUUUGUAAGGAAGAAGAAAAGGUUUUCUAGCACAAGGACGAUGCGAGCGAUCACACAUGUCCUUAAACCUUUCAAAUAUUUUUGAUUAUUUUUAUGAAAAGGAAGAAAAGGUUUUAUAGCACAAGGAUUAUGCGUGCGGUCACACAUGUGCUUAAACCCUUAAAAUAUUUUGAUUAUUUUUAUAAAAAGGAAGAAAAGGGUUUUCUAGCACAAGGACGAUGCGUGCGAUCACACNNNNNNNNNNNNNNNNNNNNNNNNNNNNNNNNNNNNNNNNNNNNNNNNNNNNNNNNNNNNNNNNNNNNNNNNNNNNNNNNNNNNNNNNNNNNNNNNNNNNNNNNNNNNNNNNNNNNNNNNNNNNNNNNNNNNNNNNNNNNNNNNNNNNNNNNNNNNNNNNNUACUUCCGACAAAAUAAUAGUUACUCAAAUAUUUAGAAUAAAACAAAAGUUUGAAAUAAACAAAAUAACGCAUAUUGGCAUAAUAAUGGUAAACAAGCUAUAUAGAUAAAACGUACGUGUGGGAAAAAAUGGGUUGAUAUUGUCGCAACCGAGAUCGCGACGGGAAGACGAUCCGAAAAGAAACGAGUUUCAAAAAAGAGUUUUGGAGUCGCCACCAUAGUUUAUUCUGGAAAACUACGGAAAAACCAUAAAAUGACAAGACACGGUCCACGAAAACCAAAGAUUGGGUUCGAGAGUCGGUUACGUGUAGGGAAGGUAUUAGCACCCUACAACGCCUGCCCGAAGGCAGUACCUUUAAUUAAACGUGCGAAUGUGAUGUGGUUUUCAAAAUGUUUAACUAUCCCCAAGAACAAAAAUUUAAAGAAACAAAAAAUAUUUUUUUAGUUUUUUGUGCCCGACAAGGAUUGACCUUGCUCCUACGUAUUCUCAAAAAUGAGAAAUCAGGGUUACGUAGUUCUAGGAACUGUUUGAAAAUUUUGUCUGAGAAAUUGUUAAGAAAAUUUUUUUGGAAAAUAUUUGAAUUUUUGCGAAGUGAACCUGACAAGGACUGACCUUGCUCCUACGUAUCUCCACUUUUGAUGGAGAAUCAAGGAUCACGUAGUUCUGGGAGAAAGAUUGUUUGUUGUUUGAAAGAGGACGUUUUGUUUUUGGUAUUUUCAUGUGAGAAAGAGUAAAGGUUUUUUAGCACAAGGACGAUGCGAGCGAUCACACAUGUGCUUAAACCUCUAAGACAUUUUUUUUGAUAUAUUUUUUAUAAAAGAAGAAAAGCACACGUGCUUAAACCUUUAAAACAUUUUUUGAUAUUUUUUAUAAAAGAAGAAAAGGUUUUAGCACGAGGACGAUGCGAGCGAUCACACACGUGCUUAAACCUUUAAAGCAUUUUUUGGUAUUUUUUAUAAAAGAAGAAAAGGUCUUAGCACGAGGACGAUGCGAGUGAUCACACANUUUAUAAAAGAAGAAAAGGUCUUAGCACGAGGACGAUGCGAGUGAUCACACACGUGCUUAAACCUUUAAAGCAUUUUUUGAUAUUUUUUAUAAAAAAAGAAAAGGUCUUAGCACGAGGACGAUGCGUGCUAUCACACACGUGCCUAAACUUUUAAAAUAUAGUUUUUGUUUUUGUGGUUUUUAAUAUUUAUAUAUAAGUAGAUAAAAUAAAAUAAAUAGGUAAAUAACAAAAUGAAAAUAAAAAGUAGAAAUAAAAUAAACUAAAAAGUUAAGUGACAAAAAAAAACAAGAUAAUAAGUGAAAAAUGUGUGGUGGCACCUAGACAAGAAGAGGGGUGUUCAAACCAAUUUAUAAGCAGUCUGGGCUUCAGCCCAAGUGGAAAUGGGGUGAAAAUGUGAACAAAGUGGGUGCAUCAAAGUUUUUUUUUGAAUGAAUGAGCUUGAGCCCAAACAGAUGGGGUGCGAGAGUGAGAAAUAAGGGGUGCGCGUAGGAGGAAAAGUUUUGUUUUUGUCUCUUUUUUUUUGUAAAAGGAAAGGGCUGGUCACAACUUAGGCCCAAGGCUUCUGCACUCUCCAACCCAGAAACUUAGGGCGUUACUCCCUGCACCUCUACAAAUGCUCCUUCUACCUUCCCAUCUCUUUUUUACCCUUUAAUAUAUUUAAACGAAUGUAAAUUAAACGAAUCUGAAUAUACAUUCCGCAGCCCUUGACGGACGUUAAAAUCCAUUUAAGAAAAUCGUUUUUGUUUAAAAAAAUUCUUGUUCAGAAGAAGUGAUCCUUUCCUGCUAUGUUUUCUUGCUUUUUAUUUUUCCAACCUAAUCUAAAGCAUUCAUGAGUGGAUUUGACUAAUCAGCACAGACAUUUGUUACCAUCCACUUUAUAUAUGUCCACCCAGGGGAAUUCAAAAAUCCAUUCAUUUUUCUUUUUAAUUUUUCAAAUAUCUUUAAAUGACACUUAAUACCAACUAAUUAAUUCCACCAAAAAACUGAAUUACAGGACCCCUAAAUGCUUCUUCUUCAUGUCUCGUUCUUCCUUCCAAAACCAGAUAAUAUAUAUAUAGAGAGAGAGAGAGAGCAUCAUCACCACCUAUAGGGUGACUUAUAUAAGCUCAUAUAAUUACGUCUACUUCUGCAAUUUACUACAACUACCUGGUUUAACUUUUGUGAUGAAAGGUAGCACUUUUCGGAGACCCACAGAGGCUUGUGAGCGUUGUGUGGGUGAAAGCCUUGCAAGCAUACGAAGAAGGUGACCACCGCUUCCGAGUCAGACUCAGAGGUUUUAUGAGCUUUCAGGUGGUGGAUGGAAUGAGCUGAGUGGUCUUUCUCUUCACUCACCAGUUUGAACAUAAGUGGAUGCAGAAACGAAGUACCACCAACAAAUGAUCACCGCACAUACCGCCGCACCACCGUUGAAUGACCACCGCGCACACUCCUAUACCACCGCACCAUGGAUAAUGACAACACGCCACUAACCAAAACCAAAAUAGAGAAGAGGAAACAAAUAUGGAGGAGAGAAAGUGAGAGUUGGAGUGAGAAACAUAUAUGAAAAAGUGAGAGGGGGUGCAGCUACAUGAGAUUUAGGAUUUUAAAAAAUAAAAAAAAAAUAUGAUUAAAGUAAAAAUGGGUACUUUUGUAAUUAAAAAAAUUUGGAAAAAUUUGAGGAAGUUGAGGGAGCAUUGGUGGAGGUGGUGGGAGCAACACCCAGAAACUUAUCAGGGUUCUCCCCAAUCUCCCUCAUUCUUCCAUUUCAUCCAACACCCAGGAGAUUCAAACCUCUGAACGAAGAAAUCCUGGAGGCAUUCACCUCCGUCGCUCAUGCACUCGUCGCUGCCUCCGUUCAAACGAUCGGCCACCAUGAUGGGCCCCUGCUCCGUCCAAGGCGUCACCGGCGACCAAACGCCACUAGAGCUGCCACCAGCCGGGACGUGAAAUCCCUCCUCUCUUUCCCUCGCGCGAGAAAGGGAAGCACCGCGCUCCUUCCGUUCGACCGGCCACCGCGAGUCGCCGUCCAAGCCGCCACCAACUCCACCGUUCAACGUCGACGCCGUCUUCGCCGAAGAUGCUUCCUCACUGGCGCCGGGAGUAAGCUAGAGAAUCCCACCGUGAAGACGCGCGCCACUAAUCUUCUCCCCUCUUAUUUUUCUAUCGUUAGCGCGCAGGGUAACCCUUUCCCUACCGUGGUCGCAGCUGCCAAAGAGACGGAAACCACCGCCACUGAAUCCGCUGUCUAUUGAUCCCGGAGGUUUGUCGAGACAACGCUUAGGAGUUUAGGAUUUCUAUUCUGGUGGUGUGAUUUGUUUGUGAUUUUCGUUCUGUGCAUCACUGUUCAAGGGGUUUAACUCCUUUGUUGGAGGCUUGAGAUGAACAGAGGUAAUAUUUGGUUUGUGAUUGCUGUGACUGAUUGGGGGGGUGAACAAGGGGUUGAUGACCGAGAAAUGGUUCAUUUUUCUGCUUCAGGUGUUGGCCAUGCUUUUCUGCGUGUGGGGUAAUCAAGACAAAGAUGGAUGAGGCAAGCCAUUCUGGAGAACAGUUUUCAAUAAAAAGGCACGGGAUUUCCGAUUUGGUCUGCGUGUUUGUUUGAUAUAGGUGAAAGGCGAACUCAAGGUUCAGGGUAGUGAUACAAGUAGAGGGGCAUUGAAACCUUGAUGUUGUGGAGAGUAUACCUAGUCUCUAUUGUUGUCUCAUGGAAAUUACAAGCAAUGAAACUACAUUUCGGUUACGUGUAGGGAAGGUGUUAGCACCCUACAACGCCUGUCCCAAGGCAAUAUUUUUAAUUAAAUGCGUGAAUAAAGAUGUGGUUUGCAAAAUACUUAACUAUCCCUAAAAAUAAAAUUUUAAAGAAACAAAAUAUAUUUUUUAUUUUUUGUGCCCGACAAGGACUGGCCUUACUCCUACGUAUUCUCAAAAUGAGAAAUCAGGGUUACGUAGUUCUAGUAUAAAGAUUGAUUGUUGUUUGGAAAAGGAUGUUUUGUAUUUUUGGUAUUUUUCUGUAAGGAAGAAGAGAAGGUUUUCUAGCACAAGGACGAUGCGAGCGAUCACAGAUGUGCUUAAACCUUUCAAAUAUUUUUGAUUAUUUUUAUGAAAAGGAAGAAAAGGUUUUAUAGCACAAGGACGAUGCGUGCGAUCACACAUGUGCUUAAACCCUUAAAAUAUUUUGAUUAUUUUUAUAAAAAGGAAGAAAAGGGUUUUCUAGCACNNNNNNNNNNNNNNNNNNNNNNNNNNNNNNNNNNNNNNNNNNNNNNNNNNNNNNNNNNNNNNNNNNNNNNNNNNNNNNNNNNNNNNNNNNNNNNNNNNNNNNNNNNNNNNNNNNNNNNNNNNNNNNNNNNNNNNNNNNNNNNNNNNNNNNNNNNNNNNNNNNNNNNNNNNNNNNNNNNNNNNNNNNNNNNNNNNNNNNNNNNNNNNNNNNAUUAAAUAAAAGAAGAAUUUUAAACACUACGAAAUCUACUUCCGACAAAAUAAUAGUUACUCAAAUAUUUAGAAUAAAACAAAAGUUUGAAAUAAUAUUGACAUAAUAAUGGUAAACAAGCUAUAUAGAUAAAACGUACGUGUGGGAAAAAAAUGAGUUGAUAUAUUAUGAUUGCAUAAAAAAAAGGAAUGAAUAUAAAGAAACCAAACAUGCAUAGAUUACAAUUGGUGAAGAAAAGUUUGAGACCAAAACCAGGAGAGAAAAAAAAGAAAAAAUGAUGAUAAAAUGUAAUAAAAACAAAGAUAAAAAUAAAAAAUAGAAAUGAAAUAAAUAAGCAAAUAAAAGAAAGAAGUAAGAGAAUCAAGCAGAAAAGGAAAAACCGACGCAACAAAAUAGAAAGAAAGGGGAAAAAGGGGUUGGGUUCAAAGUUUCUUACCAACCAGAAAGCUCUCUUUCUAUUUUUUCCUGUUCCUUUAUGUUCUCUUCCCGAAAUUGGAUUUUUUUCUCCCCCUUCCAUUACUCUUCGAUGUGCAUUUUUAUAUACACACAUUGUAAUAUUCAUUAAUUGACAUUUAACAAAAUAGGGAAAGAAAUGGUCUAAUAAAUCAAAUUAUAAUCGGAAAAUUGUCCAUUAAAGGGAAAUCAUAUUUUUCUUGGAACUGAAUGCAGCAAUCAAUAUAUUAUUUUUUAAUUAUUGCUUGUAAUUAUUGUCAUAAUGCUGAUUCAAAUUAUUACCAAAUAAAACAAAAAUUUCAAAAAUAUUCUAAAGUGAUCUGUCAUGCAUUAAUAUUAAUAGCUUAUGGGCAUUUUUCCAAGAAAAUCAAAUCUUUUUCUUUUCAUUUUUUCAUGUGCACCCCCCUUUCUUCUUUUUUCCUUCCUUCUUUUUUCUUUUUGUUUUUUUCUUUUUUUCAUUUUUUCAAUUUUUUUUCUUUUCUCUUAUUUUCCCUUGCAAUUAUUUUUCUUUUCUUUUUUUCCUUUUUUUUUCUUUUUUUUAAAAGACUAAACAAAAUGGUAAAAUAAAAUAAAAAUAAGAGAAAAGUAAAAAAGACAAGUUCUAUUAUUUAGCCAUCCAGACGAAAUUGAGUGUUGACACUUGUAACAACAUACGAAGCAAACAAAUUAAAAAGAAAUUAACUUGGAUAACCAAAAAUACCUUACAAUGUAAAAUACUACUUACUUAAUUGCAGAACGAAGAUAGAAAAGAUGACGAUAAUAGUAAAGUGCAUAAUUAUAAUAUGAAAAAGUUAACUAGUUUCAUACUUCAUUAAAGGGAUUAAACUAAAGUAAAUUUCCAACAUAGUUAGAGUAUAUGUACACAUACCUUUAUACCUAUGGGCUUCCCAUUACGCUCAACUGCAAUUAUAUAUUAACACAUAAGACAAGUUGUUACGUAUCUGAGUAGGAGGCGUAACUGACCACGAAUGAUAAUGUUAAUUCUUACCAUUAUCUAAGCAUCAUUUUAGUAGCAAAAUCAACUCUUUUAUAGCUUGAAACUUGCUUAAAUCCUCUCUUUUAUCUAGUUUUAGUAUUUAUCUAUAUUUUGAGCUACAUUACGUAAAUGAUACUCUAAUCCCUUGUUUUUUUAUCUAUUUCGAUGUUAGGAAGAUCUUCCAUUACAUUGAAGAGCCUCGAUGAUCCAGGAAGCCAUUGAUUUAAAAGUCAUUUUCGCUUAAGCAAGAAUAUUUUAGCUUAAGCGAGAAUGACUAUCUUCUCCAAGAAGUUUAUUUUCGCUUAAGCGAGAAUUCGGACAGUAUAUAUACUCACGAGGUAGAAAGAAAAAGGGGUCUUUGGUUCUUUGGAGGUGCGAUUUCACUGCUGGAGCUCAUGGAGGGCAUGAGGAGCAUAUAGGAACAUCUCCUCCUCUUCCUUUGGGUCUCCUUCUUCUUCCAUCUUCCACUUUGUAAGCUUUAGGGUUCUCCAUGGAAGUGGAGAACCAGAUUCAUCUUGUUAGGGUUAGAUGUAGCCAAUGAAUUCUUGUGUAAUUGUUGAAUGAUUUGAAUAUAUAUAUAUAUAUAUAUAUAUAUAUAUAUAUAUAUAUAUAUAUAUGUUUUUUCUAUCAAUUGCUAGUAUUAUUGUUUCCAAUCUUAAAGCUUGCAUGUAAUGGGGACGUUCAUGACUUGAUUUUGGGGUUUCAUGGAUUAUGGGGACGUAAGAUGGAAUCUUGAACUGAAGCAAGGGUCCUUGUGGUCAUUGAUUAUAGGGAUGGAAGAUGAUUCACAUGUUGUCUUAGAUUCUAGUUUUUAAUGUUGGUUUUGCUUGUUAGAUUUUCCAAGGGAUUGGAGUUUGAUAGGAAAACCUAGGCUCUCUCAUAAGAUAAACCCAAGUACAUCUUGAAUAUUCAUCAAUGAAGGUAAAAAAAUACCUAAAACCAAAAGAGGAGAUACAACUAGGUCCCCAUAUAUCAGAAUGGAUAAUGGAAAAACUAGAAUUACAUAUUGAUUGAGACUUUUUAGGAAAGGAAGAUCUAACAUGUUUUCCUAGUUGACAUGACUCACAUUCUAAAGUCUGGAGACCACUAAGUUCAGGACACGUCUUCUUUAAUUUGGACAAAUGAGGAUGACCAAGUCGAUCAUGUAGCACCUUAGGAUUAGGAGCAGCAACACAAGACACCCUUGGACGAGAUCCAAAAUGGUAUAAUCCACCAGCUUCAUAUCCUUCUCCAAUAUGUCUCCCCGACCCACGCUCCUGUAUAACAAAAGAUUUGUGAUCAAAGGUUAUUGAACAAUUUAACAUUUUAGUCAACUGGCUUAGGGAAAUUAAAUUAAAAGGACAAUUAGGGACAAAAAGGACAGAGUUGAGAUUUAGGGAGGGAGACAAGGAAACAUGACCAACUCCCUUGGAGGAAGUUUUAGAACCAUUUGCAAGGGUUAUGAAAUGAGGUUUUUCUCGAAAGGAAAUAGAUGAGAACAAAGAAGUAUUACCAGAAAUGUGAUCAGAAGCACCUGAGUCAAUUACCCAUGAAUUUUGACCUUCCAUGGAUUGAGAAACGUAGGCUGUUGAUGUACUUGGAGAUUGAGAUGGUUGUGACAAGUUGUUAGACUUUAACCUUAGAUGCUCUUGAUAUUCAUCCUCAGUGAACUUAGUAGUGGAAAUUUCACUCUUCGAAUUCAAAGUGGAAGUUUCAGUCUUUGAAAUAUUGGCAGUUUUGGAAGGGAAACCAUGUAAGGAAUAGCAAUUCUCUUGAGUGUGACCCAUCUUUUUGCAAUAUGUGCAUUGACGUCCCCGACCUCCUCAUCCUCCUCCUCUAGUGCCACGUCCUCCUCUUCCUCGUGUGACAACCAUGACAGAUGGCUCCACUGCUUCCUGAGUUUGAGAUACCGGGACACGCAAAAGGCGAGUGGUCAAUGUUUCCAUGGAUGGGACCUCAUGACUGGUUAGAAGUUGAUCUCUAAGAUGAUCAUAAUCGGGAUGCAGGGCAUGAAGAAUCAACACCAUGUAAAAUUUGUCUAGUGUCUUCUUGAUAUCCUCUAAUGGAUCCGCUUCCAAAAACAUCCUGAGUUCUUCGACAGCAGAUUAGGCUUUAGCCAUGAAAGACACCAUAUCAUGGUUUGUCAUUUUAAGAGUUGCAAGCUUGUUUGUGGUGUCAUAGAGACGUUGAAUAUCUUUGGCAUAUAUGCUUUGAGCUUUCUUCCAAAAGGAGUGACAAGUUUUGAAAGCCCUCAGAGAUAUAAGAAGUUUGGGUUCCAUUGAUUGCCAUAAUAGGGCACACAACUGGAAAUCUGCUUGUUUCCACUGAUCAGCUUUUUCGGUAGGCACAUGGCUUCCAUCUCGCUCAAGGUGAUCAUAAUGCCCUUGGCCAAGGAACCACAUUUCAACGGCAGAAGACCAUAAUAGAUAAUUUUUUCAAUUUAGCUUCUCAGAGGUGUUUGAUGGACUUCCGGAGAAAGAAAGAGUAUUGUUAGUCGUCAUCUUUGAAGAAGAUGAAGUGCACCAACGAAGAACAAGAAAACCCUAAGGGUUUAGAUGAAUGAAACUGUGAUGGUCGGCGACGGUGAAUGCCAACGACUUUGGACAGCCGACAACAGUGGCCGACGAUGGUGGCCGGUGACGGCGGACGGCCGGCGACGGCGGACGGCCGGCGACGGCGGAAGGCCGGAGACGGUGGCCGGCGACGGCGGACGACGGCGGCGGUGGCCGGAGACGAUGGCUGGAGGCGGCGGACAGUCGGCAACGGUGGCCGGAGACAGUGCCGACGACGGUGGCUGGUAGGUGGCAGCCAGCAGCGGACAGUGGCAGACAGUGGCGAGACAGAAACCAGAGCAGGAUCGACCCGCUCUGAUACCAAGUUGAAUAUAGUGAAAACUCCCUUAUGUUAAAUACACACAUAGGGUUCUCUAUUUAUAAUAGAAGAAGUAUAGGCUAAGCCCAAAAUACAAAGAAAUAUAAACAAACUAAAUAAAAAAUAACAACAAACUAACUAAUAAAGAUAAAAGAUAAAGAUAAUAUAUUUAACAAUUUUAAAAUUUUCAUGAACCUUUUAACCUUUAUUCUGCGUAAAACUUGAAGUAUAAAGCCUUUAUGGCAUUGGUUCUACAAACACAUGAAGCCAUAAGGCUGAUCAGAAAAAAAAAAUAAAAAAAUUGAAAUUUUGAAACUUUCAAAAUCUUUUAGCUUCGAUUCUUUGUAAAAGUGAAGCAAAAAGACUCUAUGACAUUGGUUUUGAAAAAACUGAAGUCAUAGGUCUUGUUCAGACAAGUAAUAAUUUAAAAUUGUCAAUUUUGAAAGAUGAUAUAGCCUAGUUCUAGAAAAAUUCGAUUUCAUAAGUUCUAUUUAAAACAAAAAUAUAAAAAAAAAUAUCAAUUUGAAAGAAGAUAUGACUUUGUUGGUAAAAAACCCAAGCAAAAUACUUUAGUUGGCCAAAUAACCAAAAUCAUAUAUCUUUUUUAAUUCAAUAAAUAAAUAAAAUAUAACACGAUUUUUUGAAUUCAGUUCUUUGUUAACUGAAACCAAAAGACAUACAUAGCUACAAUUUAUUGAAAACCAAUGCUUAUAAAUUCGUAAAAUUUACAAAAAUGUUAUUGUAUGCUAUGGUUUCGACAAAACCAAAAUGUAUUACGCGUGUUAGAAGGCUAAUUUUCUACUAGAGAAGAAUGUUAAUCUCUAUAGGUUGUUAGAAAUGAAAAAAAAGGCAAAAGUUCAUUUUUGUGUGGACAUAUAGAAAAAGAACUUUGAGUCUUUUCUAUGUUACUACAAGUAUGUUCUUCUCAUAUUUGAUUUGGAUUAUUUUAUCAAUUUAUGAUAAUGAUUAUGUUGAGAUUUACUCUUUUCAUUAUAAUGUAUAAUUUUAUUCGUAUACAAAAUAUAAAUUAAUCUGACGUAUCUAUAUUGUACCUACGAGAUUUUCUUUAUCACACGUAUAAUUUGAUGCUUUUAAACCUUUUCAAGAAGAUAAACCGGUAUACAUAACAUCAAUCUAAUGCAACGCUCUACAUAAUAUAUUUCUAGCAUAAACCUUUACACUAUAAACUCACAAGUUCUAUUUCAUUAUAAAUAAGUUUUAAAUCUCCCUAUAAAAAUACUAAUCCCUCAAUUAUUUUAGCACAAAAUUUACAUUAAAAAAAAUAUGUUUAAGAUAAACGAGAGAUUAUAAUUUACUUCUAGAAAUAAAAACCUUUAAGUUCAUUUAUUCUUGUCUAAGUUUCAAGCAUUUCCUAAUGUUUAAAUACCAUAAAAUAGGAUAAAUAAUCAAUCAUAGACAUGAAACAUAAAAAAGAAAAAAGACAAAAACACAAUAGUCAUGAAAGAAAAUUAUAUUACAUAAGAAAUAAUUAUAUUAAAUUUAAAUACAAUGUAUCCUACCCUAAUGAAUAGGAGAAUUAUAUACUCUUUGUCCUCACUCGCACACUUUCCGGGAAAACUUCCCGGAAGGUCACCCAUUCCAAAAUUUCUCCAGGCUAAGCACACUUAACCAUGGAGUUUUUAUGGAUUAGGCUUUCGAAAAGCAAAUGCAUUUUGGUGAUAUGGGUAGCCAAAUCAAUUCCUUUAAGAUAUCCUUCAACUGUUCAACUGUAUAGUCUCAUACCUAUACAGUAUCCAGAUCCCUCUCAUUCCGGUGUAUGUUCGAUUUGUCCAUGUGCCCCAUAGGCCCAAACGGAGGAACAUUACAAGGCGGACUAUGGUUGUAGUGUUGUGGCUCAUGAUACUCAUGCAACUACCACGAAAACUCUUGUGUAAACUAAAAGGUGAACAUCACAAAAUCUGAAAUCGACAUAAGUUAUGAAAGUGUCAAGAAUCAAAACGUUUCAAAUUUUAGUGCUAGUGAAAAUUUUCAAGUGCAUAUUAGAACAGUUUUAAUUAAAAGCUUCAAUUUUGAUUGUUUUAUUUUAUUUUAACUCUGCUAAUGAAAUAUAUUUAUUUGAUUUAAUAUCUUAAAAGUUAUAUUAAUAUAUGAUAUGAAAUACAGUCACCUAAAUAUAUAAAGAGUAUAAAGAGUUUUAUUGUAAAAUUUAUUUAAAUGGUUGUGUUUAUCUUUAGAUGUUAGUUAUUUAUUUUUAUUUGUAUGCAUUGCUCUAUUUAUUUAUAUUUAUUUUUAGUUAUGCAGUUUUUGUUUACUCAUUUCAUAUAUUUUCCCUUAUGUAUUCAUUUGUGUAAUUUAUUUAUACUUAUUAGUUUUAAUAUUUUUUUUGUUCUUAAUUUUUAAUAAAUAAAUAUUUCAUUAUUUUUAAUUAAAAAUGAAAAAGAUUUAAUUGAGUAAAUAUUAUUUAAGAUGAGAUAUUAUUGAGUUAUUUUGUUAACUAUGUCAAAACUUAUUUAUCUUAACUAGUCAUUAUAAAACUAAUAUAUUUUUUUAUAAAGUAUACUAAAAUAGGGUUUAUGUAUUUAAUUUUUUUUAUCUUAUUUUGAUAAAUUGUGAUUUUAUAUGAUAUUUUUCCCUUCUCUAUUUUAUGAUUUAGGUAUGAAAAACAAAAUAGACGUUAUAUAAUGUAAAUUGUUAAUAAAUUUUAUCUUUUAAGUAUGUUAUGAAGAAUUUUAUUUUUAAGUUUAAGAUAUGAAAUGAUAUCUUUUGGGGAAGAAAAAAAAGAGUUUCUGACAUAGGUUUUAAUUAGUGGUGUCAAAAUAGAUCAAAACUCACAUGUCAAUUCGACCCGUCACGGGUUCCGAUUGAGUUGAUUUGAAAAAAAAAAGAAUUUUUUUUUAUAUAGACAAAUUUUCAAUUUGGUUUACACAGAACCCAACUCACAAUGUCUAGUUCAUCCGGAUUGAACCGUAGUAAGUCGGGUUGCCUUGUUUAAUUUAAUUAUUUUUAUUUUGUAUUUCAAUAUUAUUAGUUAACAUUUUUUUGAAUAUAUUAAAAAUGGAAAUAAAGAAAAGGAUGUUUCAAAAGAGUAAAAUAUUAUAAAUUUAUCUAUUCAAGACUCUGAUCUUGUGAAGGGAUAAGUGACACAAAAAUUAUCAAUAUUAUAAACUUAUUUAUUCGUUUUUUGGGUUUGUUUUUGGAUUAAAUUUGAGUUGUAUAUUAAUUUUUUAUUUUGAAUUGUUUUUGGAGUUUAACAUCAUUUUAUAGUGAAAUUUUUUAAAUUUAAAUUACAAAAGAAUUGUAAUUCUUUUGAAUUUAAAAAAAAAAAUUGUAAUUAAGUGAAUCAGUGAACCAACCCAUUUAACCUACAAAUCCGUUGUGAGUCGAGCCAGAUUCAAAUUUUUUUGAAUUACUAAUAAAUAAAACGAAUUGAGUUGACUCACUAAAUAACAAACUCAUGGUGAACCGGACGAAAUUAGGUCGGAUGGUCCAUUUUGACAGUCGAAGUUUUAAUAAUGAGUUUUAAUAAUGAUUUGAAAAAUUAGUUCUUCAAUUCCAAGGCCAAAGAUAUAGAGGAUUCAAAUCGUUAAUGUUGUGUUCGCUUGAACAGUAAUAUCUGUUCAAGCGAAUUUGCGAGCGAUGAAUCCAAUGUAUAGUCAUGUUCGCUUUCGUGGAUUUGCGCCGAUUGAAUUGCGAAGAUUUGCGGGAUGACACCUUUUUGUAUCACUCGCUCUUAUGAGAAGAUUUGCGAUGAAUUGAAGGGAAUUGGCUUUUCUACCAUUAAUACAUUUCACAUUACUGAAUAAGCAUUCCAGUCAUGUUAAUAAAUAAUAAUUAUGGGUUCGAUGUACAAUUAGAUUAGUGAUUCGGUUUAGAGAAUCUGGCAUGAGGCCAGAGGUCCAUAGUUACCUUGUUGCAAUGACUGCCGUGGUUAAAGAACUGAAUGAAUUUGCCAAAGCUUUGCGCAAGUUGAAAAGCUUCACAAGGGUCGGCUUGGUAUCGUGGCCUCUAACGGCUCUUGCGGUGGGCGUAACCACCGGCGACACCAUCGACGGCGGCCUGUAGUGGCCGGCCGGGUGCGUGAGUGGCAGAGGCGAUGAUGUGUGUGAUUUUCCUAAGGCUCUUCAGACUAUAGAAGAGACCCUGGGUCUCGUAGCUUUUUGGGCGAAAUGGAGGGGAUGUAACUUAACCUUAGGGUUUUCUGAAUUGGAAGCAAAAAAAGGGUUUGGGCCUUGGUCAGGAGCAUUUUUGUUUUUUUAUUUGUUUUUUUUAUUCUUUCUUUUAUUUUUUUUUUUCUCUUUUUGAUUACAUCCUUGCAGUCAUUGUUUCAUUUUCACACUCCCUGUUUAAAAAUAAAUUCAUUUUAUCACAUUAUAAGUUUUAUAAUAUUUAAAAAUUAAUUUUAAUAAUUAUUAAUAAUUUUGAUCUUUUUAUAAACAUUUUUACAUUUAAAUAUAACAUUAAAAAAUAAUAUUUUAUAUUAAUAUAUGGCUAGGGACAUUUUGGUAAUCUUUAAUUUCUACCAAUUAAACUAAUUUUUUCAAUUUGUCACAUCAAUCAAAUCCUACACUAAUUCUCACAAACUUUACCCUCAAAUCCACUCUCAAUUACCCACAAAUCCACUAAAAAAAAACAACAACAAAAAAUUAACUUCAAAUCCACUCAAAUCAUCUCUCACAAAUCUUACGAAAAGAACACAGCCUAAAAGAUGUUGAUGUAGGUGAAUGAGUUGAUGGCAGAAAUAUUGCAGGGAUUGAAUCAUUAAAUUUGUUUAUCCACAGAGUAGUUGAUAUAUACAGACCAAUGUGUCAGUUGCACACAUAAUAAAUGAACAUGACUAAAUCAACAUCAUAUAUACUAAAGAGACUCACACUUUCAUGCAUGAUAUUUAAUGGUCAAAUAUACACAAUGAUAAUAAUAAUAAUAAUAAUGAACACUUUUUGUUUUGGACAAUGUUUUAUGUUUGAAGGUUUAGAAACAGCCUAGGAGUUUCUUUGGAGCUGUUCCAGUUGCUCUAUACUUUGCAGCUGUCUCCUUCAGAAGUUCUUCUCCUUUCUUUGCCUCAAUUAUUGCUCUUUUCUCUUCAGCUUCCUUGUGAAUUUCAGCUAUUUUGUUCUUUAUCUUUUCUGCAUAUUCUGCUUUUUUCUUCUCCAAUUCUUCCUGCUCAUGCAAAAAUCAAAAAUCAACUUUAAUUUGUUCUUCUCUUUGGCCACAUUCAAUGCAGAAAGUAUUGAAUGUGAAAAUGUGAAAUAGAAGAAAACGAACACAUAAAACUUGUUAGAAUUGGCAACGAAAUCGAUUCUCACUUCUUUUUUCUUUAGAUCUGCCUCGACUGAAGCUUUCUUGCUGUUUUCCCAUGCCGAAAUGGCUGAAAGAUUUUUAUGUGCCCUGCUCAAUAAUUUCACUUAGAUUAGUAUAUCCUAGACUUUGUUAACCUCAAAGAAAUAUAUCUGUCAUUUAUGUUCUAAUUGAUUAUUUCUUACCAUGAGUUAAAUCAAAACAUCAUUAAAUAUGAAGCAAAAGGGAUGGAGAUUAUUACUUGUUUUCAGCUUUUGAUUUUUCACUUUCUUCCCAUGCCUUGAUUAGUGAUAACCUCUUCUCAGUUGCAACUAUUGCAAGCAAGAAAACUAUUGUGGUGGUGCUUUCUCUUUUGCCUCAAAGAUUGAAGGUUGGAUUUCUGCGUGAAGUGUUCAAAAUGCUUGUAAUUGAGUUAUAAUGGUUUGAUAAAUUUAUGCCAAAUUAAGAUGUACAAGACUUGGAUUUAAAGAAGCAGUCAAAUUGUUUCUUGUAUAGUGGUGACUUGGAUUUAAAAGUCUCACUCGUAUAUCCCUCCCCUAGCUUUUCUUCUGUACUUGUUACUAAACCUGGAUGAAAAUUUUGAAUUUUAUAUUGAUUUUGGAUCUAAUACAAAAGUUGAAUUUCUUCUAUAUUCUAUCCUGUGUGAAUACAUAUAUAAAAAGUUCUUUUUAAGUGGUAUAAAAAUAUUUCUCUUACACGGUAUUUUGUUAUUUAUGUGAUGUUUGAUUAUUAAUGUUACAAUAAUAUUAGCCAAAAGAUGUAACAGAUAAAACCAUAGAUAAUUAAAAUUAAGUUAUUUUCAAUCAAAUGUUUGGAAACUAUUAAUUAGUUUAUUUAUCCUUCUUACUUCAACUAUUGUUCAUAAAAACAUCCAAAUAGACACACAAACUAUUAAAUCAAAAGUUUAAAUUAAUUAUAAAAUUGACUAGUAAUCCUAUAUGAAUAUAUUUAUUUUUUUGUAAUUAAGAACGUCUUUCAGUGAGAAGGAAGUCAUUAUUUUGAUUUUAUCUAUUUAUUGCUUAAUUGUUAAGAUUAGUUACAACAUGCCAAAAGAGCAAUAGCAAAGUCUUUCAAAUGGUUUAGUUUGUAGCCAUUCCAAUUCCAGGUAAUUGGUGUGCUAAUUUCGUAUAAAGCAUGAGUUGGAGAAGAAAGAUCAACAAUUUUCUAAUCCAUAAAGAGAUAUCAACAACUUUAGUUUUUAUUUAUUUAUUUAUUUCAACCUAGAUAGAAUGGUAGGAAAUAUUCUACAGAAAAAAAAAUGAAUAAAUUAUAGUUUUAAAAGGGAAGAUUAUGAAGUAAAAGGAUGAGAGACGGAUAAUAUUUUUGAAAAUAUUCAACACUUUCUCGAUCGUUCUAUUUUAAAUUUUGUGUGAAAUGUACCAUAUGUAAAAAAUAUGUCCAAACUUUUUUUCAGAAAAGAAAAAUCAUGUAAACCAUAAUGUAAAAUUUACACCAGUAUUUUAAACUUUUUUAGGUCUCCCUAAUAAUUAAUUUUGUGAAAAAAGAAAACUGUAAUAUUCCUCUUAAAAUAGAAAAAAUAAUAACUUUGUCGAGUAAUAUGAAAUCUGUAUUUAUGAAGAGAUAGUUUUGAAAGUGAAUUUCAAUAAUAAUUUAAAAAAUUAAUUCUUGGCUUUAAGUCAGAAGAAAUCAAGCGAAAAAAUUAGAACAUUAAAAGUAAUUUAAGGAUAGGAGUUAGUUAACUGUAAUUUUUUUUUUGUGAAUAAAAGUUAACUAGUUAUUUAAAUAUAUGAUCCUCGUUUAUUUCUUUCAAACAUUCUUCAAAUGGACUUUCUUCUUGGAAUUCCAUGUUGCACUCUUUGUGAAUAUAAAAGAUGGAAAAUAAAAGAUAAGCUUUAUUCACGGUAAACUGCAUAAUGACUGAGGCUAUUAAAUAGCAUUACAGCAGUAUAGAAAAUUGUAAAACUGACUAUGCAGAUAUCUAAUUAUUGUUUCCUAAUAGUAUGCUAGACUUAUUCAAAAUCUAACGGUCCUUAACCACGUGGGACCAUUAUAUUAUUUAUUAACAAAUUUCCCCUUAAACUGAAUAUUAUAUCAGUUUAUACUAGACUCUGUGCACACUCCCAGUGAUUUGCAUAACUUCAGGUAGGUAUCCAGCUUCAAUGGUUUGGUCAUAAUAUCAGCCAUUUGUUCUUAUGUCCCACAGUACAUCAUCUUGACAGAUCCAGUCUUGGUAAGAUUUCGAAGAAAGUAAAAUCGGACAUCAAUGUGUUUAGAACGACCAUGCAUUACUGGAUUUUUUGAAAGCUCAAUAACAGAUCUACUGUCACACUAAAUUACAGUAGUAGCUUGGUUUUGCAUACCACCCAAUUUUUCCAACACCAUUUUCAACCAUAUGGCUUGACUUUAAAAGAAAUCCAUAUAGUGUGGAUAAGACUUUAAAAGUCUUUUUGAUUUCAUUUUCUGCAUUUCCUUGUCACGAUGUCAUAAUUUGAAAAACCAUAAAAUGGGUUGACUAGUUCUAUUUUUUUUUUUUCUUUUUAUGAUAUUAAGCUCCUUAAUUUUCUAACUUAUAAUGGACGCGGAAUAAGAAAUGCAUGCAUUUAAACAAGCCUUUCCCUGUAAAUAAAUAUCUAUUUUAUCAAAGAGUUUUGUGAAAAUCCCUGUAAGUAUGGACAAUUUUGAAAACUUUCGAAAAUAGUAAGGGUUUUUCAGAAAAUUUGACGUUGCUUUUCCCAACAGUUUUCAUAACUGCACGGGAAAUGUAUUUAAGUAGGAUUAAGACCAUCGAUUACGUAAUAAAAAAAACUCUUUGAUAAAAUAGAUAUUUUUGUAGUGUAGCUUCAUCUUCUAUGAUUCUCCAAAACUUUUUUAAUUUUAAAAUUUUAAUUUAUCAAAACAUUAAAAAUAACAAAAUUAUGAAAGUCCUUUUCACUUUCAAUAUUUUGAUAAAAAAAAUAUUUGUAUGCAAUAUUAUUAGGUAAUGUAUAUUUGUAUUCUUAAUAUUUACAUUAGGAGUAAAAAUAUUUACAAAUUUGAUAUAUUUGUUUGUAUUUACGAGUAAAAAAACAUUGUAUGUGAUACAGUAUAUUACUAUGACGUAUAUAUAUCUUUAGACUUAUAAAUAUUUAUAUAUUAGGAGUCUUCAAUUUUUUUUUUCUAGGAUCCAUAAUAUUUGAGUACGAAGCUUAGAAAGUUUGUGAAGUGUGUGUUAGAAACUAAAGUUUUUGCAAUUUAUUUUAUUUUGAAUAAUAAAUAAUAGUUGGAUUUUUUAAAUUAAUUAUGGUUUGGAUAAAAUAGAAGCUCGAAUUGAGUUAAUAAUGAAUAAUUUAUGUUAUUUACGUAACACGAUAUUUUGUAUUAGAAAGCUAAAAAAAGUAGGAAAGUAGAAAGGUAUUAAAAGAAUUAACUGAAAAAGUUAAUUUGAUUAAAUAUAAUUUUCAAUUAUAUAUUUUAAAUGUAUGAUUAGAAUUUAUUUCUUUCAUAAACAUUCAUCCGACAUUUGUUCAUGUUUCCGUAUAUUAUGAAAUUCAAAUUCACAUAUUUUAUCUCUUUACCCAACAAAUAAAAAUAAGGAUCUUCUCCUUUCAUAUACAAAAUUGUAAGAAAUAUUUUAGUAAAAAAAAGUUUGAGCAGUUAGAGUUUUAAAAGGGAAGAUUAUGUGGUAAGGAUGAGGGACAAAUCUUUUUUUUGAAAAAAAAAAAUCCACUCUUUCUGAAAGUCGUUUUUUUUUCGUGUGAAAAAUGGAAAAAAGCUUUGGAAAAUAAAUUUUACACAUGAAUUUUACACAAAUAAAUUUUUAAAACAAUUGAUAAUGAACAUAAAAUUUGCAUAAAAGAAUAAAAAAAUCUUUAUAAAUUAGGUAUUUAUUAUUCUUUCCUACAUAUUAUUCCAUCACAUAAAAGAUAAAAACUUUAAAUGUGAUGGGUUGGCCUAACAACGAUAUUUGAGGGACUGAGUGUUAAGUAAGUGGUUAAGAUUGUGUCAAACAAUAGUUGGGUUUUUAAAGUCAAGGCAGAGAUAAUAUAUUUAAAGUAUAUUAUAAUAUUAAUUUUAAUGUUCACUAUUGUGAAGUGUGAACUUGACUACUUAUAAAGAGUCUUUAAAGUAGAUUAUAGUAUUAAUUUUAAAAAAUAAUUCUUGGUUGUCAAUUAUAAAAAAUGACAUUAAAAAUGAUUUAAGGAGUCAGUAAAUUCUAAAAAUUAUUUUGAUAAAUAAAGUUAAAAAUUUGUUUAAUUACAUUAUUAUGGUUUAUUUGUUUCAUAUAUUUUCGUAUAAUAGGUUAUUAGAUGAGGAAAAUCAAUAAUUGGAUCUCUAAAAUAGUUUUGCUUAUAUGAUUUAUGUGUGGUGUUUCUAAUUUUGUAAUCCAUAUAGUGGAUAGGACUUUAAAAGUUUUUUUUAUUUCAUUUUCUCCAUUUCCUUGUCACGAUGUCAUAAUAUGAUAAACCAUAAAAUGGGUUGGACUAACUUAUAAAAUGGACGCGGAAUAAGAAAUCCAUGUAUUUAAACAAGCCUUUCAUUUUUUUGUCGUCUCUAAUUAAAUUUUAGCACCUAAAUUACGUUGCUUCUUGUCUAUUAAAUUAAUAGACUUAAAACAAAAUUACAAAAUAUGUUACUGAUUUUGACAACUCAAUCUGAUUUUAUACCAUAGAAAAUUUAAAUUGUUUACUAAUAUGGCUGGAUCUGGAAUUGGACUUUUUCAGAUAGAUUUUUUAUUCCAUUCAUAAAAAAACAUUCAAACCAUUUCUUCUUAGAUAUGUCAUCUGUCAAAAGACGAAUGUUUUAAAUUCCGGAUAAAACAUUAAACAAUAGGCCUGUCAUUGUUUUCAUUAUUUUUAUGUCAUGUAGUUUUCUAACCCACAUAAUAAUCGAUUUAAAGAUCAAUUAUUUAAAGUCUUUUGAUUUAUUUAUUUUUCAUCUACAAAUAUUUUUUAGCCCAUAAAACGGGCAUGACUAGAAAGAUAAGCAAUACAAAGUCUUUGGAGCAGCUUCAUUUUUCUAACCCAUAAAAUGGGUUAUGUAAUAGAAGUCCAUGUAAAUUAAUUCACUCGUCUUAUUAUUAAAAAUAGACUAAACAAAUAUGAUGUUUUUUUACAACUUAUUUUUAGUUUUUUUUUUCUUUAAGAUAGUAGUUGAAUUGAGGAGUGAAUUUGAAAUAGAGUGAGUAGAUGAAUUUAAGAGGAUAGAGAUAAGAUUGUAGUGUUCUUUUGAUUAAGAGAUUUGAAGGAAUGAAUGAAGAUAUUUUUGAAUGAAAAGUUUGAGAUUUUGUGAAAGAUAUGAUGUGUGUGAUAGAUUAAAAAAAUGUUUUAUUUGAUAAAAUAAAUGAUUACCAAUUUAUUCUUGUGAAAUGUGAUAUAAAUUUAAAUAUAAGUAAUAAAAAUUAUAUUUAAAUGUGAUAAUUUUUUAUUUAUAAUAAAAAAUAAAUUUAAAAAAAUAAAAUUAAAAUUUAUAUAAGAUAUUUGUAGGAAUAAAUUUCAAAUACAUUUUCUUAAAUAAUAAUUUGUAUAGUAUUAUUUGAAUUAUUGUUAACCAAAAAUAUAUUAAAUAACUAUUUUUUUCACAAUUUAUACAAUGAUAUUAGAUAAAGUAAAAAUUGACAAUAAUAUUAUUUUAUUAUUAUAAUAUUUAAUAUUAAAAGGUAAUGGUUUAAAAAUAUUGUGACUCAACUAUUUUAAUAUUACAAGGUUUUAAUAUAAAUAAUUUUGUUAUGAACGAGUUUCAUUAAUUUAAGCCAAAUUAUUUCUUUAAGAAUCACUUUUCUAGAGUUUUUUUGACUUUUUUCUAAGAGUUAUCUUUUCACAUUCAUCUAUUUGAAGAUUGGAGACCACUAGGGUAAUCCUUGAGGCGAGCUAUCCACUUUCAUUCGAUCAGUUUCUUCAAUAGAGUAAGUUGGUUUCCUGUUCUUCUCUUUAGUCUAUUUCAUUCUUUCUUUGCAUGCGAGCUUGUUGUGGUUGCAUGUGACGUUUGAUUGUUUUAUAAGACUCUCUACUUAUUAGUGGUCCUAACAGUAUAUCUUGAUCAUGUUUUUGUUGUUCGUAGGAACAUAUAGAAUUUCUUAUGCGUUUGGAGGUGUUUUAGGCUUUUUAGAGCAGUUUGGUCAUCUGUUAGGUUAGGGAAGCUAACUACCACUUUUUAAUGUUGUUGAUGAUUUGAUAAACUGUGUUGCAUAUUUGUUUUGAUCUGAAAUGGGUUGUUUGACAUAUAGAAAUUUUGUUUUGAUUGCUUAUUUUUGGUUGAAUUGUUGUUGAGUUGAAGAAUUGAGGAUCUGACCAUUUGAGCAAAUUGUAUGCACUUUAAACUGAAACCUAUUUUUGAACCAUGCACUGAGUCAAGAAUACUAAUUUCAUCAUCUAAAAAGGUCCCUGGUUCCCCAAAUUGCAGAUUUGAAUGUGUUGGUUUCUGAUAUAGCAUUAAACGAAACUGGUGUGGCACUAAACGCAAGCUUGGUUGUGAAGUUCUAGGAACAUUUAAGUUCCAGAUUACUAAGCGUUAGUUUCACGUCGUUAAGUGACUAAAAAUGCAAAUGGCAUGGUGUUGAGCGAUAGCUUUGUACCACUAAGUGUCACUUUUCUUUAUAGGUUUGGAGCCUUUUUAAUCUUUUUGGUUGGGUGACAGGUUUGUCUCACUGAGGAAGACUUUUUGUGAGAGCUUUGGCAUUGAGUACUCCCUAUUGUAAGGGGUGUUGUGUUGAGAAUCAGUUUGAACGCUAAUGUGGUGUUUUGUGAUUUUUUUGAUUGUUUGAAGUAGUUUACCAUGAGUUAUAUGUAUGUUUAUUAUGGAAAUUGAGAUGCUUUAUGGGCUGGUAACGUGAUUGUGAAUGUGUAGGACAUUUAUUGAUCAUGUAUGUCAUGAUGAUGAGUUUGUCAUUGGUUAUGUGCAUGGCAUGUGUUUGGUGUAAUUCCAUGAAUCUCGUGGAGAGAUUCUAUGGUGGUGUUUCAGUAGUGUAAGUCUUGAUGUGAGAGUCUGGACAUUGGAGGUUAUUUUAACGCUUUAAUAACCAUCCAAUCUCUAAGGGCUUUACCUUGUCCUAGUUAAGGUGUUAAUGGACUAACUUUGUCUGUGGUAGGGUGAAACCCCUUGGCAAUGGCUCUGUAGAGUAGUAGGUCACCACAAGUGCACAACCCCCGAGAAUGAGUCAUUAUAUAUAUGUGUUGGAAGUCCCACAUUAACUAAAGAUAAAGUUAAUUUAUAGUAUAUAAGUGGGUGCAAAUCUCAUUUUAUAAGUCGAUUUUGUGGGGUUGAGUUAGACUUCUUAACAUGAUAUCAGAGCUAUGUUAAAGCCUAUAGUAUAUAAGUAGAUGCAAGCUUCAUAUUAACAACAUAAGUGAGUGCAAACCUCAUCUUAACAACAUGUGAUAGGAUUGUUUUAUGAAUGAGUAUUGUAUGAUGUUUAUUUUUAUAUUUAUUUAUGAAAACAAUUUUGGUAUAUUAACUUACUUUUUCUUCUUUGCUUGUAACUUCUUGUUUGUAAUGAUCACUUUAUAAGUAAAUAAAGAUGUUCCAAUUGAUCCAAUACAGGAUGAGAGAGAUGUAGUAACAUAGUUAGGAUUUAUUCUAUCAUGUAUAAGCCUUUUUGUUUUGAAAAUUUUAAUUUCUUAUUAUAGUGUAUAUAUAACUGACUAUACUCAGUCUAUACUUUAUUGAUUCCUGUAAUAUAUUAGUUAUAUUUUAUAUCUCAUAUUGUGGAUUAUCAUUUAUAUAACUUUUAGUUAAUAGCUUUAUAUUAUUAAAUAAAAUGUUACAAUACUAAUAUUGAAUUUAUUAAUAUUAAUUAUAAAUAUUAUUAUUAUUAUUAUUAUUAUUAUUAUUAUUAUUAUUAUUAUUAUUAUUAUUAUUAUUAUUAUUAAGCUUGUUUAUUAUUGGGGCUGUUUUCCUUUGUAUACAUUAAACCGCAUAGCCAAUGCUGCAAAAGUACUUUACCGGAAGGAAAAAAAAUACGUAGUCAAAAUAAAUUGAAGUUACAAACAACACAAAAUUCUUAUAGAGAAACUUUUUUUUCGUUAUUGUCAACUAGUUUCAUUCAGGCAGGGAUAAAAUUUAUUUAUCAUUCUAACUCAAAGUUGUAAUGUAAACAAAUAACAAGAAAACACAUGAAGUUGCCUCUACUAUACGUGCCGUAGCAUUUAAAGGAUAAUUGAAUCCAUUUUUUUCUCAAUAAACUCACGAGAAUCGAUUCCAGUCUCCAAUUACAGAUACAGGACCAAUUCCACUGACAACAUAAUCGAUUUCAGGGUUUUUGAAUCACCCAAAAUCAAUUAUAGAAAAAUACAAACAAAUAUAUAAUCUAUUUCAGCACCAUCAUAAUCGAUUUUACUGAUCGAUUUAAAUCGCAAUUUAAGACAUAUGAAAUCGAUUCAAUCCUAGUCUGAAGCACCCUAUAAUUGAUUCCGUAAACACCACAAUACAAUAGAAUCAAUUCUUCUCACUUUUAUAUUUAUUUAUAUUUUCUCGUUUAAACCUUUAUUAGUAAUUUAGGACCAAUCAAAGAUUGACACGAAAUCCAUGGAUAAUGAUAUUUAGACAACAUUUUUUUGACAACAUUUGAACAUUGAUUACGUGUCAAUCUGUGAUUGGUCCUAAAUUACUCCAUAAUAGUGUAAUAUAAAAUUACUCCAUAAAUGUUCUUAGUUAUUAAUGUAAUAUAAAAUGAUAAUUUUUAAUGUUAUAUUUAAUGGUAAAAAGGUUUAUAAAGAAUAAAAAAUUAACAUUAAUUAUUAAAAUUAAUUUUAAAAAUNUAAAAAANUNAUAAUUUAGUAAAAUGAAAUUAUUUUUAAAUUUAAUAUUUUUUGUAAUAUAAUUUACUACCAAAUAUUUGAUAAUUGUUAAUAUUAUAUAUAAUUGUAAAAAUUAUCAUACGAAAUAAAAAUUAAAUUUUAAGAUGAAAAUAAAUUGUAUAAUUAUAAUAAUUAUUAUUAUUAUUAUUGUUGUUAUUAUUAUAAUAUGUUUAUUACUCUCAAACAAGUGUUCUCACAUACCUUUAUUAUUGGCGUUGUCCUUCAACACAUGUUGCAACAUCAUCAUCACUUUCCAACCCUAAUGGAACAAUCGUUCAAGGUGGAAACCAACAUUGACUUCGAUGUAAACACACACCACUCCCUUAAUUUAUCUGUCAAAACCAUCAAUAAUUAAACCUAACCACCGAAAAACCUAAUUCAAUUAUGAAGCAAACAGUCCUUCAGUUCCAUGGAGGAACAUGUUUAGCGGCGCCAUCAUAGGGUGGGGGAUCUACCAAGGAUUGAAGAGAAGGUCUAGAAUCUGCAGGAUGUCGACAAAGAGGUCAAUACCGUCUUCGGUGAUCUCGAGAAUUGAAUUCAGAAUCCGUAAAAGAUCCGUGAGCACAUUGUCUGAGCUUUGAGGAUGUCGUUGACGGCUUCCAUCUCAACGUACGCUUCCUCCUUCGCCUUUAUGCUCUACGCCACAUGUAUGUUCUUGUUUUGCAAGCGGCUCGCUUCCUCAGUUAGGUUUUCCAGCUGCUUCUGCUUUCACAUCCGCGAUCUCCUCACCGAUUCGCGGUUCGACUCCAUCUACUUCCUCUUCCUCUCGUAUAUGGUCAGAUCUCCUCCGUCUGACGAUGUUCAAACGGUGUUCACACCCUUCCUUAAUUUUAAGGAAAACAUGCUAGAAUCGAAUAUGGUGGAACCAAAAUAUGCUGGAACCGAAUCCUUCGUGAUGGGAACUGAAUACCAAGUCCAGUUGUAUUGUCUUCAUUGCACCGGAACCAUUCCAGGACCACUGAAACCGAAUGCACCUUCUUCUAUGGGUGGAACCUUUGUUGGAACCAAAUCCACACAAUUUAUUCCUUUCUUCUUCAUCUUCUUCACGUUGAACUCCCUCUCUCUUUCCUCUUCUUUAACUUCAACGUCUCUCAUCUUCAUCUUCAACCUCCAUUCUCCUUCCUCUCCUGAAAAAAAAACCUACAAGAAUAAAACACUCACCUAUGAUAAAAGGUGAUGACAUUUUACAAAAAGAUUUAGGGUAAAAAGGAUAUUUGAUAGUGAAUCAGUUCAAAUCUUCACAACACAACGAGACACACAAAAUUUUUAUAUCUCACAAAUUUUCACAAAUCCUUUUUCACUCAUCCCUCUAUAUGAAGACGUUGCAAAUCAUUUCUCGCAAAUAUCCGUCAAUAGUAAUUCCAUGUAAGUGAACACAUGUUAAAUUUUUUAGCACCUAAAAUCACGUUGCUCCUCGAUUUCUAACCCAUAUAAUGGGAGCAGUAUAAUGAAUUAUUUAUUUUCAAAAUGCAAGAGUGUCCCUCCUCCUAGGACACAACAAAUCAAAGAGUCUACAUAGAAAAAUUAUGAGACCAUAAAACAAAUAUUUUAUACUUUAUUCUAAUUUAUUUGUAUAAAAAAAUUGAAAAUUUAACUUCACACUCAGUUAAAAGUAGACAAUGAAGGAAUUUAUCUCAGUUCAUUGAAACGUAUUUGAAAAUAAAAUAAAAAGUGUGGAAGAAGAAUGUUAGUCUCUAUAGGUUGUUAUUGUUUAGCUCCAAACAGGCAGAAAAAAAAAGGCAAAAAUUCACACUUCCUCUCUCUUUAGUAAUUUUUAGCAGCUAAAGUGAGUUGCUCCUGGUCAAUUAGGUUGAUACAAAUUACGUUACUGAUUUGGACAUGUAAAUUCAAUUUUAUAAAUUUAGCAUAUAAAAAUUAAACUGUAAGAUAGAUAGUGUAAUAUAAAAUUUCAGGGGAGAAGCUCAAGGGAGAAGAAGAAAAAAACUUAGGCCUUUUCCAUGUUUCUUCUCUUUUUAGAAGGAAAAUAUUACCACUAGUGCAGCGAAAGGAAACGACCGCGGUUGUUUUUUACUAUACGUCGCGGUUUUAGAACCCCGACAUAUACGGGCGAGGUAAAAAGUCUGGGACUUUAGGUUGCGAUUCCAACCACGGUAAUAACCUGGGGAUAUAACAACGGUUCUUUAUUGAACCGCGGUCAAAAGCCAUUUUUUUUAAAGAAAAAUUUCGUCUAACCUUUUGGUUGCGGUUCCAACCGCGGUAAUAGAUCUGCUGAAAUCGCGGCCUAUUCCCUUUUUUUUGAAAAAAAAAAUCGUCUAACUUUCUACUGCGAUUUUGGCCACAACCGCGACCUAUUCUCUUGAAAUUUUUUUUAAUAGCAAGUCUGGUUUUGUGAUAUCCACUAUCACAAAAACAAACCUGCAUAUCAAACAAUCACAUAAUGUACACAAAUUCAACGCAGAUUCAAUAGAUUCAACACAAUAAUCAAUAUUUACAUCCAACUUCGAUCCAUACGUAAAUAUUCUGACCUUAAAAUAAAAAAUCAUACCAUCAUAAAAAUUAUACAAUCAUACAAAAUCUAAGGAUACAAAAUUAUAUGAUGAUUCAAUCACAUAUUCAAUCAUACAAAAUUAUAGAAUCUAAUAAAAGUUAAAUUUAAACAUUAAUAUAAGAACCUGCUGGUGUGAAAAGCCAAUAACAAUGAAUAACCUACGAUCAAAACGCUAGAAAAUUCAACUCUAAAAAAUUCAAACCUGUAAAAUAUACAAACAAAUAUUAGUUUUAGAAAUAAAAACAAACAUCAAAACGCAAUUUACCUCUAAGGGGAAGAAUCGGAAAAACCAAUAAAAAGACGUUUCGAAUGAUUUUGAUCGGUUAAAACUCUUUCCCAACGUUGACAAUGGCCACGACACCGAACCAAAAUGGGUUUAAACGGUGAAAAAUGAUUGAAAAUGGAAGCAGAGGAUCNCGUGACGAAGGAGGCUCUGAAACUGUUUGUGCGUGAAGAAGAAGGAAGAUGAUGACAUUGUUCCCGUGUCUUUUAUUUUUAUAACCUAAGCAGGGGAAUAGACCACGGUUCACCAUUUAACCGAGGCCUAUUCUCCGGAAAAAAAAAUUCAAAAUACAUCUGAAAUGACAUUUUUGAAAUUUUUUUCAAAUUUUAUGUCGCGGUUCACCGCCAAACUGCAGCCUAUUCCCUUAAAUAUUCAAAAUUUAAAAUUUUGCAGGGGGAAUAUACCGCGGUUCCCCUUAGAACCGCGGUCUAUUCGCCUGAAAUUUUUUUUCAGAACUGCUUUUGUGGAAUGUCAGAAUUUUGCAGGGGGAAUAGACUGCGGUUCCCCUCAGAACCGCGGUUUAUUCCCCUGCAAUUUUUUUUCAGAUCUGACUUGGCGGGAAGUCAGAAAUUUAAAAUUUCAAAAAUUAAAAUUUUGCAAGGGAAUAUACAACGGUUCCCCUUAGAACCGCGAUCUAUUCCCCUGAAAUUUUUUUCAGAACUGCUUUUGGGGAAUGUCAAAAUUUUGUAGGGGGAAUAGACUGAGGUUCCCCUUAGAACCGCGGUCUAUUCCCCUAAAUUUUUUUUUUUCAGAAUUGCUUUUGAGAAUGUCAGAAUUUUGUAGGGGGAAUAAGUCGCGGCUCCCCUUAGAACUGCGGCCUAUACUGUCGAUAUAAUUUCAAAAAUGUCACCGCGCAAUAUUAUGCUUCGGUUUCUAUUGAACCGCGACAUAAUGUGCGCGGUAAAAGAUCAAUUUUUUACUAUUGUACUAAAGGUAUGUUCUUCUCACUGUCGAGUGAGCUUGUGUCUUGCUAGAUAAAAAAGAGACUUACUAACUGAGGUGGAUAUGUGAUUUUCGUUGAAUGAAGAUCUUCUAACUGAGUGAGAGAAUCUUGGAAAAGUUUUCCAAUUUUUUUCGAGUGUUCAAUACUCUACAAAAAUUUUAAAAAAAAGCUAAUUACUUCUUGUUUUAUAAUAAAACAUUUACAUCUAAUUUUUAUUAUUAGAAAGUGAGUUUGUAAGCCUAACUCAACCUCACAAAACCGGCUUGUAAGGUGAGGUUUGCACCUCACUUAUAUAUAUAUAUAUAUAUAUAUAUAUAUAUAUAUAUAUAUAUAUAUAUAUAUAUAUAUAUAUAUAUAUAUAUAUAUAUUAUAAAUUGGUCUUAUCUUUAGUCGAUGUGGGACUUCCAACACACCCCCUUCACGCCGAGGUAUAAACAUCUCGUGCGUGAUAAUAGAAAUUGGGUGGUCCAAUAGCGGCGCGACAACGGGUGGAAACAGAAAUGGCCACUUAGAACUCGCUAGGAUAGACUCUAACCAUAGCUCUGAUACCAUGUUAGAUAUCAGAGCCAUGAUUAGAACCUAUCCUAGCGAGUUCUAAGUGGACAUUUCUGUUUCCACCUGUUGUCGAGCUGCUAUUAGACCACCCAAUUUCUACUAUCACACACGAGAUGUCUAUACCGUGGCGUGAAGGGAGUGUGUUGGAGGUCCCACAUCAACUAAAGAUAAGGCGAAAUUAUAAUAUAUAACUGAGGUGCAAACCUCACCUUACAAGUCAGUUUGUGGGGUUGAGUUAAGCCUAAAACUCACUUCUAAUAUUUAUAAUGAAAUACACACAAAAUGCAUGGCACAAAGAUAAAUAAGAUAUUUCAGCAAAUAUAAAAAAUAAGUAAUUUUCACAUUUAUAAUUUCUUCCACAAAACAAGUUAAAUAAUAUUAAAAUGUAAAAAGAAACAUAGAAGAAAUUCUUUACAUGUUUUUUCUUUGGAGUAUUUAAGAAGUGUUUCCAUAGGUUGCAUAAAAAAUUCAAAUAUGAAAUUAGAAAUCUAACUAGUGAAAAUGAAUGAAAAAAAUAAUAUAUAAAAAAAUAUUUAUAAACUUUCUUAAUAUUUUAGGUCUUAAUAUUUUAAGUUGAAAGUGAUAAAAGUAUGUUUUUUUCAUCUUAAAUAAAUGAAAAGGUAACAUUUUUAUCAGUGUGACUUAAAGACAUUAUAGGUCUUACAUUUUAAUUCUCGGGUUCCUAGUUUGUCCCUGUCUCUCUUAUUGUCGUUCACCCUUAACCUCAUCCUUCGAACCUCGUCGUCCUCCGCCAUGAAUCCUUAUGAAGUGUUCAAUCACUAACGAGUUUAUGGUUGUCUAACUUUUACGAAAGAAGAAAGAGAGAAAAGAGGAAGCCAACAAAACUAAAAAGGCAAAGGCGAAAGAUAUUAUUUUACUACAUACCUUUAUGUAUAUAUGCACGGAUACAAUAUAUAUACAGAGUAGGAAAAACUGAAAAGAAACUGAACAGACGUUAUAACUUAAUAGCCUCCCUCAAGCUUGAGUAUGUAUACAGAAAUACACAAGUAAAUGCAUGGCACACAAAUAAAUUAGAUGUUUUAACAAACAUAAAAAAUAAGUAAUUAUCACCUGUAUAAUUUCUUUCAUAAAAUAAGUUAAAUAAUAUAAAAAUAUUAUAAAAAGAUUUAAAAAAUAAUUUUAAUGUAUUUUUUCAAAGAAUAGUUUACCAUAUAUGGAUCCUAUAAUUUCUUAUCUAUUAAAUGAAUGACAACUAGAUAAAUAUGCACAAAUUACCUCAUAGUUGUAAUAAUGCCUAAAUUACAGCCAAUACAAUAUUUAGUUGUCAAAUAUUUUACUAAUAGAAUAUUUCACAUAUUUCAACAUUUUCACUGAAAUUGAUGCAUCAAUAUCACAUAUUUUCAAAUUGAAUAGAGACUUAUUAAGCAUUCAGUUUUUUAAAGGUCUUAGUGUUUCCAUAAGAAAUUCAAAUAUGAAAUUAGGAGUCUCACAAUUACUGAAAAUGAAUGAAAAAAAAUAAUAUAUAAAAAAAUAUUUAUAAACUUUCUUAAUAUAUAAACAGAAGAGGAAAAACUGGAAAGGCGUUAUAACUUAAUAGCCUCCCCCAGCUUGAGUGUGUAUACAGAACAUAUUUUAAAGUCAGACGAUUGAACGAGCAGAAGAUUAAAGUCAGACGAACAAAACUCUUGUCCAUUAUAUGUUCUUAUUACCUUAGAUGCCUCUGUUAAACUGAUUCUUUAUUAACACAAAAUUAUUCAUCAAGUUUCUAGUCUCACCCUUAUUUUUCAUUGGAUAGACCCACGUAUGUCUUGUAUAGUCAUCAACGAUAGAGAGAAAAAACCUGUGACCAUACUAAAAGGACCUCAAAUGUAUGUCUAUGUGCACAAGAUAAAAAAUAUCAUUACUGCUAGUCUGACUAAGAGGAAAGGGGAGUCUGUGUUGUUUUGCUAAGUGACAUGCAGCGCAAACAUUAGUACUAUUAAAACAAAUAUCAUCAUAACUUUUGGAUAAUUGUUUAAGAAUCUUAUUUGAGGGGUGUACCAGUCUACAAUGCCUGAGAUCAAGAGAAUCAACAUGUUUAAAAGUCUCAUCAUUAUGCACAAGAAAUAUAGCAUUUUUCAAGCAGCUAAUGAAAUGGUAAAGACCAUUGAUAAGCCUUUGAACAGAUAUAAUAUUUAACGUGAAUUCAGGUAUAUAUAGUACUGAUGUAUGGUAAUUUGAUCAGUUAAUUAAACUACCCCUACACGUCUAGCAAUAACCUUAUUGUUAUUGAGCAAACUAAUAUGUAUAGGUUAGAUCUCAUAAUGACUCAUGAUCAGUAACACCAGUAUCAAGGAUUCAAGAUUUAAUACCUUCUUUACCUUUUUUUAAUUUGGUGUGUUGAGUGCUCACUGAAUGUGCUGUUGACAACUUUUUCAGGAUGUACAUUUCUUUCUGAUUGAGUUAUGCCAGCAAUUUGUUGUAUUUGCUCCGUAGUCAAGUUUUUAAGGAUUCGUUCACAAGUGGAUUGCUCUUCCAGAGGUUUUUCUUUUCCAGUGACCCGUUCAGUUUUGUUCUCCAGAGCCUUUAAUGUGUAAUUGUAUCUUUGCUUUGAAUAGCAUUCGUCUUCAGUGUGGUUCAUCUUUUUACAAUACUAACAUUGCUUGCCAUAUAGUUCUUUCUUCUUCCUCUUCCAUAACUCUUCCAUUGUAUGGUAUUUCAACUUCUGUAAUUCUUCCGAGUUUGAGUAGCGUUGUUCACCAUCACUUUCUCUGUACCAUUACUAUCAUUUAGUUGUCUUUCUUGUUGGAGAACCAAAGGAAAAACACGAUUGAUACUUGGAAUGGCUCCAUAAGCAAGAUUUGAGUUUUAACAGUGCUGUAGAUUUCACCUAGGCCUUUUAGGAAACACAUUAUGCGCUCAGAAUCUUUGUAGUCUGUAAUAAACUUGGUGAUAUUGUAGCUACAUCUCGCGUGAAAAACACAAGCUGGAAUAGUACUCUGUAACCGUUCUUUCUCCCCGUUUUGUCGAAUUAAUUUCUUGGAGGAGAUCAGAGACACGAAUGUGAUUACUCUUUGAAAAUCUUUCUUGCAAGUUCUUCGCAUAGCUCCCUUGCGUUGUCAAUAUAAAUACUGCUUUGAGCAAUUUGGCUUGCAAGGGUGCGUGUGAUCCAGGAUACCACCAUAACGUUGCAGCGUUCCUAGAUCACCAUGCGCUGGUUCUUGAAUAUCUCCAUUCACGAACUUAUACUUGGACACUAAGCCGCGCUUCAUCGAUCUACUCCAUGCAUGGUAAUUUGAUCCAUAUAUCCAAUUGUGGUGUAACAAGAACUGCUCCUGGAUUUUCGCCUGGAUCAAGACAGAAGAUGCUGGUGGGGUACUGGGAUCAGUCUCUCCGGUGAGUUUCUGAGUUGCUAAGUGCCCUAGGUUUGAUCAAUUACAUUGUGAUUUUGAUGUUAUAGGUGAACAUCACAAAAUCUGAAAUCGAGACAAAUUAUUCAGACGAAAAUGUCAACAAUGAAAAUGUUUCAAAUUUUAGGGCCAGUGGAAAUUUUGAAGUGGAUAUUACAACUGUUUUAAUUAAUAGUUUCAAUUUUGUUUAUUUUAUUUUAUUUCUACUGUGUUAGAAAAAAUAUAUCUUAUUUAAUAUUUUUAAAAUAAUAUUAAUAUAUGAUUAAAAAUAGAGUCUCCUAAAUAUAUAAACAAAAUUAUUACAAAAUUUAUUUAAAUAGAUGUAUUUUAAAUUUACCUUUACAUUUUAUUUAUUUAUUUAUUCAUAUUUAAUUGUCUAUUUAUUUAUUUAUUUAUUUAUUUUUAAUUAUGCAGGUUUUGUUUAUUCAUUUAAUUUAUUUUUGGUUAUGUAUUUAUUUGUGUAAUUUACCUAUACUUGUUAUUUUUAAUAUUUUUUAAUUUUAUUUUUUUAUUAUUUUUUAAUAAAUAAAUAUUUGAUUAUUGUAGUUAAAGGUGUAAAAGAUUUAAUUAAAUAAAUAUUAUUGGGUUAUUUUGUUGAUUAUGUUAAAACUUAUUUAUCCUAACUAGUUGUUUCGGAUGGGAACGAGAUAACAGUUGAUCACUGUGGCUCUUCUCUUCACUUCGGAAUUCUCUUCGUAGCAACCUUAAAACCGAACUGCAGGUUAGCACUUCAACGCUCAAGUCAGCAGAGUUACCACGAUAAUAAUAUUCAGAAAGUCAAUCUAACCUUUUACCUGAGCUAUGCUUGUUCUAUUUAUAGAGAAAUAUACCCACCAUAAUCGGAGCCACGUUGUGCCAAGUCAUGUACUCCGUAAAUUCCUCCAACAACUUAGCUUGUUAGUCGUAACCGUAGUCGCAACCACUUCCCACUUCCUAGAUUCUUACUUCGCCAUUUGCUCCGCUGAAUCCGCAAACUAUCUCCACUAACUUAGCAAUCACUAUAGUUCCUUUUCGGUGCAACCCUUACCCCGAUCUUCCCUGCAUAUUUCCCGAUCCACCAGACCUUUCUUACCUUUCUCCUGCUACAUUAUACAAGUCAACCAGUUAUCCCCUAUGACCGUGUCUCUCCCUAUCGGUAUAAGUUCACUCUCGAUCUUCUUCUUCAUAGCCCCGAUCGACUUAAAUCCUCUCUAUACUACACUAGUUAUUAUAAAAUUAAUCCAAAUUUUUAUAAAAUAUGCUAAAGUAGGGUUUAUGGAUAUAAAAAAAUAAUGAUAUUCUUACUUUCAUUUUUUACUAACUUUUUAACUCCAUCCAAUUGAAAAAUGAUGUGAAAAGAGAUGAAUGAGUGAUUUCGGGAGUUUUGUUGUUAGCGAGCUUCAUAUUUUGGACUCAAGUUUUAUUUACCAGUCUCGGUCAGAGUAAGCGAACUUUCACUGAAAUUAGAAAGUGUCAUUCACUGAACCUCUAAUUGUCGUCGUUCGUCAUUUGCCUUUAACCGCACGUUCGUCGUGGUUUCGAAGUACCGUUGAAGACUGAAACCAAGGUUUUUGUAGCUUCCUGUCAUUGGUUUUGGUUAUCCUUUGUUUUUCUUCGGUUAUUUUGACUUAUUUUAAAUUUUUUACUUUUUUUUAUUAUUUUAGAAUUAUUCUAUUUUUUUGGGUGUUAUUCUGAUUUUGUAGAUUUUAUUUGGUGUACCGUAGGUAAUGUUACAAUGGAUGAGAUUGGUGAACUAAGUAAAAACUCUUACUGCAGAAUUGAGUAGAACUUAAGAAUCAAAUAAUUAGGGACCUAAAGUAAAAUUUUUGCAUAACCAAGUCAACCCAUUUCAUGACAAAUUUUUAAGUGAAAAUAAUAUUCCUUAACAAAUUAAUGUAUAAUUAACUCAUCUUGAACGAAUGAUAACUACAUUUUUAACUAAUUCCAUCAUCAAACAAUCAAAAAGUGUAAAUUAACUGAGACUAAAGACUAAAGUUUUGUAAAAAAGAUCAACACAAGUCAUGUCAUAAAUUUUUAAGUGAAAAUAAUAUUAUUUUAAAUUUUAAGUAUGUUAUGAAUAAUUUUAUUUUUAAGUUUAAGAUAUGAAAUGAUAUCGUUUGACGGAAAAAAAACAGUUUCUGACAUAGGUUUUAAUGAUAUGGAAAAUUAGUUCUUCGACUCCAAGACCAAGGAUACAGCGGAUUCAAAUAGUUAAAAGAUGGUGAAGUAGGUGAAUGAGUUGAUGGAAGAAACAACAAAUGCAGAUAUUGAAUCAUUAAAUUUGUUUAUCCAAAGAGUAGUUGAUAUAUACAGACCAAUGUGUCGGUUGCACACAUAAUAAAUGAACAUGACUAAAUCAACAUCAUAUAUACUAAAGAAAUUCACACUUUCAUGCAUGAUACUUUAAUGGUCAAAGAUACACAAUGAUAAUAAUAACAAUAAUGAACACUUUUUGUUUUGGACAAUGUUUUAUGUUUGAAGGUUUAGAAACAGCCUAGGAGUUUCUUUGGAGCUGUUCCAGUUGCUCUAUACUUUGCAGCUGUCUCCUCUGCCUUCAGAAGUUCUUCUCCUUUCUUUGCCUCAAUUAUUGCUCUUUUCUCUUCAGCUUCCUUGUGAAUUUCAGCUAUUUUGUUCUUUAUCUUUUCUGCAUAUUCUGCUUUUUUCUUCUCCAAUUCUUCCUGUUCAUGCAAAAAUCAAAAAUCAACUUUAAUUUGUUCCUCUCUUUGCCCACAUUCAAUGCAGAAAGUAUUGAAUGUGAAAAUGUGAAAUAGAAGAAAACGAACACAUAAAACUUGUUAGAAUUUGCAAUGAAAUCGAUUCUCACUUCUUUUUUCUUUAGAUCUGCCUCCACUGAAGCUUUCUUGCUGUUUUCCCAUGCCGAAAUGGCUGAAAGAUUUUUAUGUGCCCUGUUCAAAAAUUUCACUUAGAUUAGUAUAUCCUACACUUUGUUAACCUCAAAUAUAUCUGUCAUUUAUGUUCUAAUUGAUUAUUUCUUACCAUGAGUUAAAUCAAAACAUCAUUAAAUAUGAAGCAAAAGGGAUGCACAUUCUUACUUGUUUUCAGCUUUUGAUUUUUCACUUUCCUCCCAUGCCUUGAUUAGUGAUAACCUCUUCUCAGUUGCAACUCUUGCAAGCACCGCAUCUGAAGAGAAAUGAAGAUGGUGGAUGACAUAAUAUGUAAUGUAAGAAUACAAAAGGGAAAUUAAAUGUCAUAAUGUCACGUCACAAACCUCUGUUUACAGAGCCCUCACUUGGUUUCUCUUCAGCAACUUCUUGAGUCUCUGCAAAUAUAUCCAAUUUAACAAUAAUAAACAUAACAACAACAAAAGGGGACAAAAAAGGUUAUGACAAGAAAAAUAUUGUAGUGGUGCUUUCUCUUUUGCCUCAAAAUUGAAGGCUGGAUAGCCUUUGAAAUGCUUGUAAUUGAGUGAUAAUGGUUUGAUAAAUUUAUGCCAAAUUAAGAUGUGCAAAACUUGGAUUCAAAGAAGGACCACUCUGUCACUUGCUAAUAGAAAUGGAAAAAAGGCAGAGCAAUACGAGAACAUUGUUUUGAAUAAAACUACAACAAGAAAGUUCCAGUAAAAGGAAUAUGAUAAAAUACCACAAAACGGAAUCAAGUACAAGUAACAACAAACGACCAAACAAUCCAACAUCAUAUUUUUUUUCUCCUAAAAGGGGUUAGAAAUAUUAUUAAAAAAAUAUAUUAAAACCGUUUCUCACUGAUUCUAUAUAACUAUUUAAGUUAAUUAUAAGGAAAACAAGUAUAUUGUUACCAGAAGCAUAUAUAUUCAAUCAAGUACUAAAGCAGUGAACAACCAUGUAACUUACAAUUACGAAAAAACACUUUUUUGCUCAUACAAUUACGAAAAAUAAUCAUUUUUUUUCUCUCAAGAUAAUACAACUAAAGCACCCUUUGGAAUAAACAAAAUACAGUUCCUCAAAGAAUUGGUUAAAACAAAACAAGAAGAUAAACAAAGCAAACAAAAAUAUGCAGAGAGAGUCCAUGAACACAGAUUUCAAUUUUUUCUUCUGCAAUCAGUUUUUCUACCAACCAAAUUCAACUAACCCCAACUUCCAGAACAUGAUAACAUGACAAGAAUCAACAUAACACUAUCUUAG
Molecule: long non-coding RNA, 118939 nt
Filed under: Vigna radiata
Lineage: Eukaryota; Viridiplantae; Streptophyta; Magnoliopsida; Fabales; Fabaceae
Description: long non-coding RNA (VRAD_LNC001360)
Source: RNAcentral